This 111597-nucleotide long non-coding RNA is filed under the name Olea europaea (common olive). RNAcentral's name for it is "long non-coding RNA (OEUR_LNC005701)". Lineage: Eukaryota; Viridiplantae; Streptophyta; Magnoliopsida; Lamiales; Oleaceae. The record is from RNAcentral.
UAGGAGUUGAGUCCAAAGUACCAUGAUUAGGGUGUUUGAGUAAAGUACGCCAUUCAUCAAUAUAUAUUGAUUGGUCAAGCGAUAGAUUAGGAAUUUCAUACUUCUGAAGAGCUUUCAGAAUUUCUUGAGUCUCUCCGAGAAGGUGAGUUGUUUCCUUUAUAAUUUUAUCCCGUUCUUCUAUGGCGCUAUUGUUGCAUUUCUUGAGUAUAGCAUGAGGUAAAUUGGUCAGACACGCAGCAAAUAUAUCUGCAACAAUAACUGAAAAUCUCUCAAAUACUUGAGUAUCUGAUGCUGAAUGAUAGCUUUCCUCAUGGACCAACAGCAAACUAUUGCUUAUUUUGUACAUUGAAUUGGCAAUUAUGAUAUUUUCAGGCAAGUCAACUGAGCUUUCCAUAGCAUUUCCAUUCAUUCUACUAGUAAAUUCCUUCAAAAUUUCUUCACUUAUAUUUGCAAGAUUCUGAAGAGUUUCUUUGGAGGAUUUUGAUACCCUGGCAAUUUUUUGGAGAUCCAUGUCUAACCACUUGCGCCUCAAUUCAAAUAAAACCCAUGCAAAAUCUGCAGCUCUCGUGCUGCUCAUCAAUUUUUUAUGAACAUCUAGACUUUUCUCCGUUAGGCGCACAUACUUAAAACCUUCAAUGACACCUCUCAACAACUGAUUCCUCUUCUCAUUUUGAACAUUGGGAAGAGCAAUCGUGAUGCUUGUUAGUGUUGCCACAGCUAGACUCCAGCAAUUAAGAGUUUCUGUGCAAAUAAUCGAAGAGACUUGAUCACUUUCAAAUUUUGAUACACCCUCGAAGCUGGUGGAAUUCUCCAUAAGCUCCAUUAGAUAUCUAGGUUGAUGCUUUGUGCCCAUCUUUAUGGAUGAAUUAAUAGAAGUGUUAAUGAACGUCAGGUAUCCAUCAUUUAUUGCCUCACUUUCUAGAUGUAAAACAAAAUUUCUAAGAUCUUGGUCAUAACCAACCGUGUGUUCUGCUUCAUUGGGAUUGGCCAAGGCUUCAGAUUGCCUUAAGAAAAAAUUUUUUACCAUCACCAAGCAUCUAAUGAUUCUCAUCCUUAAGAUACCAAAAAAGAGUACGAUGGUGAUGGCACAUGGGAGAAUUAGUAUGGAACUGGCAACUGCAUCCCUGGCAAAUAAGAGGAUAAUUCCACCAAUUGAGAUGGGAAGAAGCAACUUAUUCAAGAUCACAAUCACUAUCUGACUUCCAAUACAAAUGUUGAUAAGUAGAUUUCUGAUGUGAUAAAUAAUUUUUCUACGCUUCUGGCCUCGAACAUAUAAUGGUGGGAGUCUCCUUUUCCACUCUACCAAUCUUUUAAUCCUGUAAUUCUUUAUUUCUAAGGAAAUGCUAGAGAUGGUACAUUGUCUAAUAUUCCGUACAGUGUGAACUAAAGCUACUGAAAAUCUUCCCAAAGACAUGACAGUGCAAAGAUUCGUGCCUAAAAGUUGAGUCCAAAAAAGAAAAUAUACUGACCAUUUAUAAUCAGAAGCAGCACUUGUCUUAUAGGCUGUGGAAUACAUUCUUCCGUUUAAAGUAUAACUUAUGAUGCAUAUCAUGAAUAAAAUAACGCUAGCCUCAGAUCGUGCCAUCACAAACUGAGGGUUACCUGUUUCUGUCAUCACCCAGUACUUCUUCACACACAACUUUAACUUGUCAAAGUCCAUUAUUUGGUCUCCUUGUAGUUCCGGUGCCAAAAUUCCUGUUUGCAAUUCUGUGUACUUACGUUCCAAAUACCUUUUACUUGUAAAUACCGUUAAAGCAGCAGAACUCAAUACAAUGAACGCGUAAACAUUCAUGCAGACAAUCACCACUUGGAAAACAUCGUCAAUCACGCCUGUGAAUGCUUGGAUGAUAACAUUUACGGUAAGCGUCACUAUAAGGAUACCCAAUGCUGUCAAGUUCACUAUUAUAUCUCUAUCACUCAUGGAUCCUAGAGAAGGCAUGAAAUGAGUGGUUGAAACACAAAAGAAAGCAGUGCUACUAUUUUUAGCGGCUUGAUUAUACCCAUCUUUCAUCGGGGUAGUUAGAUCCAUUGACAACUUCACUGCGACUGCUAACACAGUCAAGGAAGCGGCGUUGAGAGAAGAAAAUCUGCAAGGGAACCAUAACUUUCUAUGGCGGACAGAGAUCACUGCAUCAAUGAAUAGUGAAACAGUCCAUAUUAGAGAUGCUACAGCAGCGUAUAGGCCUAUCCAUGGCAUUGGUGCUUUAGAGUCCAUCAUUUUGCUCAAUUAUUCAGCUCUCUUCCCACGCUGCUUUACUUUUGAUUUAAGAUGAGGAUAUGCUCGAGUGGUGGAAAUUUCUUUACUUUUGAUUUAACAUGUAUUAAAUUUUUAUUGACUUUACCUUGUGAUCUAUAUAAAAAUGAUUAAACCAGCUUUAUGUUCAGUGGUUUAAGUUUGGUGGUUAGAGAUACGGACAUUUCAUGUGCUGAAAAUAUGAAUAGUAAUCACUUUCACCAUAAAGAAUCCUGUCGGCCAUUAAUGUCUCACUUUCACCUCACCACCAUUACUGUCAGCCAGCAGUAAGACUAAGAGUUCUCCCUAUGAAACCAUAUACAUACCAUCACCGCAGUUAUUCAUCCGUGAGAACUUGAAAUUUAUAUAGCCAGCAUCCGCAAGUCUCUUAUCAUAUAUACGAGUAAUAAGUUCUUGAUUACCGACCCAAAUUCCUGACAAUGCCCAAAAAAUAAAAAUAAAAAUCAUCAAAAUCACAUCUUUAUAAGAAAACUAGUAGGGUGAACGUGCAUAAGUGUAUGUAAAAAUGAUAGGAUGACAUGGAUAGAACUUUGAGCUAUAUAAAUAAGAGGUUGAUGUGUUACUUUCAACAUUUACUACCAUUUAUGAUUCCUCGAUAAUAAAAUGAGUGAUUUUUAACUAUAUCUUGAACAAUUCAAUUUAAACUUGAUCCUAUUUUGACCUGCUUCCACCUUCAUUUUAUUUUUUAUUUUUUUAUUUUUAUUUUUAUUUUUUUAUUUUAUUUUUUAUUUUUUGUGGAUGGGUGGAGGCAGGGGCAGACUUGGGGGGGUUUACCGGUUCAAGUGACCCUCUAGAUUUUACAAAAAGAAAAAAAUUAGUUUAGCCUCUUUUUUUUUUUUAUUAUAAGGUACCCUAUAAAUUCUAUUUGUGACCCCCUAACCCAAGUCGUCUAGGUCCGCCCCUGGGUGGGGAUGAGCUGCAUAAAGGAUUUUGAGUUUUAUGAAGUUGCAUACCACAACUAUAUCGGAUUUCUUUUUGAAUGGGACAAAUAGAUAUGGAAUGAUAAUUGUAUUUUGUCGUCUUUAUUUUUUCUUACUUCUCCUGUUUUCCAUUACACAAAUCAUUGACAUAACAAAAAUUAAUGAAGACAAUAUAAAUAAAACAAUCUCGCAACCAAUCAGUUUUCUUUAAGUUGUUGCGAUGGCAAGACAUGUUCAAUAUUUGCAUAUCCUUCAUGCCUAGACGCUACGAUUGAGCUGUUUUCGUUUAGAAACGAUGCAUCACAGAUUAGGCUCCCAAAGAACUUUGUCUUGCUCCAAAGUUCACGCCAAGACCAAUUGCACUUUAUUAUGAUUAGCUUAUCAACCAAAAAUAGAUCAUCGUAGCAUUGCAUUCAGCAAGAGUCUGAACCUGCAAGGCAAAUAAAAGUGUAUAUGUGAAAACUACCAAACUGGAAAAAUAUCAAACUCUGAAACUUGAAGCAAAUUCAUGUCACUAAUCAACAUAAAAAAAAAAUAUAUAUAUAUAUAUAUAUAUAUAUAUAUAUAUAUAUAUAUAAAAUUUAAAUUUGGAAAGUUGGCGGACUAAAGUGACAUAUGGAAGAACCUCUCAAUGGAAGAGGUAUAGAGUCUUAUUAAAUAUCAUUGAGCAUAUUUUACAUGGUACCACCAGACCUAUUUUAAAAAAUAAUAAUAAUAAAUAAAUAAAAUCUCUUUUUCUUGGUUGAGUUUUCUUACUAUGGGAGGAGCCUCUUCCUCUUUAAUUUAAUUGUUCCCAUACUUCUCUUUCAGCCUCAUAAACUUAUUUUGCAAUUGAGUCCUGGUCAUAUCCACGUGUAGGUUCUUCUUAAUAAAAUCAUUCGAAUCAGCAACUAAUUGAGAUUUUUUUCUUAAGGACAUAAUCAAUCAUGCCUUUGAGAACCACAAUUUCAUCAUCUUUGCUCCCCAGCCUCUUUUUCUUUUGCGGGGCGUUUAGCACCCUCGGUAGCCUUCGACGACAGGCUGGUCCGGGAAGCUUUAGGCUUGCAUCUAGGCAGCGCUAGUAGUGGGCUUUUGUGGCUCUUCCAUUGGCUUGGAGACUAGGGGCUUUACAUUUGGGUUGACUGGUUCGGUGUGGCACUCUGGUUCAGCUCCGGACUCUUCAUCUUCCUACUCGGAUUAAGAGGAAGGAUACGGGAGCUUAGAAAUUUAUUAAAAUUAUAAUCUAUUUUGAAAUAGUGAAUAUUAAUGUCCUGGCAUUCAUCUUGACCAUUAUAGAAAAAAAGUCAUGAAAUUUAAAAUUUACAACAUAUCCAACCCCUUAUAUUUUAUCAUAGGUAAUUAAUGGGCAAGAAACAAAACACAAUAAAACUAUCUUUAUAUUGGAUUUUAAAUGGUUUUUCUUGUUUCACCACAUUUGAGUUAUAGAAUUAAUGCCAACCUGCUUUACUUUUUUUGGUUCUAAAAGUUGGAAGUUGAAAAACUUCUUGAGAUCUUUUGGUAGGAAGGGAAAAAAAUUCAUCUCGAUUCAUAUAAUUGUCCUUUUGACGUUUAAGCUUUCAGAUUCACAUUUCAGAUUAGAAGAAUACAUCCUCGAUAAUGUGACAUGAAGACUGUCAAAUUCAGGCUGUGAAUAUUUGUAUAGCAAGAAUUUUCUACAGAUUACCAUAAUGAGGGUUCCUUGUACUACCCUUCACCUCAUAUGAAAACAACAACUUACCCCUCUUGGGGUAGCCGAGUUGGUGGAGUACGUGACUGCAGAGACAUUUGGUUCGAUUCCCCCUACCAACACAUUCUCGAUCAAACCUGUCGCACCGGACUUGCCUAGUGCGGUUUACUCGGCUGACGUGGUUUGCAGACUAUUGCGUCAGCCCGAAGGUUUACCUAGUGCGCACUCGAAGAGUAAUGGCUGGGUUUCCCCAGUUAAAAAAAAAAAAAAAAAAAAAAAAAAAAGGGGAAAAAAAAAACAAAAAAAAAAGGCCAGAGGCAACAACAACAACUGAAAUAGUGCUCAACUAUUGUCAUCCUUCUAGUAUCGGAUAUGGGGCUCACAUUCUUGUCGGCACCCACUUCAGUCACACCAAUUGAGCCAACCAACUACAAAGUCCAACAAUAUGAGAAUCAUCCAUUGAAUGUUCUACAAUAUCUCUAUAUGUAUGCAACUAUGGUAUGCAUGAAAAUUAAUAUGAUAAUAAAGCAACAUGAAUAUGAGGGAGCAAUAUGUGGCAAGAACUCAAUCCCUGUAAUGGAAUAUUUUAAAAAACAAGAACAUUGUAAUGAUUUUGUCGACUUAAAAAAAUCGAGUUUAUUUUUGUAUUUAUAUCAAGAUGCUAUACAAUCUUUGAGUUAUUGCACAUCUCUCUUUGACCAUCAUGUUCCUUCUUCGUUUGGAUACCUUGAUUUUUAAUUCUCAAGUAAUGAAAAGAAGUAAUUUUUUUUUUUUUUGAAAUUCAUUCGUAUAUAUUUUAGGUAAAUAAAUCAUAGACGAAUGUAUACAUUUCCUUGUUCUACUUAUCCACUGGAAAUUAAUAAUUCUUUUCAUUAUAUUAAACAUUCAAUAGAAAAAUAAUCAUGGUUAUCAUUCAAGAAUGUGUUUCUUCACAUUCCGCACUUAGUUCCACAAACGAUGCCUGCGAAGUGCUUACAUGCUUCACUCAUGGUGCACAAGUGCUGCAAAUAUGUGAAAUCUUUUUAUUUUAAGAUUUUCCCUCCAAAAUUAAACUUUUGUAGGAAAAUUUUUACUACGGCUCCCCAAGAUUUUGAAUAAAUUACAAUUCCGCCCCAACUCAAUUUUUAUUCCCUCCCAUCUCCAACCUUUCAUUAAGGAAAAUGGCACUUUUUAUGACGUGAACAUUUGCAAAAUGUUACUAGUCGACCCUCAACCUUUUUUCUCACCAGAUGUUGCAUUUUGUUUUGUUUCUUUUUUGGAAAUGUUCAGUUUUAUUUAAUUGUGGUCACUUAUCAUCUCUUUGUUAAUUUAUCUCCACCAGGUUUUGAUGCUCCUUUUAGCCAAUAAAUACAUGCCCGGAUAAAGAUCAGUUAUAUUAUUUUCGCCGUUCUCUUUAAAAGUGAUCUUUAAUCUCUUCUCGAUAUAAUCAAGAGUUAUUCUGUAUGCCAGAUUUCAAUUGCAGACUCGUGAAUCUAUUACAUGAAUUGGACGACAGGUAGAAAAGUGACAGAGCAUCCAAGGAACAUCGCAGCAUACAGAAGACAUUGGCGGGCGGUAUGACAGUGAAAGGGUCAUCAUCAGAAUCUUCUCCUCCAUCUUCAAAUCAGCAAGAUCGUUUCAUGGAUAAAUUCAAUUUACUUGUGGCUAUAGGAUGCAAAGUCUGUUUAAUUUACUUCAUGGUGCCAAAAUAGGUGGAAUCCAGACUUAAAGAAAUUUACGUACUCGUGCAUCUCUUCGAGAAGGAUAGACCUUACAUAAUACAUGCUGAAUCUAUAUUGUGUUGGAAAUAAAAAAUAUGGAAAGAAAGACUAGAGAAAAAAUUCAGAGAUUUCUCCAAAAUUUAUUUGUAUUCUAUGGCUUGGCUCUAUAAAAUGUCUCAAGCACAAGGCCUUUUAUAGGUACAAAUGAUCCCAAAUACAUUGCAUAAACUUAAGAGAUCAAUUAAUGACCUUUCCUACAUACUAUGAAUAAUACAAUACAAACAACCAUUUGGAUACAUGAUUUAAAAUAAAUGCAUGAAUAUUAAAUAAACUAAUUCAUGUAUCAAAUUUAAUUUUACAUCAUUCAUGAAUCAAGUUUAGUUUCCAACGCCCCUUCUUAAACUUGAUUCCCUCUUGAUAACUCCAUUCCAAGUACGCAAUCUUGCAAAAUCAUCAUUCUUCAAUGGUUUGGUAAAAAUGUAUGCUACUUGAUCAUUGGUCUUCACAUAAGCAAGCUCAACUUCUUUGUUCUCAAUGCACUUUCUAAUGAAGUGAAAUCUCAUAUCUAUAUGCUUGCUUCGAUCAUGGAACAUAAGAUUUCGAUCAUGGAACAUAAGAUUUUGGGGCAUAUGAAGCAUCUCCAAUAACUUCUAUAGCCAAAUGGCACGACAAAUACACGAUGCAGCGAAAACAUAUUUAGUUUCACAAGUAGAAAGAGUCACAAUGGGCUAUUUUUUUGAACACCAAGUGAAAGCGGUGUUACCCAUGAAAAACAAAAAUCCAGUGGUGCUUUUUCGAUCAUUAAUAUCACUAGCCCAAUCACUAUCACUAUAACCAUGAAGCUUGAGAUUUGUAGAAGAAGAAUAAGCUAUGCCAUAAUCAAGGGUACCUUCAAUAUAGCGAAGUAUACUUUUAGCAAUCUCCAUGUAAGUUAACGUUGGUGACUCCAUAUAACGGUUAACAAGACCAAUACCAUAAAGAAUAUUAGGUCUUGUACAAGUCAAAUAUCUCAAGCUUCCAACAAGUUGUCUAUAGAAAGAUGUAUCCACUUUCGUACUAUCGUCAUAUUUUGACAUUUUUGUUCCGCACCCAAUGGGAGUACUCACCGGAUUGCAAUUUUGCAUUUUGAACCUAUCAAGAACUUUCUUUGCAUAAGCUUCUUGAAAAAUAAAAAUGCCAUUUUCAUUUUGUUUUACCUAAAUUCCAAAUUCUUGAGCCAUCAUUUUCUUAGAUUAGUCAAACAUGUUUUCAUUGUUGCCAGUGAUGAUCAAGUCAUCAACAUACAAGCACAUAAUCAAAAAACCUCCAAAUGCAUCCUUUUUAACAUAAAGAGCAUCCUCAUGUGGACAUUUGGUGAAUCCAUGAUUUUGCUGUUGAUCUGACUAUUCCAGGCUCUAGGCGCUUACUUCAAGCCAUAUAGCGCCUUCUUCAACUUCAAGAAUUUAUCUUCAUGUUCCUUGACAACAUAACCUAAUGGUUGUUGAAAGUAAACUUCCUCUUCAAGGUAUCCAUUCAAGAAAGUGGAAUUGAAGUCUGUUUUAUAAAUUUUCCACUUAUUUUGAGCUACGAAGGAAAUGAUUAAUCAAAUGGUUUCCAAGCGGGCAAUGGGGGCAAAGGCAUCAUCAUAGUCAAUGCCAUGCUUUUGGCUAUAGCCUUUGGCAACAAGUCUUACCUUGUAUUUAUCCAGUUCUCCUUUAGCAUUUUUUUCACUUUGUAUACCCAUUUCACGCCAAUUUCUUUUUGUCCUUUAUGACGAGACAGAGCUCCCAUGUAUUGUUCCUUUUUAUUUCUCGAAUCUCCUCAUACAUUGCAUGCCUCCAUUUUUUAUCUUUCAUUGCCUCUUCAAAUCUCAAUGGCUCGGUAUUAGGCAAGAGACAAAAUAAAGAUGGAUUAUCAACUAUUUCAGUUUCUUCAUAAAUCUUUGCAAAAUUUCUAAUACGACUCGGUCCUUUGGAUGGACUAUCAUGAGGAGAUUGAGCAGGCGAAUGCAGUGGAGUAGCAUCUUCACUUGCUUCUUGGCUAGAGUCUCCUUCUUCAAAAGGAAAAAUCACGUAUUCUUCAUUUUUCGUAACAUUUCAAUCCUAUGAGCUUCCUUCAUCGAAUUUCGCAUCUCUACUAAUAACAAUCUUCCCAUUGCAAGGAUUAUAAAACUUGUAGCUUUUGGAGCUUGGAUCAUAACCUAUGAAAACAAACUUCUCACUUUUCUCAACAAGUUUUAAUCUCUUCUCGUCUGGCACAUGAAUAUGGGUAAUACUACCAAAAACACGUAAGUGAGAAACACUAGGUUUCUUACCACUCCAAGCCUAUUGUGGAGUCAUGUCUUGAACACUCCUUGACCGAGAAAGAUUAGAUAAAUAUACGGCACAUGCAAUAGCUUCAGCCCAAAACUCUUUCUCUAUACUCUUGCUCUUAAGCAUACUACAAACCAUGUUGAGAAUAGUUCUAUUCUUCUGCUCAACAACACCAUUUUGUUGUGGUGAUCUUGAAACUGUGAGAAAAUGCUGAAUCCCAUUGGUAUAACAAAAAUUGUUAAACUCCUUGGAAGUGAAUUCUCCAUCACGAUCAGUCCUUAAUGCUUUAAUAGAGUUGCCACUCUCAUUUUCAACAAGAGCUUUAAAUUUUUUGAAUGCUCCAAAAACUUCAUCUUUCAUCUUCAAAAAAUAAACCCAAGUUUUGCGAGAAAAACCAUCAAUAAAUAGCAAGAAAUAAUUUUCUUUAUCAUGAGAAGGUGGUUUGAUUGGUCCGCACAUAUCCGUAUGAACAAGUUAGAGUGGUUUUGAUGCUCUUGAGGUGGAUUCUUUUGGAAACUUCUUCUAGCUUGCUUGCCAACGAGACAUCUGAUAAGUGCAAUUUGUGUACUUAUUUAUAUCAUUUUAUUAAACCUUUAUGUAAUCAAAUUAAUUUAGGUUCAUUUUUGUUCGUUUCAGUGUUCGACCAUUUUGAAGCAAUUAGAAAAGAAAAGGAUCAAUUGGCUAUUAAAUAGAAGUUGUGGACCAAAUAUAAAUUGAAAAAAAAAAGGAGGAGAAUUCAAGGAGUUGGAAACUUUAAUUUCAUUUGGACCUUUAUACUAGUUGGGCUGCCAACCAUGGUUUAUGUGUGUGUGUAUAUAUAUAUACAGCCAAACGUACAUGAACAAAAAAAGGGCAGGAAUAAGGUAGUCUUAGCCUUGCUGGCAGCCGCAGUGUGAGGGUUCGAUUCCUGAAAUAUGAAAUUGGACUCUUUGUGGGCACCAGUGUACAGGUAAGCUAUUGUUCCUUGGCCUGUUGGGACAUAUCCCGUGAGUUAUCUCCCUCAUGAUGCUCUAGGGGCCAGGCGGUCGGGGUUCAACCUUUUAGAAAAAAGGGCAGCCACUUGAGAUACACAUUGGAGAUUCGGGUUGCUAAAUUUGAGAUUGAUUUACACACCAACUAGGAGCAAAAAAAGGGGGACAAAACCUGGAGAAAGACAAAAAAGGCUGACCUGCUAUUGGAAAAAAAUACAAGGGUUGGCUGCUGAUUUUAUAUAUAUAUAUAUAUAUAUAUAUAUAUAUCACAUACAGAAGACAAGGAACGGAGAAUUGGGGUCAAACAUUGUGGCUGGGCUAGAUUUCAUAUACAGAAAAAUAAUUGAAGAUAUAGAAAACAACGACUGUUGGAUGAAAAAAUACGCACAGAUAGAAAGAAAAUAGUGGGUUGUUGCUGGAGAAAAACACGCAAAGCCGAUGAAAGUACGAAAUUGAGGAAUUAAUCACGUUCUGUCAAAUUUUGGUGAUGUUAUUCUACUUUAUGUAUUUAAUUCCAACAUUAUGUUGGACUAAUUUUUCUUGUGUAUUGGAUGAAAAUGAAAUCCAUUAUUAUUUAUUUUUAAUUCAAGACACGUGAUUUAGUUAAAUUCUUGCAAUUCAUAUUAAUCUUGCAUGCGUAAUUUUAUUAUUUGAUUGCUUAAUUACCAAUUAAAUAUAUGAUUGCUUGUUGUAGUAUUGAGAGGCUCACAAAAGGUUUAGAACACUGCUUGAUUAACAUGUAUGCAAUAAAUUUUCGGAAUAAUAUUUGCCACAUGUGCAAUCUCUGAGAUAAUUGUGAAAUUGAAUGCGUUUUAUUCAUUCGAAUUCGGACAAGAAGUAGAUUUGGAUCAUGAUUAUGACAGAUUUAAUUUGUCUUGAAAAAGAAAAUUAAUCACAAUAGAAUUAUCUAUUGUCAAAAAUGCAUAAACGAAGUAGUCAAGAAUUGGAAUAGAAAAUAAUAGGUGGACUCGUAAUUCAAUACAAUAUUCCUAUACUUUUUAAAUUCACAUUUUACAAGUUUUUGUAGAUUAAGUUAGAUUAAUUAAAAACCGUAGUUCACUUUUAUUUGUUUACUUUGAACCUAAUUAAAUACUAGUGCACUCAAUUAAAUUUUAUUCCUCAUGGGACAAUACUCUUAACUCACAAAAUCUAUUGCUUGUCAACGAUCCUGUGCGCUUGCGGUUUUCGCACGAACAAGUUUUUUACGUCGUUGACUGAAAAUAGUUUAUUUAAUUUGAGUUUAUUAGUUAUUUUUAGAUUUGAAGUUUUUAUUCCUUUUUUCUUUACUUUAUUUGUUUUAGGCUAUUCAUUGAACGAUCUAAGUCUCUUGUGUUUACUCUUCUCAGGAAAUCGUAGUUUAUGCAAAAUUCUGACGAGAUCGAACUUCUUCUAAUAGAUCCCGAAAUCGAAAGAACUUUUAGACAACGAAGAAGAGAACAUAGACAAGCAAGAGAAAAUGGCAAAAAAUCAACAUCCAAAUCAAGUUCAAAACCCUUUUCCACUACCCUAGCCAAUUCAGCCAAGGGCAGUAGCAAAUCAAAGAGAAGCUUUAGUGAGGGAUAAUGUAAAAUGUCAUGCCAGCUCUAGUGCAACUGACUAUCAUAUAUCCACCUUUUGGACUGGCCAACUUCCGUAUUAGGCCUAACGUUAUCAACUUAUUCCAAAAUCAUCAAGAUAUCAGGUUCUUUGGAAGAUCAACCAAAAAUCCUGACGAACAUAUUCUGGCAUUCUCGAUGCUCUGCGAUAUGAUCAACCACGAGAAAAUGUCUAUGGAUAUUUUUUGACUAUGCCUAUUUCCUCAUACAUUAAAGGAGGGCGCAAGAGAAUGAAUAAAUUCCUUAACUCCUGGGAGCAUCGUUUCACGAAAUUAGAUGGUACAGAGGUUCACAUUGAAAUUUUUCCUGCCAUCUCGAGUCCAUCAUAUCCGAAAUGAAGUCCAUACUUUCAGGCAAAAGGACCUCGAGAGCUAUCCAGAAGCAUGGAAAAGAUUCAAAGAGUAUUUCAGAAAGUGUCCUACUUUGAAUAUUCUAAAAGAAUAAAAAAUAUGCCUAUUCUAUUAAAGCUUGAGACCUGAAUUUCACAACAUCCCAAAUGCUUCUGUAGGAGGGUCGAUAUCGGAUAUUUCGUUGGAUAAUGCCUUGGAACUUUUUGAGCGAAUUGUAGAAAAUCAAUCUAGUGGCCGAGGGACAGGGAAGUCCAGAGGAAAACAAAUGGUAUAUAUAAUGUGGACGCAGUGAUAGGGUUGACAGCACAGAUGGAAACAAUAACAAGAAAGCUUGACACUUUGACCCAUCCUAUGAAUAUAUUACAAAAUCCAGCUCUAAAAUGUGAAGGUUGUAGGGCAAAUCACAUUACUGUAAGUUGUCCUUUGGUUUCUACUCACAUAGGUCAGCCAGUAAAGAUCAGUUAUGCGCAGAACUAUUAGAGGCAAAAUAGACCUUACCCACACAACUACCAUCUAAGUUUGAACAAGUAUCCCAACUAUGCGUGGUUUAACAAUUCGGAUUAAGUAAAUUAUAUGAGGAGCAAUCCACCAAGAUUCAGCAACAAGAAGAAAAGAGGCAAUUAUUGGAGGAUCUACUUGUCAAGUACAUCACUAAGUUUGAGACGGUGAUACACAAUCAGCAAGCCUCUAUACAUAACAUAGAGAAACACGUGGGACAUAUAGCAGUUGCAUUAGCCAAAGACCACAAGGUACCUUACCCAGUGAUAUAGAAAAGAACCCAAAGGAAUAGGUAUUAGCAGUUGAAGUUGUGAAUUAUGCAACUAUCGAUACACCAUCGAUCAAGCCUGCUACACCUGUUCAAGCUUAUGUACCGCCUAUCCCAUUCCCUCAAAGGGUUCAAAGACCGUCUAAAAAGGAACAAAGCUAGGCUAUCACAACGAGAAGCGGAGUUCAGCCGCCAGAAACCACAUUGAAGAAGAAAGAGACUGGGGAGAAUCAAGUACAUAUCUCGAAGGAAGAACAAGUGGGCCAGUUUAAAAAAUCAUCAAAUGUUAAUCAAGAAGAACAGUUACAGAAUAAUAAACUGGACAAACAAUUCAAAAAUUUCUUGGAUGCCUUUAGAUAACUUCACGUCAACCUACCUUUCAUUGACACCAUUUUAUAAAUUUCAAAUUAUGCUAAGUUUUUGAAGGAGAUGUUGACAAAGAAGAGAAAACUGCUAAAAGAUGAAACAGUAACAUUGACAUAUGAGUGUAGCGUGAUCAUUCAGCGUAGGAUCCCUCCGAAACUUAAAGAUCCAGGGAAUUUUACUCUACAUUUCUCCAUAGGAAAUUUACAAGAUAUAAAUUGUUUAAUUGACUCAGGAGUAAGUAUUAACUUAAUUCAUUUGCCUCUUUACAGGAAACUAGGAUUGAGAGAUCCUAAGGCUGCUUCUAUCAUCCUUCAACUGGUAGAUCGAUCACUGAAACACUUCUAUGGAAUAGUUGAAGACAUGCUUAUCAAGGUGGAAGAGUUUAUUUUUCCAGCUGACCUCAUCAUCCUCGAUAUAGAAGAGGCAUAUCAGAUGUCAAUAAUCUUGGGAAGGCCAUUCUUGUCUAUAAGCCGAGCAUUGCAAGAUUUCGAUGCUAAUGAGAUAGUCUUGAGGAUGAAGGAUAAGCAAUAGAGCUUUACAUGGAGAAUCCAAUUAAACAACCAUCGUACUUUGAGGAUUGCCAAUAAGUUGGUCAUUGGGAAAGCUACAAAGGCAAGCCAAAUGAAGGUGGAAUUGUUGGUAGAGAUAGCGAUGGAAACAUAAUUGUUUGGGGGAUGAAAGAUGAAAGAAGGAAGUACAAUCAGUGCAUAAAAUGCAGAGCUGAAUAUUCCCUCUUCCAACCACCAUGAAUACCAAAACAACAAAGUCUAACUAAAUACUAUAAAUUAAGCGCUUAUUGGAAGAUAACCUAAUUUCAUUACCAUUUAUUUAUUUUGCUUUGUUGAUCGUAUUGCAUAUAAACUUGUUUUGAUUAUUAGUAUGCAUUAGAUUUAGGCACGUUUAAAUUUAUAGGGUAUCAUCAUCCGAUAAUGUUUUCGCUAAGGCUCUUAAAUUUAAUGUUGGUUAUUUCGAGUGUUUGGGCUAAGUAAUACACGUUUUAGAUUAUUUGAUAUCUAAUGUUUGAUUUGAUUGUCAUAUGCAAAAACAUAACGUCGUCGAACACCCAAACCCAUAUAGACCAAGAAAAAGCAUGAUGAGAAAAAUUGUCUGGCCGUCACCCAUAGUCCAUUCCACAAUCAAUAGAAACAUCUAGGGAGUAUCUUUUUCCUUUUCUUUCCCGUCCCCUUAUAUUUUUAAUUAUGCUUUAAGAUAUUAAGGACAAUAUCUAGUUUAAGUUUAGGGUGGAAAAAACUUUAAAGCUUUGGUUUUUCGUAUUUUUUUGUUCGUUUGUCUUGUGUGUUUAUAAAUAAAUAAAUAAAAAUUGUUUUUGUGUGAUAAAAAAUAUCGUUAAAUUUUUUUAUUUUUUUACUUUUGGCUGUGUGCUUGUGUUAGUUAGACAGUUUAGUUAAUAAUGAUGAUUAAAUUUGAAAUUUGAUGUUGAUUUAUGAACUAUAGAUAGGGAGCAUGCUAGAUGGAUUGAAAAUUAAACUUGCAAAACUUGAUAUUAUAUACGCACUAAAAUUGAGUUUGACAUUAUGAUGAAAUGAGUUGAUUCAUGCAUUUGAUAGAUUGAUUUAGUUAAACAUAGAUGCUUUACGCAAACCAUACUAAUUAUAUAUCCUUAGACCAAAUUUAGCACAAUUUGGAGUUUACUGUUGUAGGAAAAUACGGAUAUGAAUGUGGAUUUCUCUUGUGAAAAAGUUUGUGUGGAUUGUCUUAGCUUAACAAGAUAAAAUUGGGUGAAAGUCUUAAAUUGAAAGUCAAUUUUUUCGAAUGGUUGUGUGGUAAGGGGCAUUGCACUGAUCAAAGCAUAUAUUUUUAAAUUUAAAACUUCUCUUCGAAACCUUUAUUACUCGAUUAAUUAAGCUUGUAAGGGUAUCUUAAAACUUGGUGCCUUAAAAUCAUCUGACUUGAGAGUCAUCAACCUAAAGCCUGCUAUAUGAGUAAUCUAAAAAGUUUAAGGAGGAGACAAAAGAAAAAAAAAAUUUUUUAAAAAUCAGAAAAAGUAAGUGCAUGAAAAAAGCAAAAAUACUAAAUGCCUUGUUAUGCCCCAACACUUGUUUGAGAGAAUUUGACUUCUAAUUAAAUGAUGACAGUCGAAGCAAUCAAAUAAUUGGAGAAUUCUAGUUUAUUGACGUGUUGACUUGCAACUAGUGACGUCUAUCUAAAUUGGAGAGGAACGGGAUAGUAAUAAAAAAUUCAAUCUUGGAUCACAAGCUGGGAAAAGAGUGAAAAAGAAUAAGUUUGGGGGUGUGUGAAUCUUACAAGAGAUUAAAGGAUAUAUUUGACCAUAAAAUCUUACAAUAAAAUCUGAUAGAGUGACUAACAUAAUGAAUUUUAGCUAAGGGAGACAAAAAAAAUGUUUUUAUAGCAUUUAAAAAGAAUAAAGCCUCCUGUCCCGUGUCGGGGACGGGGGAAAAUAGGGACACCACAUGGCGAUAGGCGUCACAUGGCUCCCUUGUCCCUGUCCCUGUCUCCAAUCCGGGACAAGGAGUAGGGUUGAUUUAAUAAUUAGAAAAAGAAGUUUGGAUAAGUCGUGGACCACCUUAAUAACCUCAAAUCAAUAGCAUGUUAUUUGCCAUUGUUGACUCCUAUGAAAAGGUCAAUUUGAACUAGCAAUGGUCAUCUUCACCCAUAUGGAGGUAUCGGUUAAGGUCCACAAAGGCGGCUGGAAGGAAGCUUUACGUGCCAGACUUUUUUGUUGAGCAAAUUUGGAACACAAAAUCAUCAAAGUGGAAUGGUCCAAAACCAUAACCACCACAUAGUACUAAUCCAAACUUCUCUAUUAUUGCACAAACUCCACUAGUGUAUUCACCAUUCUAAAAGUGACACAUAUUUUCGUUUUUUAGCUUAUGUAUUUAACACACCUUUUGCACAAUACUCAUUUUUUAUUAGUCAGUAACUAAGACAAAUUUCAUUUAAAAUUGAGUGGUAGUGAGACUUGAACUCGGACCCUUCACUUGCUAUGCUACCAUAUUAAAUAACACUGACAACGUUGUGACUAAAGCUAAGUUAAAAUUACUUAUUGAUUAAUAAAUUAUUUAAGAAAUUACAACCUACUUUAUAGCAAUAGUGAAGUAGUAACACGAGGGAAUGGUGAAAAGGAAACCCCAUCGAGGAGUGAAAUGAAAUAUGAAACCAUAAACUCCCAAACAGUGAGAAGAGCCAGGUCUCUUAAGUCCAAUGAAGCAUACUCCUCACAUGACUUGAGUAAAUUACAGAAACAUCACUUGAGGUUUAUAAAAAACACGAAGAAAACAUUUAUUAUUUAAAAAUUGCAAAAAUCUUUAUUAUUAUCAUAAUAUUUCCAUUUAACUCCUUCUGUUUUCUUAUUUCUCUUUCCCUUAAUUUCUAUUUAGGGAAAAAAAGUUGUUUGAUUUUAAAGAAAAUUAAAUAGUUUAAUUUUAAAUUGAUUUGCAUUUAAAAAAUAAUACAAAGCAUCUAAUACAAAAGUGAAGUAAAAAGAAAUCUAACCAUUAAACGUUUGUUUCCAACUUUAUUUCAUUUUACUGUUACGUACUUCAAUUUUCUAAACUUAGUAUGUUAUAAAUUUUAAGAGUAUAAAAAAAUGAAAAAACUGAGAAAAUGCUAAUAAAUCGAACAGCAUAAAUAUUUGACGAUUUUUAAUUAGCUUUAUUAAAGGAUUAUAAAACAUGUAUUUAUAUUGAUUUGUUAAUUAUUUCUAAUCGGAUUUGAAAAAAAAAAGCUCUUUAUAAUUUAAUAAGACAAUAAAGAUAUUUAUAAUAGUACUUGUUUCUAUUGAAACUAAUCAUUUCAUCAAAAUCGAAAGAAUAAAGAGGAGAAAGUAUGGUACUCUGAAUAUAAUAUAAUACGGAUAUCAGAAGAGUUAAAAUAAAAGAAUUUCAAAAUAAUAUAAUUGAAAUGGUAAAAUGGUAAAUUACAUAUAUGCCUUUUGUCGAUAUUAACAAGAGAUUUUCAUAAUUUUUGAAAAGCGGAUGAUAAAUCUUUAAUAUUCGGUAACCUCAAGGGGGUAGCUAAAACUAGUUCUUUUAGUGCAACAACAAUGAUUAGUAAAGGAGAUUCUACCAAUUUCAACUGGAAAUGAAAUUCAAAUUGGGUUAUUAAGUUGGUAGAAACAAUUGAUAAGUACUCCACAAACUCAUUAGACUCGGUCUGCUCAUCGAUCCAAUUAAAGCAUCAUAUCACUAGGUUAGUAGUUCAACAGAUGAGUUAGUGAUUUAAUUAGUGGGUCGUUAUCAAGUCAAAAGUUUAUAUAUUAUAAUUUAAAAUUUUAUCUUGUUUGAUCGUGAUUAAAACUUAGAUUUUAAUUUUAGUCAAAGUCAAUAAUUAAUUUUAACUACAUAUUUUAUGGGUCCCACAACUUUUCGACCACACAUUUUAUGAAAUUUUAUCAAAAUUUAUAAAAAAAAUCUUAUUUUAAUCCCCACUAAAGAAGGGCUUAUCAUUUGAACAAUUAUAUUUUAUAAGUUCUUAAAUUUUCUUUCUUGUUUUAAAAUAAAAUUGAAGGCGUAACAUAUAUUUAAUCACACUAUUUGAUAGGGUCUAAAAUUUAGAUUUAAAUUCAAGUCAAAAUCAACAAUGAAUUUUAAUCACAUAUUUCAUGGAUCUCACAAUUUUUCAAUUUCACUUUCACCUAGUUUUAUUAAAAAUUGCUAAAUAUUUGAUUUUAAUCUUCAUCAAGCAAGCUAAACAAAUCUACUACUAGCGGUAAUACUUUUGUUUAGUCGCAGGUCUAACAGCUAACGGUUGAAGCCUGGUGAAAAGUGGCUUCCUCCAUCAACUUUGAGGGUCCUGGGUUCAAGGCGUGACAUGGCCCCUUAUACAUUAUAAAAAGAAUUGGCCAGUUUUGCAAAACUAGACUAGUUCUUGAUAAAUUUGAACUGUUCGACGGGUUUAAAACAUUUUAAAUGCUAAUUGAUCCAAAAAAACUAUUUGUAUUGGACGGGUUUUGUUCACUGAUUUUCUGAUCAAACUGACAAUUCUACUUAGAGUACUUUCCACAACUUCAAUCCAGAAUAUGUUCCUAUUCACGAAUUAAAGAAAUAAUUAUCAAGAUCAAAAUAAUCUUUGGUUUAGAUUUCAUGAUUCGAACUAAUUACCCUAAAUUUUCAAUAUUUGGUCAAUCAUAAAUAAUUAGAAAGGAGACAUGAAAAAAUGUCUUACAGUUGGCACAAUUCUACCAAAUUAUUCUGACCCAUGGAACAAUGCCAACCGUCAAUUUAAACAAGUACAAACAUGAAUUUUAUAAGUUAGAUCAAUUAAUUUUCUUCACAAAAAUCGGGAAGAGGAGGAAAAAUGGAGAACUGUGCAAUGGCUCUAUCUCCUUUCAAAUCAUUCAACAAGUCUACAAAAAUUCCAUUUAGGAAAAUCAGCUACAGAUUCAGCGACAAAUAUAGAGCAGUUUUGUGUGGGAACUCUACAAAAUCAUUCAUCAAAUCGUCCCAUAAUGUUCUCUCUCUAUAUUCUACUUCGAAUUUUAAUAAAAAAUACUCGACAUUGUUGUCUGAGACUCAAACAUCAUUCGAGUUCAAGGUUAAGUCAUCGGCCGCAGUUCCUGAAAGUGUAAGUGAUGCUGGAAAUAGCAAUGGCGUGUUCAAGACUUUGCAGCUUGGAUCAAUGUUUGCAGUAUGGUAUCUACUAAACAUCUACUUCAACAUUUACAAUUGAAAAACCUAUCGUUCGACCCAACUAACACCUAGAGGGGGGGUAAAUAGGUGUUCUUGCGGAAUUAAAAACUUUUUGAAUAAUUCAUGCAACAAGUCACACAAAUUAUAAUUUGUCUAGAUUAAUUCACGUGCUUUAUCUGCCUAUGUUGGAUUACCAUUGACAAGUAAAUAAAUUAAAGCGGUAAAAACACAAUAAACAUAUUGACGGAGAAACCCAACUGGGUAAAAACUCCGGGCACAAGCCAGUAGAGAUUCAUUAUUGUAGAAACCAACUUACAGCACGCCAGACAUCAUUGACACUCUCAAUUUUCUGACCUUCUUGCUGUAUGAACUCAAGACCCUCCUGGAUUUUGCAAAUCUGUGCUAAAUCCCAGCCUUGUAUAAUUUCUACCUCCCGUGAAUCGCCACGCACUCCAGCUCUUCAAGCAAAUCCUUCCCGGAUCUUCAAACUGAUGAUCUUCUGGAAGUUUAAUUGGAGUUGUCAGACAGGUAUUUUGGUGUUUAUGGAUUUGAUGUUUUUUUUUUUUUACUCAACAACCCAAAGAUUGGUAUGAGAACAAUGAAGGAUUUCUUUGGUUUUUGAUCCUUGGAGAGAAUGAUUUUGAUUUUUGGUUGCCAAGGAAUUGAAAGGAUAUUCAAAGUGUUUUCAAUGUGAAUUUUCGGGUUAAUGAACACGAAUCAGACGUUUGGUAUAUAUAGAGGUCGAUAUAUGGUAAUGUGGAGCGUCAAACAUUCGCGAGCGUUUAAAAUUAGAAUUCGCUAGCUAACACGGUCGCUCGAGCGAUGGCUCAGCGUGAGUCCAACGAAGUUGGUUCUGCAAUUGUGGCUCGAGCGAGGUCAGGGCGAGACUCUAGCGAAUCAAAGUGCCGCUUGCAUCUUCGAGGCAUCCCACACAACCCUAGACCUAGCCUAUAAACUUUAGUUAAUUGCAACUCUAGUCUCUGAACUAUUGGACAUUGACAAUUUGGUCCUUGACUUUACAAUUUUGACAAUUUGGUCCUUGGUCACAGAUUUGCCAAUUACAUAUUUUCCUAACAAACUCCCCCUUUGGCAUUCUGUGACAAAAACACAUUUGACAGUCAAGGAUAAAAAACAAAUUGACUCCAAACUACCAAUCUAUUCUAUCACAUCAGCAAUAUCUUGUUGAACCUAUUUCCUGAAAAACAAAACUCAAAUACCACGUGAAAAAGCAUGUGAAAUGGAAACGGUAAAUAUAGAGAAGAUAUAAAUCAUAUAUCAUUAACCAGAUUAAGAAGCAAUAAUAAUGUAUGUCUAAAACACCAAAAACAGACAUUAAGAUUGCCAAAACAUCAAAAACUUAAUCUAGUUAUAAAAUGACAUAUAUACAUCAACUUUAUAUCACAGUUAUCAAAAAAUAAUUAUCUGCUCCAAUAUCUAUGCAGCUCCAAUAUCUAUGCAAUCUACUCCAUAUCAACUCAAUCAAUCUACUCCCCCUUUUUGUCACAAAGGGCCAAAGAAAAGCGAAAGCAACAAAAUGAACUAAGAAGCAGCAUCUCCAGCACUGGAAGAAUCAGAACCACUCUCAGCACUCGUGCUCUCCUCCAAAUGAUCUCGAAUCCAGCUCAACUGACACUGACAGACAGCAAGAGCAUGGCGAAACGUAGACAUCUUGGCUGACUGACGCUCUGAAGCAGCACGUAACUGCGUGAUCUCAAAUAUCAUACGAGCCUGCUGCUCGAUCAGUGUAGACAUCUGACCCACAAGCGUCACCAUGGGAUCAACGGGCAGAGAAGCCACCCUCGGAGCAAAAGUAGAUGUCGAAGCAAACGCAGAGCUGAGAGGCAUAACAGAAGGAUAAACUGGACGAGGAGGGAGAAACACACGGGAGCCCCCUGUAAGAAUCUCAGUAAUAGGAUCAAAGGGCUCCGAAGGAUCAAAAACAUCAGUGGUCGCAGCCGGAGCAGUAGAGGAAGAUGAUAGUACAUGGGAUCGACUCUGAUGAAUGGUCUGCUGUCCAAUCGGACGUCCUAUGCGACAAGUCGAACCCUCCGGAAAAGAGGCACCCAAAGACAACGCAACCCGAUGAAUCAAACAAGCAUAAGGCAACCCGAUCCGACCCCCAGGAGUAUGAAAGGAAGCCAGAAUAUUCUGUCACACAAAACUAGGAAAGUCGAUCGAGUCCCCAUGAAGAACGGCAUACAGAAAAUGGGCACGCACCAUAGGUAGAGAAGAGGUAUGGGCAACAGGCCACAGGUUUGUGCACACUAUGCGCAACAAGACCUGACGAUCAGUAGGCAAUGACCCCGUGGCCAUCGCCGUAGGCCCACCGAUAGACGGGGUGUUCAAGAGCGUAGACCGAACAAGAGUAUCGGCCGGAAUAGAAGCAGGUAAAAUAUAGGGAUACGUCGGAUGGGUAAUCUGAGGUAUACCUAAGGCAUGAGCUAUAGCCGAUGGAGUAACUCUAAACGAAUGACCUCUAAGAGUAACCCUAAAGGACGAGCCGUCUAUAUCAUGAAUAUUCGCGUAGAAUUCCUGAACGAGGAGUGGGGGAGGAGGUGAAAGACCAAUGAGAAGGGGCUCCCAACCUCGGGAAACAAAAAUGGCGGCUAUAUCAACAGGAAGGUCAGAUAAGAUUACCUCACGCUCCACGAAAACGGGGCGUAAGGAGAACUGAGAAGUGAAGAUUUCCUGAGCUGUAGCAGAAAUGAAUCUGGAACGACUAUACGACGUCGAACCACUAGCUGGCUGUGCAGAGGAUCGAGAACGCUUACGGGCCAUCUGGCAUUUGUAGAGACAAAACUAAUAAGUAAUAUGAAGAAUGCAUGUGAUUCGAUGCAAUGUGGAAUGAAACACCACACACACAAAAGAGGCACAAUAGAGAUGCAUCGACAAACGUGAAUGACCCUAAGCACAAACGAAGUAAGAUGAAGAUAUAGACCAAAAACAUAUGGGAACACACCUAUCAUGGCACGUGAUGACAAAGAACCAACGACGGAAAGGAAAGAAAGAAAUGAGAUGCGCAGAAAAAAAGGGAAACAAAGAGUAAAAUAGGUAAGGAAUUUCAUCGAGCAUGUGGCGUGCAUCACUUUGUCACACAAUUCCAAGCACAUGUGAGAUCCAAUCACCCAUCCAAUCAUAGUCCCUCAAACUAGAAAUGACGUACUUUAAAAUGAAACAAACCACACAUCAAACGGAUUAACGGAAUGCAAGAACGAACGAAUUGAAAAUGGAUGAAAAAUAUGUAAAUCACAUAGUUCGAAGAAUGAAGAAAUCAACAAUGCAAUGGAAAUCGUGAUGCACAAUGCGGGAAAGAACUCCCAAUGAAACACGGAAUGUCGAAGCCACUAUUAAUUAAGUAACAAUCAAGCAAGAAUACCAAAGUAAGCCAAACACACGACAAAGAGAAGGAAAACGAAAAAAAGAAAAAAAAAUUACCUCAAUAUGAAGUUUGGCAAAGGAAAUCCGAAAACAAAUAUGUUAUGAACCGUAGAGUGAUGUUAUUAGAGGAAUAUGGGGAUGAAAUAUGGAGGAAAUCACGAAGAAAAACAAAGGAGAAGAGAAAAAGAAGAAAAUGCGCGAAAAAAAUGAAACAGGGCCGUUUUAAAAUAGGCCUGUCGCUCGAGCGAGGGUCCAGCGAGACUCGGGCGACAGGCAAACUGCUUUUGUCGCUCGAGCGAAGACCAGGCGAGACUCGAGCGAAACACCAAAUGUCAAAAAUAGCACCAAAAAUUUGAAUUUUGAGAAAAAUAACAUAAUCUUCAAGAAAUGACGAAAUUAGCCCCAAAUCGUGAAAUUUCAAAAAUAAGUGAACUACGUAAUAGUAGAAAAUAAUCCAAAAAAUAGCAUGAAACCACAUAUGCAAUCAAAACCAACAAUAAGCAUAAAAUCAAAAACUCGACCACCAGCACGUAGACAAAUCGUUAAUCCACACAUAGUUCAGAAUCCUGUGUAGUAAAGUGUAUACAGAACAUCAACGUGAAAAGUGCCACGUAGGCCAUGCAAGCUAGACUCAAAACCUUAAAUUAGUGAGAAAGGACACGUGAAAACAACCCGACAAAGGUGAAUGUCGACCAAAUGACAGUCAAAUUCAAUUCCACGAGGACCUAUAUCAAAUACUAUGAUUGUCACAAUUUUACUUUCCCUAACUGUAUGAUUCCAACUUUUUUUUUUUGUUUAUUGUUUUCAUUUAACAAAGAACUUAAGUGCAAUGCCAUCCCAUUAGACAACAUAAAUGACCCCUGUAACGAACUUUUGGCCGGUGACUCCCAAGUCAGACGACCAUAGGGCACCAGGUUAGAAACCCCUCAGGCUUAAUUGUUCGAGUCAAAUAGGCCCCGAAGAUAGCCAUAAGUUCAACAAAGAACAAAAGUAAAACUGGGGAAAGACAAUAUUGAUUAGGUUACACUCAUCCCAGAUCAAGUCAAAUGUACAUACAACCCCAAUCAUAGAAGAACACCAUCCCAAGUCUCACCCAUGCGGUCAAGACUCACUUACAGGACUACAGUGUGUGUUGUGUGAAAAUGAAUGACGAGCCAUAUACCCAGAACUCCACAUUGAAAAAUGAACAAAGAUGGAUCCUCAGAUUCAUACACAUGUUGGAAAAUAGAAUUUGAUCUUUAAUGCAAAUGCCAGAAUCAUUACAUAAAAGUCCCAAAAAAAAAUUUAUUCUAUUUUAUUUUAUCUGGUCUUUUUUUUUUAUUAAAACACACAUAUAACACAUAACAGAAGACUAAACAAAACAAAAGAAAUACAUCACACACACACAAAUCACACGCAAGAUAUGAAGUGAUGAGGUACAUAUGUGAUGAAUGCAUGAACAUGCAUGAAUCCAUGAUCAAAUAGGUGAGCAAACACCAACAACCGUCCGAAGCGACUCAAACCUCAAUCCAUCUAGUGGUUUCGAAAGUAGAUCAGCCAAUUGAUUAUCAGUAGAGACAUGGUCAAGAGAGACAACAUGUGAUUCAACAAGCUCUCGAAUGAAAUGAUGUCGUAUGUCAAUAUGUUUUGUUCGAGAGUGCUGAAUGGGAUUCUUAGAAAUAUUUAUCACACUCGUAUUAUCACAGAAAACAGUCAUUGUCCCUUGACUAAUCCCAUAAUCACUAAGCAUUUGUUUCAUCCAGAGAAGCUGAGUACAGCAACGCCCUGCAGCUAUGUAUUCGGCCUCUGCCGUGGAUAAAGAUAUUGAAUUUUGUUUCUUACUUAGCCAGGCUACGAGAUUGCUACCCAUGUAAAAACAACCCCCAGUCGUACUUUUCCUAUCAUCUGCAUUUCCAGCCCAAUCAGCGUCGGAGUAUCCAGCCAAAUCAAGAUUGGAAUUCCUAGAAUAGAAUAUCCCUAGAUCCACUGUACCACUGAUAUACCUGAUUAUGCGUCUAACAGAGCUUAGGUGUGACUCUUUUGGAUCUGCCUGAAAGCGAGCACACACUCCUACACUAAAGGCAAUGUCAGGCCUAGUAGCUGUGAGAUAGAGAAGACUACCUAUCAUGCUACGAUAUAGGGAAGGAUCUACACUCUUACCAGAAGGAUCACGACCUAACUUUAAGCUAGUACUCAUCGGUGUCCUAGUAUGCUUCUUACUAUCUAACCCAAAUCGCUUAACGAGAUCCUUAGCAUACUUAGAUUGUGAGAUAAAUAGUCCAUCCUCUGUCUGUCGUACCUAAAGUCCAAGGAAAUAACUUAACUUCCCAACCAUACUCAUCUCGAACUCUCUCUGUAGACACUCAGCAAACUCAAAUGCUAAAGACUCAAGAGGAGACCCAAAAAUGAUAUCAUCGACAUAAAUCUGAGCAAUGGUAAAAUUUUCUUCUAUAUGUCUAAUGAAUAAGGUCCUAUCUGCACCACCUCGAGAGAACCCAUGUUCUUCCAGAUAUGAUGUAAGUCUCUCAUACCAAGCUCUAGGAGCUUACUUCAAACCAUAGAGUGCUUUGUGAAGUUUGUAGACAUAGUGGGGAAAUUUUGGAUCAACAAAUCCCUUAGGUUGUUCCACAUAUACUUCUUCCUGAAGAAGUCCAUUCAAGAAGGCACUCUUAACGUCCAUUUGAUGCAACUUGAACCCUAAGGUACAUGCAACAGCAAGCAGAAUCCUAAUAGACUCAAGUCGUGCAACGGGGGCAAAAGUCUCAUCAAAAUCAAUCCCCUCAACUUGAGUAUACCCCUGAGCAACUAAUCUAGCCUUAUUCCUAGUUAUAGUACCUUGGUCAUCUGUCUUGUUCUUAAAGAUCCACUUGGUACCAAUAACAUUACAAUUUUCAGGUCUGGGAACUAAGAUCCACACAUUAUUCCUAGCAAAUUGAUUUAGCUCCUCAUGCAUCGCAUUCACCCAACACUCAUCACUAAGGGGCUCUUGAACUUUUUUAGGCUGUACCUGAGAAACAUAGCUAGUGUACGCUAGAUUGUUCAGUACUCUCCUACGAAGUCUCAUCCCUUCAUCUAGAUCCCCAAUAAUAUUAUCCUUAGGAUGACUAGACUUAACCCUAGUCGAUGGUUCCUUAGGAUUUUUAUCUAGAUUUUGUGGAAGUGUUUCCUUUUCAGAUGUUUCAGGUUUCUUACAAGAUGAUUCAAGCACAGGUAGCUCGGUAGGAUCACUUGAACUCAAAAGAUCACCAUCUUUAUCACAUUUUUCAGCACUCUCCCCCUCACUAACAGCAUCAUCUAUCACAACAUUUAUAGACUCCAUCACCACACGGGUACGUAAGUUAUACACUCUAAAUGCUCGGCUAUUCCUAGAGUACCCUAGGAAGAUCCCUUCAUCACUCUUUGAUUCAAACUUACUCAAGUUCUCUCUAUCCCGCAAAAUGUAGCACUUACUCCCAAAUACUCGAAAAUACUUAACAGUAGGCUUUUUACCCUUAAGAAUUUCAUAUGGGGUAUGAUCAGUCUUGGGUCUAAGGUAGACUCUAUUGAUGAUGUGGCAUGCAGUGUUAAUAGCUCCUCCCCAAAAGUGUAGGGCUAAUUUCUUGCCAUGAAGCAUGGCUCUAGCCAUGUCCUGAAGGACACGAUUCUUCCUUUCAACUACCCCAUUUUGUUGCGGAGUGAUAGGGGAAGAGAACUCAUGCAAUAUCCCUUCGUCUAUACAGAAACUCUCAAGAUUAAAGUUCUCAAACUCUUUUCCAUGGUCACUACGCAUCCUAGACACUUUGAGAUUCAGUUCAUUGCUAAGCCGUUUACACAGAGACUUUAUGAGGUCACAAGCAUCAGAUUUUUCCCUAAGCAAUUCUAUCCAAGUAAACCUCGAGAAGUCGUCUACCACGACAAGAAUGUAUCGCUUACCACCUAAACUCUCAGUCCUAGAAGGUCCCAUCAAAUCCAUAUGUACCAACUCCAGGGGUCUUUUGGUCAGAAUUUUAGUAGUCUUCUUAUGGCUCCCCUUAAGUUGUUUACCUAGUUGACAUGGUCCGCACACUACAUUGUCACUAGGAACUAUCUUAGGCAACCCAUCUAUCAAUUCUUUCUUAGCCAACUGCUCUAGACUCUUAUGGUUCAAAUGACCUAAUCUUUUGUGCCAGAGCUCACUCACAUCAAUUUUAACACUCCUACACACAUAGUUAGAAUUAGGUAAUACCCCAUAACAAUUGUCAGAUGUUCUAACCCCUUCAAGGACUAGCCCACCGGAUGAAUCAUACACGGUACAUCUCUUCUGCACAAAACUAACCUCAAAGUCGUCAUCACAAAUCUGACUGAUGCUUCACAAAUUUGACUUUAAACCUUCCACAUAAAGCACAUUAGAGAUCACAGGUAAACCAUGCAUUUGUACAAUACCUUUGCCAAGAAUAGGUGUAGAGCUCCCAUCUCCAAAGGUAACCAUCCCACCAUUACAUUCAUCAAGAGUAGUGAAUAGAGCUUUAUUACCACACAUAUGCCUAGAACAUGCACUAUCCAGGUACCACAUAUUAGAAUUUUGAGCUUUUAAGGCAACAUGAGCAACAAAACAGUUUUCUUGACCUGAAAGUCUUCCUAGAUCACCCUUUUUGACUCAAACCUUUUUAGAUGACAAAGUACUCUUAGUUAGCUUAGUAAGCAUCUCAGUCAAAUGAUUAACUUGAUUAGACAGAAAGCUAACCUGACUAGGAAUGUUUUGAUUUCUACGCUCAUUGCCUAACUUAUAAUAUUUAGGCCUAGUGUGUCCUGGAGGUCCACAAUGGUGACAGGUGGGAAUGAACCUAGGCUCAAAGGUACGUGUCUGUGGGUACCUAGUCUUGAUGUUCCUACGUUGUGAAUUUUCGGGUUAAUGAACACGAAUCAGACGUUUGGUAUAUAUAAAGGUCGAUAUAUGGUAAUGUGGAGCGUCAAACAUUCGCGAGCGUUUAAAAUUAGAAUUGGCUAGCUAACACGGUCGCUCGAGCGAGGUACUGGCGAGCCUCGAGCGACGUACAUUUCACUCGAGCGAUGGCUCAGCGUGAGUCCAGCGAAGUUGGUUCUGCAAUUGUGGCUCGAGCGAGGUCAGGGCGAGACUCUAGCGAAAUCAAAGUGCCGCUUACAUCUUCGAGGCAUCCCACACAACCCUAGACCUAGCCUAUAAACUUUAGUUAAUUGCAACUCUAGUCCCUGAACUAUUGGACAUUGACAAUUUGGUCCUUGACUUUACAAUUUUGACAAUUUGAUCCUUGGUCACAGAUUUGCCAAUUACAUAUUUUCCUAACAACAAUAAACAGGUUCCUUUUCUUCUUUCUGUUUGUCUUUACUUAUUUGAUCUUUUAAUAUUUCUUUUUUCUUUUAAUUCUUGUUACUUCGAAAAAUACACUUAGAAAAGAAUGGUGUGAUAUCAGUACAAGAAGUCGCACAAGGACAGCUGAACUAAAGUUGUUUUGAAUAUUUACAUUAAUGUAGCGAUAACCGGAGGAUUUACAGUGUCGUCCCGAAUACAUAUUUGUUUAAUGACAUGAUUUGUAAUAUUUGUAAUAGCAAAUAGUUGAUUACAGGUUCUGAAGGUUUAUCCAUUUGCAUUAACAGUAACGGCCUUCCAGUUUGGGUGUGGGACAGUGCUUGUUUUGUUAAUGUGGACGUUGAAUUUCCACCCUAAACCCAAGAUUAAUAGAUCUCAGGUAAUAUUUACGUGUACUAACAUAUUUUCUUAAUAUUUUGGUCUUGUUCUGUCAUAAAAAGUCAUAAAUUCAGGAGUUUAGUCCGUGUAGAAACUUCAAUUAUAAUCUAUAAAGCAUGAUUUGAAAGUGUUAAUAAUAAUAAUAAUCAUCAUCAUCAUCAUCGUCAUCAUCAUCAUCAUCUACAAAGUAUGUAUUGAAAGUGUUAAUAAAUUGUUUAAAUUAAAUAGUUAAAAUUAAAUGGUGAAUAAGCGGGGAUAGCAUCUGUUUGUAAACAAAAAUUGGAAUGAGUGUUUUUAUAAAUAAAAGUCAAACGUAUAGACCUUUCAAAAUUCUAGCAAAGAUUUGAAAAGUCAAAAUGUUUUUCCUAAUUCUUACUAUGGUAAACUAAGCCCUUGUUUGAUCCCCAUUACGUGGAAAAAUUAAUGGGGGGAAUAGUAUAUUUUUGAAAAACGAGUGGUUGAAAAAGAAUGAAAAGUUUUCGAUUUACGUGUAAUAUUAUUUUAUGAAAGAUUGUGUGGUUGAAAAUAGAAAAGAGAAAAAUAAAAUGUAAUAAAAUUUAACGUAAUGGGGCUCAAACAGGGGCUAAGAGACUUUAGCCGCUACUUCUAAAAUUCAUUUUCACUCAUAUAUUUUAUGAGAUCCACAAUUUUAUCAAUUUUCAACCAAAUAUUUCAUUAGUUUUAUUAAAAUUUACUAAAAAUAUAAUAUUUAUAUUUAUCAUAAUAUAACUUUUAGCUAAAAUAUACAUGAUUGUAAAUUAAACUUUGUUCUCGGUUUCAACUGAAAAUGAUCAACCUCUGUUUGAUAAUAAAUUUAAAAAUGGUUUGUAAAUUCUGUCAAACUUAAAUAUUAGUUUUAACAAUACAUUUAUAACUAUUGCUCAUAUGUUAUCAAACAUUUUGUGGGGAUCCAUUAAUAUUUCUUUUACUAUUUUUGUUUAAAAAUGAUUUAUAAAUUUGACAAAUGGAGGCUAAAUGAAUUGCGGUGUGGAAAAAACUGCUUAUCCCGGUUGCAAAAAUAAUUAUCUUUUCUUCGAGCAUUUUUUAUUUUUUUUUGCAUUAAUUAAUAUAAAAGCUUAUAUUUUUCAUAUCACAUCACCAUGUUAUGCUGCGUUUCUCGUUUCAAUUGUGACCUUACAUGAUUCUACAUAUGUCUGGUUAGUUUGCAGCGAUAUUUAUGCUGGCUCUGGGGCACACAAUAGGUAAUCUUUUAACAAAUAUCAGUAUUGGAAAAGUGGCUGUUUCAUUCACACAUACAAUCAAAGCAAUGGAGCCAUUUUUCACAGUGCUCCUUUCUGCUCUGUUACUUGGAGAGGUAUAUAUAAAUUUGCCGUUUUCCUGUAUAUUUUUGGAUAUUAUUAUUGUGGAUUUUGCAGUUAGAAGAUCUGGGUCGUGUUUUCUUGUUAAUGAUAAUUUUUACUUCUCUGAUGUAUAACAUUUUGUUGUUAAAAACAAAUUUUGCGUUUGUUUGGUUUGGACAACAAUUAGAUUUGUAGUUGAUUUUGAUAAAUGUUGAUGAAAUUGUUGGAUAUUGGUUAAAUAAAUUGAGAAUUGAAAAUCGAUUAAAGUUCGUAUCGAAUUCGGCCAAAUACUCAAAAGCUCGACUCAAUCCGUUUAGGCAAAAUUGUUUGCCACUUCGCCGCUUCGGAGCGCACAAAGAGAAUUUUGAUUUCUCUGCAUGUAUUGAAGGGUAUAUUUGGCAUUUCGAAAACCAAUAUCGGAUGAAUGAGAAAUUACGAAAAAGACCUCAACCAUUAGUGAAUAGACACCUUUUCAUAAAUGUGCAUUGUUUGGAAAUGGUGCAUGGUUUGGUCUCAACCAUUUCGUCCACACCCCUUCAUGGUCUAUAAAUAGGACCCUUUGGGUGUCCUAUUCCUCACAGUUUGAUAUGCAAAAACGUCUCUCAUCCUCUCUUCUAUCCAAAAUCAAAAUCAUUUCAUUUAUUUUGAUUUUCUUUCAUUUCAUCUGUGGAGUACAUAAGCCUACAUUGGGUUCGUUGUACUUGUGUUUUGGAGUGCUACAAACAUAAGUGUAGCCGUUGUAUCUUGGGAGUCGAUUGCCGAAAUCCGUAGGCACCGUUGCGGGGCAAAUUCGACUUAAGGACAAAGAGUCCAACUCUUGCUUCGGCUUUGUCACCAUCAUUAUACUUAUUUCGGCGUCACUAUUCACAAAAUUCUUCCAACAGAAAUGUGUGAUUCACUUCUAAGAAAUGAGGGCCAAAAAGGGGCUUAUGAGAGAUAAACAACUUUGUUGUCCCUCGAAUAACUCAAGCUUUUGUACCAAGAGCUCAACAUGAAAUUAAAGCAUGAAGUCCAAGUUGCGUUGCCACCUAUUUAAGAAAAUUGGGACAUAUUUAUGAUGAAAAAUGAGAGAUAUGCUACACAAACAGAAUUGGGGAUAGGAUUUUUAAACAGGUGGACACAUGUCAAAUACUGAUUGGACAGUUUGAAAAAAAAAAAAAAAGCACCAACCAACUGCCGACACAACCCCUGUCCCCAAAUUCUGUCACCUGCCCUGUUUGAAUAGCAUAAUGCUAAAUUUUUUUAAAAAAAAUCGACAUGAAUGUGAGAUGGUAAGCUUUUACACAUAAUUAUCACAUGUAUGACGUACAUGCUAUAAUAUUGUUUAUAAAUGUUGGAUUUUAGCGUGUAUAGAACCUUUGAUUAUUCUGUCCGAGCAUUUGGCCAUAAAAUUAAGGACAAAAACCUUUUUAUUUUUUUUGAAUGUUGAAAGCUAUGUAUAAUCCAUAUACCUUAUGGAUCAUUUAUUAUUUGAAGUCAUUUGACUUUCAGUUUGAUCACACAGAGGCCCUCUUUAUGGGUAGUUUCCUCCCUUCUGCCUAUUGUUGGUGGAGUGGCAUUGGCAUCAUUCACUGAGGCCUCUUUCAAUUGGUAUGAGCCUUAUAUUAUUCAGUUUUAAAAUUUAUUGGCAGUUACGGUGAAAUCUCUUCUGUGUCACGGAAUUUUUUUCAUUUGGUCACUAAACUUAUAAUUCACCUCACGUCAUCCACUCCUAUUAGUUAAACCAAUGGAGAAGUCUUCUGCAGCCGUUAACCUUUAACGGUAUUGUAAGAAACACUUCAACUGAAGUCGAAUUUUGAAAACACAUUUUUCCAAAUUUUUCCAAUAUAAAGAAUUAAAGGAGAGACUGAUUUGAUGAACCCGUUUGACAGAAAAAAGUUUGGCGACCUACGUGAGUUUUCACUUUUGCUGAUAAGUCAGUGACUGCCAAUGAAUUUUACCUGAUAUUGUGCUUGACCUUGGUGUCCUGAUAAUAGAUUUUCUGUUAACUCAGGAUAGGAUUUGGCUGUGCAAUGGCUUCUAAUCUAACGAAUCAAUCUCGAAAUGUGUUCAGCAAAAAAUUCAUGGUUAAGGAGGUAAGAGUUCAUUGUUAGUCAUUUGUUUAAUUCUUUCAUUAUACUGUUUAGCAUGAACAAGAAUUAUAUUUUAAGAAUGAUUUUUAGGAUAUAACAGAACCGGUUUUUGGGACGGUUCCUAAUUUUCUUGGUCAGGUCGGGUCAGACCGGGCCUCUAUAUAAACGAUGAUGGUUAUGAUUGCAUGAUAAUACGAUCUGAAAUCAACAAUAUAGUGCUAACCUGAUGCUGAUUCUAUCAGGAAACACUGGACAAUAUAAAUCUCUUCUCCAUUAUUACAAUCAUUUCAUUUCUUCUUCUGGUGCCGGUUGCCAUUUUGAUGGAUGGUGUCAAGUUUAGUCCAGCAUACCUGCAAUAUGCUGUAAGUAGUGUUUAAAGUAGCUGAAUUCUUAGCUUAAACUGCUGUCAUUCUGAAUUCCUAAAGUUUUUUAGUAUACAAUUUUCAUGUUUUGUUUAUUAUAAUUUAGGCAAGUCAAGGAUUGAAUGUCAAAGAGUUUUGUGUGAGAGCUCUUUCAGCUGGUUUCUGCUUCCAUACUUAUCAGCAGGUUAGGUCUCUAACAUUUGCCGAAAUUUUUCUAUUUUAUGAACGUUGUUUUCAGUUAAGUGGUCAGGAUGUGUCAUGUAUAUAGGCAUAAAGAUGUGUUGGACUAAAUUUACCGGAUGGAAUGGUUGAAAAUGAAUAUCAGAAAUUUAGAUAUUGGAUUUACGCAUACCAUAUAUGCAAUAUACCGUACUUAAGCAUACCAUAUAUUCUAUUUACCGUAUUUGUAGCUUACCUUAUUUGCAACAGCAUACCGUAUAUGCAAUAGCUUACCGUAUUUGCAUAUGCCUAUCUUGCAUAUACCGCAUGUGCAAUGAACUUGGUAAAAUAUAGCAAAUUAAAUUGCAAUAAAAUAAACCAGUUAAUCUGAACAAAACUAAUAUGGGCAUUUCAAAAUUCUUAAGAACCUGGUUGCUUUCGAUAUUAAUGGAACAAAGAGGUGAAAAAGGAUUCACUUGGUCGACCCAAAACUUAUUGGGAACUAGUCUUGUGUUUUAUUAUUGUUCAAUUAUAGCUGGCCACAAUUUCAAUUCAAUCCUUCCAGUGUUGACUUUAUCGAAGCUCUAUAAUGCACUGAGAGUACAUUUGACACGAGUAAUAAUAGAAUAGUAUAACAAACAAGAUUUUAAAAUUCUUUUGACACCCACCCUUCUGUCCAGUCUACGAACUAGUUAUUCUGAAUGCAACUCUACUUUAUUGUCAACAAUAAGUAACUUAAUCUGUUUCUGAUCGGCAGGUUUCUUAUAUGAUACUACAAAUGGUAACACCAGUGACACAUGCAGUGGGAAAUUGUGUUAAGAGAGUGGUUGUAAUUGUAUCCUCAAUUAUCUUCUUCCAAACUCCAGUUUCACCGACGAAUUCCCUUGGUAAAUUUCUUAGAAUCAAUCCUAAAUUAUGUCCUAAUUUCAUUAGUAACGUUAUUUCUUAUCUUUGGAGUCUGUUUCUCCAGUUUUAAUUUAGCCUUGGUAAUUCUGCCUGAUCUCAGGAACUGCUAUUGCACUUGCCGGAGUUUUUCUGUAUUCCAGAGCCAAGAGAAUCAAACCAAAUAAAGAACUUUCAUAGUGAUACAAUCGAGAUGCCUGGACGAGGACCUAGUUCGAUCUCAAGUGCUUGAAUCCAAUCGAGUGUAAUGAUUGGAUCUUUUCGAGAAUAUACUGAAAUUCUGGUACAAAAUGGUCAAUUGUAUGAUAUUACGAGUUGAGCAAAAUGAAGACUAAAUACAUUAUAUAUAAAUUUUUAAAUUUCAUACUUGGUGCAAUCCAUGUGCAUGUGGAACAUUAAAUAUAAAUUUUUAAAUUUCAUACUUGGUGCAAUCCAUGUGCAUGUGGAAUGAAUUUAAGUAAAAUCACUUCACAAAAUAAGAGCUGUAAGUAAUGUUAAAAAAAUAAUCAGUUGCAAUACCAUUCAGAACAAUAAAUUGCAGAAAUAUAAAAACUUAUCGUUCUAUCGAGUCUUGUGACAACACGAUAUUUUAAAGUGAAAUUGCCCGUCGAUAACUGCUACAACCUUCGAGGACAAACACUCUCAGGAUACAAUGAUCAUAAACCACUUGUGCAACAAUCAAUAAUGAUUUUCAGAACUCUCAAGCGCACUCCAGAAUAUAUGUAAAAACCGAAUAUAAAAAUUCAGAAUGUGAUAAAUAAGAUUUCUUUUCAAAUGAAUUUCUGUUUUCUUUGAUGUCUGUCUUUCCAAACCAAGACAUGAGUUUAUAUGGGCAAAACUGGAAGUAAUUGUCUCCUCCAUGACCAGAGAAUAAUGCAGAAUGUUAAUGACUGUGAGUAGUGGGUAUUUUAAUGACUGUGAGUAGUGGGUUGUUACAAAAAAGGUAAGAAAAUAUUGGCUAGUUUGACCCAUUAAAUAAUUUCGAAAAUAAAUAAAAUAAAAUAAAUUAUUUUAGUCAAGGAUCAAGACUUUUUAAUAAUUGCAUGGGAAGUGACCCGAACCUUUAACGUCCCACAUAAAUGUCACAUUUCCCAUCACUUGAGCACUUCAUCUAAUUUGAUUAUUUUUUUCACAUUUUUUAUUUAUACUAUAAAUAUAUAACAAGUUAUCUCUUUGUAAUUACCAAAUGAAUAGUUAACUUGAAACUCGUCGAUAAAUUUGAAUCUACAUUGCUUGUAUAUUUGUCCUUGGUUGUCUGCACAUGCGCUCUCAUUGGUAGGUGAAGUGUUGGAAGGAUAUUUAUUUAAUUAUGUGAGAAAAUUUUGUUGAAAGUAUGUAGGUAACUAAGAAAACAUUUGGAUAGUCUUCUAUGUUUUGGAUAUUCAUCGAUGGUAUUUAAUUAUUUUUUCAAAAUAAAUAAAUAAAAGUUAUUUAAUUUUAUGAGAAAGUUUUGUUGAAAGUACUUUGGUAAGAAGACAUUUGGGAAGUCUUCAAAGUUUUGGAAAGUCAUCGAUGGUAUUUAAUUAUUUUUUUCAAAACAAAUAAAUAAAAAUUUAUCGAAUAAUCUGUAAAUAAAAUAGCAUAAAUUAUACAAAAAAUUAUAUCAUACAAUAGUUCCAAUAGGAUCUGAUUUUAUUUUAUUUUAUUUUUUUAAAAAAAUAGCACUAUUUUUGCACGUGGUAAUGAAAUGCGCAUAGAAAUUAUAUACAUAGAGAAGGAUCUUUAUAUUGACUAUUAAAAGAUUAUAUCAUGUUUCCAAGCAAUCUCCUACCAUUUUCGUACUCCAAGCUUCUCCAUCAACGACAUGAAUAAUCUAUCUAUUAAUCUAGCACAUAGAAGUGUGGAAAUAAGAGAAAUAUUAUUGGACAACAAAAAUCUUACAAAUAUUACAAAAUUCUAUUCAACUUGAAGGUUUCUAUCCUUAACAUAUCAUAAUUUUUCAACCACUAAUUUAUUUCAAAAAUACAUUAUAUCAAAACUCAUUUUCAACCACAUAUUUUUCUAUAAAAUAAUUAUACACGUAUUUGAAAAACUUUUUCUUACUUUUUAACCGUACAUUCUCCAAAAAAAAACUACUAUUUCAUAAUGCAUUUUAUCCCAAAAAUGAGAAUCAAAUAGAGGCUAAAUAUAGUUCUUAAUUGGAAGAAACUGAGAAGAUUUUAUCUUCUUCAAAUUUGAAAGUGGAUACAAAAGCAAACUGUUUGACUUCCAAUAAAUAGACAAAUUAGUAAAUUUUCAAUUAAUCAUUGAUAAAUUUGAUAUAGAGAUAAAGAAAGAAGGUAAAAACUAUAAUAUUUUUCUUCAUAUGUUUUACAACGAUUUGUGUCCGCAUUUACAGGUGAAAAUUUAAGCUUUACAUGGUAAAUAUAACCUGCGAAGAAAAUAAUCUGUAAAUGGAAAACAUUGAUUUCUGGGGACGUGUGCUGUAAUUGCUCCUUGUAAUUGUUGGUAUGCUGUAAUACUCUCUCGCAAGUUGGAGCAUAGAGAUCCCUAAUGCCCAACUUUGAUUGAAAGAAGACAAAUAAUUCUCUUCCCAAUGGUUUACUAAAAAUAUCAGCUUCUUGUUGAGAGUUUGAAACAUAGGAGGUAGUAAGAAGACUGGAUUUGAUUUUCUCACGAACAAGAUGACAAUCUAAUUCAAUGUGUUUAAUUUUCAAGGAAAAUCGGAUUGCGAGCAAUGUGGAUGGCAUCUUGAUAGUCACAGUGAAGCAAAAUAGGUUGCGGAUGGGACACAGUGAGUUCUUGUAAUUAGAGGCGAAGCCAAACAAGUUCACAAGUUAUAGUGGCCAUCGCACAAUAUUCAGCUUUAGUAGAAGAGCGAGAGACAGUAGUUUGUCUCUUAGUACUCCAAGAGAUAGGGCUAUCGCCCAAUUUGGUAAUGAAGCCAGCUGUGGAACGUCAUGUGAGUUGACAACUCACCCAAUCAGAGUCACAGAAGGUAGAUAUUUGAAAACUACAGUUGGAUGAGAAGAAUAGACCAUAACCUAGAGUAGUGCUCAAAUAGCGUAGCAAGUGGUGAGCAACAUGAAGAUGAGGCUUGCGAGGAGUGUGUAUGAACUGACUUAAAAUGUUGACAACGAAGGUUAUAUUUGAGUGAGAGAUGGUUAAAUAGAUCAAAUGACCAACCAAUCAUUGAUAUAAGUUAGGAUCAUCUAGAAGAUCACCAUCUUAGUCAUUCAGUUUGCAAUGUUGUUCCAUGGGAAAAUAAGCUGAGCGAGAGCCAAGUUGACCAGAAUCAGAAAGAAUGUCCAAAGUAUAUUUCUUUUGAUUGAUAAAGAUGAUUUUAGGAGAUCGAGCAACUUCAAUCCUUAAGACAUAGUUGAGAUCACCAAGAUCUUUGAUUUUGAAGGUCUAUCCAAGAUGCCGUUUGAUAGAAUUGACUGCAGCAAUGUCCUUACUAGCAAUAAGAAUAUCAUCAACAUAGACAAGAAUGGCAGUAAAUGUUCUAUCCUCGGUCUUAGUGAAAAGAUUGUGAUCAGCUGUAGAGUGACUAAAACCUGUAAGGAUGAGAACAUGAGAUAAUUUCAAAUACCAUUGAUGUGAGGCUUGUUUGAGACCAUAGAAUGAUUUGUAGAGACGACAUACUUGUGUUUUUCCCUUACGACAAUAUCCUAGUGGUGGCUGCAUGUAUACUUUCUCAUCAAGAUCACCAUGGAGGAAAGCAUUAUGAACAUCUAAUUGGUGAAUAAUCCAAUGUUUCGCUGUAGCUAUAGUAAGAAGACAACAAAACAGUAACAAGUUUAGCCACAGGAGCAAAGGUGUCAUUAUAAUCAAGACCUCUUACCUGAGUGAAACCCAUGGCAACUAAAUGAGCUUUAUAAUGUUCGAUGGAACCAUCUGCAUGCAAUUUUAUUUUACAAACCCGUUUGCAACCAAUAGCUUUCUUACCAGGAGAGAGAUGCACAAGGGUCCAUGUGAUUGGCUUUAAGCUUUAAGGGCUUGAAUCUUAGAAGCCAUAGCCCAUUGCCAAUGAGGCUCCAGGAUAGGUUGAGAGUAAAAGACAGGUUUUGAACAUUUUUGGAGACAGAAGAGAGGAAAGCAUAAUGUUUUGGACUAAAGAAACAAUAAGAAAGAAAAAUUAGGUAAAAAUUGAAUAAUAACUAAGAAAGACUGGGAAUGAGAUGAUGAACGUGGUCUCUCUGGAGGUAGAUCUGAGCAAAUAUAAUCCUGAAAAUAUGUGGGGUGAGUGAUUGUGUGUCGAGGUCUAGGUGAUGGGGAUGUAACGAUGACGAGUUCUGAUGAGCAAGGUUCAUCAUCAUUUGAUGGUGUUGGUAUAGCUGGUUCAGUAUCUGGUGGGGAUGGUGCUUGGGGAGGUGUAACAUGGGUGUCAUGUGUACCAUGGGCUGAAGGUAAGGUAGUAUGAUUUAUAUCGUGAGACUGUGUGGUGUCUAGCAUGGUAUAUGGUAACGAGACGUCCAAAGGUUGCAUGGUAGUAGCAAAUAGAAAGAUAGAUUCUACAAAGCGGACAUCAUGAGAUAGGAAUAUCUUCUUGGUUUGCAAGUCAUAAACACGAUAGGUAUCUGGAGUUUGAGAGUAGCCCAGGAAUACACAUGGUGUGCUACAAGGAGAGAACUUAUCUCGUUGAACACUUAAAGUGUGUGCAUGGCAAAGACAUCCAAAGAUACGAAGAUGAUUAUAGGUACCAAAGAUACGAAGAUGAUUAUAGGUAGGAGGUUUGUUGAAAAGAAGGUCGUAAAGAGUUUUUCCAUUAAGAAAGGGAUUGGCAUGUGGUUAAUUAAAUAAGUAGCAGUAAAUAUGCAUUCACCCCAAAAGGAAAUAGGUAAAUGUGUAUAAAAGCGAAGACAUUGAGCCACAUUUAACAAGUACGAUGCUUUCAUUUAGCUAUACCAUUUUGCUAGGGUGUUUCAACACAAGUACGUUCCUGAAUGACACCAUGGUUGAGGAAGAAUUGUUGCAUGCGAUGAAAAAGAAAUUCUUGACCAUUAUCGAAUCGAACAUGUUCGAUGGGACAAUUGAACUGUGUGUGGAUCAUGUUAAUGAAAGUGGUCAAAAAAGUAAAUGCAUCAGAUUAAAACGCAUUGAGUAUAUCCAAGUAACACAUGAAAAAUCGUCGAUAAGUGUAAGAAAGUAGUGUGCAUUAGUUGUAGAGGGUGUGGAAUAUCCGCCCAAAUGCUACAAUAAAUUCGGCUAAAGAUAAAAGAACUUUUAUUUUCGACCAGUUUGAAGGGAAAACAUGUAUGUUUGCCUUGAAUACAAUUGUCACAAUUUCUAAUUUUAUUCAAAUCACAUAGAAUUUUUGGAAUGCAAGAAUUCAAAAGAUGACCUAAACAAAGAUGCCAUAGGUCCGGUAUGGAUAUAGGGUUUGCUAUGAUGUGAAGCAUAGCUUGAUUAAAUGGUUGAAAAUGGUAGAGGUCUCCACGUUUUUUACCAUCCAAAUCAGCUUCCUCGGGUGUUGGUCUUGAAAUAUACAAAUAGAGGGAGAAAAUUUGUUAAUACAAUUAGAUGAUUUAGUGAGUUUACUAAUGGAAAUUAAGUUGUAAUGAAAAUCGAGGACGAAAAGAACAUUAUAAAGACAUAGUUGAGGAGAAAUAUAAAUGUGACCAAUAUGUGUGACUUGGGCCAUAGACCCUAUAGGUAAUGUAAUAGAUUGAUUAUGUGCUCAAAUCUGUAUGGCUUUGGGCAAAUUAGAAAGAGAGGAAAUGUAGGUUGAAGCCCCACUAUCAAUUAUCUAAGAGAUUAGGGCAUUAAGGGAGUCGAGUGGGGUAUACCAGAAAAGCCAAAGGCUGUGUUGGUGCUGGGCUGCAAAAGUUCCAUCAAUUGUUGGUAUUGCUCGUCAGUUAGACCAAGGAUUGUAAUUGACGUUGAAGGAAUUGAGGUAUUAGACACCAUGUUUACUAUGGGUGGCCAGUUAUUGCCCAAAUCAUGUGGCCGGAGCUGAUCGCAAAGGUUGCUUUGGCUUGUUGGUGUUCCAAUGAACUAGGUAACCAGUAAUCUUGAAGCUAGAGGACACUAAAUGAUAGUCCUUUCCAUAUUUGGUGCAUUUCUUUCCACUGCGAGGUCAAGAUCCAUGAGUGAUUGGAGGGUGUGUGCAUGCAACGGCCAUGGCGGUGGUUUUGGGAUUGGGUAGUAAGGAGACGUUGGAUUUCUUCUUGGGGUAUGGUGGCAUAUGCUUUGGAGAUUGUGGGAAGAGGCUCCAUAGCUAGGAUUUGACUUCGAAUAUUGGAGAAGGAAUCAUUGAGGCCCAUGAGAAAUUGGAACAAUCGUUCAAUGUUGACUGUUCCUUUGACCCUUUUACGGGCAUCACAACUGCAGGUAUUGGGUUCGGUUAAGGCAGUGAGUUCAUCCCAUAGCCCUUUGAUUGUAUUGCAAUAUGUGGCGAUGGACGUGGUGCCUUACUUGAGGUUCACCACGUCAUGAUGAAAGCGACAAAGACAAGGGUGGUUACUUUGAGAGAAAUGAUUGUCCAAGUUAAUCCAAACAUCAGAAGGUUUGGUGCAGUAAAUUAAGCUUUGUCGAUAGAUUUCAAUAGCCAUGAGAGAACCAUAUUGCUGCAAUGGUUACAAAGAUUGGCAACUUCAGGCGUUCUUUAGAGUACCAUCAACAAAUGAAAAUUUAUUUUUGACAUUAAGUGCCAUACGCAUCGAGUAUUUUCAAGCGGCAUAGUUUUCUCCAAUAAAAUGUUCCGCUACUAAUACGGCAUCAGGAUUGUCAGUAGGGGUCAGGAAGUACGGAGACUUGAGUUCGUUGAUUAAUUUUGAGGGGGUGGACUUAGACAUCGUGGUAGCGGGGUGAUUGUUGUUUUAAUGUUUGCGGAAGUCAAAAAGGUCUAGGAGAGAUCACAAUGAAAGAACCGCUCUGAUACCAUGAUAAGUUUGAUAGGGAGAUGAAGAAAGAAGGUAAAAACUAUAAUACUUUUCUUCAUAUGUUUUACAAUGAUUUGUGUCCACAUUUAUAGGUGAAAAUUUAAGCUUUACAUGGUAAAUACAAUCUGUGAAGGAAAUAAUCCGUAAAUGGAAAAUUUUGAUUUAUAGGGACGUGUGCUGUGAUUGCUCAUUGUGAUUACUACUGUAAUUGCUCCUUGUAAUUGUUGGUAUGCUGUAAUAAGCAUAUUCAAUGCAUUUGUAACUUUGAUUUUUGUGACACAUCGUGCGCAUUUCCUGGCUUGUUGCUUUCGAGGUUGAAAUUGUAGCAGCUAAGAAGAAACACAUAUCUAUCUAUCUAUCUAUAAUAUUUAAAAGAGUGAUUAUAUUACCGCUACAAAUAUUAUUUUUUACGCCACAUUAUAAUUACACUUCAAAUAAAUCUUAUUUUUGUUAAAUACACCACAUUAAUUUUACAAUUAUAGUCCUAAUCAAAUUAAAAAUUAAAAGAUCGUGGUGUACACCCCUUAUUAAUCAUUUUAUUCAUUCUUUCUCCACCUCUCAUACCAUUCUAAUUUUGCCCAUGGAAAAUACUUCCCUCCUCCUCCACCACUAGUAAUUCCCCCAACCCUAAUUAAUUUUUUUUUUAGAAAAAAGUGAAAAACUUCUCCCAUCCACCUACGAAACCCCUAUUUUCUAAUUCUGUCCGAAAAUUCUGUCUCACUUAUAAGCCGCACACUCAACCCCGUUUCUAAUUUCUAUCACAUAGAUUUUACCCACCCACCCUGCUCAUCAUGAAUUAACUAUUAGAAGUACAAAAUCAUCAUAGUUAUAUGCAUUACAAGAUCAUAAUAAAAAGAACAGGUGUCGUGAGGGAAAAAUAAAUACUACCGAUUACCAAGGACAGAUUCAAGAUUGGAUUCUUUUUAGUAUAACAUGCUUGAAACAUAAACAGCACUAAAAGAAGUAUUUACAAGAGCUACCUUCUUUAGCUCAGGAAAUUCCCGAGCAAAGUGACCCGGCACUUGACAGUUGAAGCAUUUCAGCUUGCUCUUAUGUUUCUUCUUUCCAAACCGUUUACCCUUCUUGUUGCAUUUUUUUUUAAGGUCCCUGACCAGUUUUCUUCCUUUCCUUUCCCGCCUUUGAAAUAGUUCUUCUUACGCUUAAAGCCUAAAGAUUUUCCAAAACUAGAUUCAGCCAUAAAAGCUUGUCCCAGAGAUUUAGCUGCAGCAAGGCGCUCAUCCUCUAGUUCCACAUGGUAGGUAGCAUCCGCAAAAGUUUUGAAUGCUAUCAUUGUGAGUUGGAUUGACUUUUAGAUGUUCCCAGUUAUUAUGAAUGGGACGGAUCAAAGCCUAAACUUGUUGUUCAUUAGAGAGUAUUUGACCGGUUGACUUUCGCUCCCUAAUCAUAGUAGACAUAAUCCUCACAUGCUAUGUGAUGUUGUGAAUAAGAAGUUUCUUGUAAGUAUUAAACUCAACUGUCAACUACCUCAGUCUAGUCACACUAGUACAACCAUAUUUCUCUCUCAAAUAUGUCCAGAUGUCAUGAGCAGUCGGGAACUGCUUACACUAGUAAAUGAGAUUGUCCACCACAGAACUUACCAGAAUUACACAAGUAAUGGAAUCUUUCUUUUUCCAUGUCUUGUAAGUUUCUUGAUCCCUUCUCUGUUGAGCAAUUUGACCUACCCCUAGGUCUUCCAUCAUGUGGUUAAUGCCCCUCAAGGCAAACCUGUUCCUCCAAUACAUACCAAAUUUUAUAGUGCCAAGUGUUAUUGUUAUCGUCAUUCAAUUUGUCACCCUUAUUAAGGUCAACUAUGAUAUUCUUAAAUGCCAUGAUCUAUCAAAAUUUUAGAAAACAAUCAUAUAAAUAUCUAUUUAUGCACACAUCAUUUUGCGCUCAUGCAAAUUAAGUUUUAUGAUAAUUUCACACUAGACACGGAGUUGAAAGUUCACUAAGUUCCCAAUCAUCGUCCAUUAUCCUAAUAUUUACAUUAUCAAAAAAUUAAUUUCAUAGUGCAAAAUCAUAGGUUCUAGGUUAGAAUUACUUAAACUCUUUUGACCUUAAAACUCCCACUAAAUUAAAACAUUAAUCAUGUACAAAAUAAGCAAAACAUUUUGGCUAUAUGAGAUAAACAUAAAGCAUAUAUAUAAAUUUCAAAAUGUCAAAUGUACAUGCAAUCAUAUUUGGCUUCUUUAAACAACUAUUAAACAUGAAAAAAUAAAAUUUCACAUAGAUAUUGUUCGACAAUUUGAACUAACCACACUUAUCUAAAUUAAUUAUAAACUUCUCAUUUUUUGAAUUCCAUUUCUUCAUUAAGAUCUUGAUCAAAUAAUUGUAGCGUAAAGGUGGUGAAUUAUCCAAAAUUUCAAUAGCAACAUCAUGCCAAUGUUUAGGAAAGUGUCCUCAUAUGACAAUACAUACUUUCCACCUCACAUAUAGGUUUUCUUAAAUGUAUCACUCCUCGAUGCAUUGCUUUGAGAUAUUUUAUGUAUCCAUAGCCCGUGCUCUACUAGCUUCUCCUCUAAGAAUGCUAAAAGUGCACAUUAAUCCAGUCAUAUCUUAUCAAACACAAGAAUUGAAAACUAGUCACAAUAGAUUGCACAACCUAAUCAAGACCCAUACAACUCAUGAACGUAUGUAAAACUUUGUAUUUUAAAUACUUUCGGAGUAUUUUUUUAUUUAAAAAAAUGAGAGUACUCAAAAAAAGAAAAAAAGAAAAAAUAAACAACACCCAAUAGAAAAAUACCAUUUAACAAAUAUUCUUGAUUUUUAUAAAAGAAAAAAAAUUUAAUCAAGUCCCAGAAUAUUUUCUAAAAUAUUUAUAAAUUUAUUUCAAUAAUAAAAUAAAAAAAUAUUUUUGAUUAUUUCAAAAUUAUUUUUAAUUUCACAUAAAAAUCAAGAAUAUUUCAGGGACCUUGCUGCAAUUUUCCUGAAUGGAUUUGGAAUUCACGUGCCACAAUAGGUUUCUAUUUCUUUUUAUUAUUAUUUUUUAAAUAUUAAAACAAAACUAGGAGCAUUAGUGUCUCUGCAAAGCCGUGGCGCGUGGUGCGAUUCGAUUGCCAAACAAGUUUUUUUGUUUCGUCUCUUCGAUUAAUUUUGACAUUCUGAAUUCAUCUGUGUGGUCAGAUUUCACAGCCUCAAUCUUUAAGGCUGUGUUUGGAAUAUAGACAGACCUGGCCAAGACUGAAAUUUAAAAAAAAAAAUGUUACUCUUCAUCAUCUCCACAAAAUCGUCAAUUUUUUAAAAUUUUGGAAGGCUAUAAUUUCUUCAAUUUAAGGCCAAAAUGUAUGUACUUUGUAUUGUUGGAAAGGUCUCGAGAAGAUCUAUCCAACUAUGUAAAAUAGACAGUGUGAAGCAUAACGUUCAAGAAGUUAUCACACGGUCAAGUUUCGAUUUUAUCAACUAGGGCCCUAUUUUAAUCCCAAAAUAUUGAGCCAAAUCAUAUGAAAUUUUGUAGACAUGUUGUACAGAUUAUCAAGAACAUAUAGUAUAAGUUUCAUGAAUGUAUAUGGAAUACAUGAAAAGUUGCCAUUAACAACAUUCAAGCUUCGAAAGAAAACAAGAAUGCAUGCAUUUCAAUCAUUCUAAAACAUUUUCAACAUGUAUUUAAGCAAGAAACAAUCUACUUAGGCUCUAAUACCAAUGUAAAAAAUGUGCUUCCAUGCUUUUAAACGAAUUUAAGUUCUAAAACUUAUUUGAAAGUCCCAAAACGAGGUUGAAUUACUUGUCUAUUGAUUGCUUGACCUCAACAUUCUUUAGUAUCCGCUUCUUGGUCAAAAACUCAAUCACCAAGGAAGAAGUUUGUUGUUCACAAUCCAAGAACCCAAUUUGAGAUGUUGUAUUCCCAAAAAUCAAGCCUCUACCCACAUCUAUUUUUCAUUAUUUGAAGGGCCCAAAUUUUUGCAUGUGUGUUGGUUUUUGUUUUUGUUUUUUUCGUUUUUGUUGGAGUGGGUGUAUAUGGAAGUUAUUGACUGCGGGAGGUAAACUUUCAAAUUUAAUUUUCAACUUCUCUCUUCAAAAUUUAUUUUCAUACAAAUCAGGUCGGGUCAACCCACAUGGGCGACCUAACUGCAACAGAGUUUUUUCCAUAGCCGAAGUUGUGGUGUUGAGUCAGGUCACAAUGGGUUAGCCACUUUAGAUUCAUCAAAGAAUCAUCAUUUCUCCAACCACACUAAAUCAUAAGUCUAGAUCACGCAUUUGUUCAUUUUUUUAGUCUAGUCAUUUGUUUUGUUUUCUUUUCUCCCCCCAAAGAUUGUGCUUUAAUUAACGGUGGUCAAUUAUUCUCUUUGUUCAUUUAUCUCCACAGGAUUAUGAUGCUCUUUUUAUCUAACAAAAUCAGGCACAGAUCAAAAUAAGUUACACUAUUUUUUGCCCUUUUCUUUAACGGGAAUGUUUAAUCUCUUCUUAGUAUAAUCAAGUAUUCUUUUUGUGCUAGCCCCACAUGGGGUUGUCGAGUUGUUGGAGUAGGUGAGCGCGGAGACCUUUGGUCACGAGUUCGAUUUCCCCUACCAACACUUUCUCGGUCGAGCAUAUCAUACAGGGCUUGCUUAGUGCGCUUUACCUGGCUGGCGUGGUUUGCAGACUAUUGCGUUAGCCCGAGGGUUUACCCAGUGCGCACCCGAAAUGUAGCGGCUGUGGGUUCCCUUGUCAUAAAAAAAAGUAUUCUUUUUGUGCUAGAUUUUGAUUGCCGACUUGAGAAUAGAAUUACAUAAAUUGGAAUAUCGGUAAAAAAUGAUGGAGGAUCUAAGGAACACUGCAGCAAACAGUACUUAGAAGACAAUGUCGGGCAUAUGAUAGUGAAAUGGUCAUCAUCAAAAGCUUCUACUUCAUUUGCAAAUGCUCAAUGGAGCCAUAAUCGAGAUCAUUUCACGAAUGAAUUCAAUGUUCUUGUGGCUAUAGCCUGAAAAGUCUGUUUAAUGUACUACAUGGUACCAAAUAUGAUUCAGGAUCGCCACUUAAUUUAGUGUACAUAUUGUAAUUAUAGGUAAAAUCCAAACUUAGAACAAUUACAUACUUGUCUUUGACCAUCUUCAUGUUGAUGAUUGCUUUGUAGACUUAACGUUCGCUCUACAUUUGGAUACCUUGAUUUUUGUUCUCAGAGUUGUGAAACCAAGUCAAUUUUUUGAAAUUCAUUCAUAAAUAUUUUAAGGUAUUUCCAUCUUCUAUUUGUCUUCCAGAAAAUUAUACUACUUUUCACUAUAUUAAAUAGUCACUAGUAACAUAGUUAAGAUUAUCAUUCAAGAACGAAUUGCUUGACACGAUGAACUCGUGUCAAACAGAUGCUGCCUGUACGAGCAAUGCACACACAUGCUUCACUUACUGGGCACACGUGGUGAACAUAUUUGAAAUAAAAAAUAUAUUUUAUAAUUUUCUCUCCAAAAUCGAAUUUUUUUAAGAUAAAUUUCAUGGUGGCCCCCCAAAAUUUCCAAUUUCUCAAAAUAUUGUUUACAUUCCAUUUUUACCUCCUCCCCUCUAAACCUUUCAUUAAGGAAAAUGGCACUUUCCAUUUCAAAAAAUGUAAGUGUGCGUUUGAUUGUUAAUAUUUUUCUUGAAAAUGUUAUUUCUCACCAAAAUUCCUACUUUUGUACUAUUUGAUUGAUUUUUUUUUUUUAUACAUGGAAAAAUUUUUCCUAUUUUUGGUCACCUGGCCAUAUUUUCUUUGAAGACGAGGAAAAUAUUUUCUUUAAAGCAAGUAGAUUUUUAUUUUCUAGGUAAUUCACUCUCUUUCUUUCUCAUCUACUCAUUCUCUCUCUCAUCUACCUACCAAUAAAAAAUGGACAAAAUUAACAUUUUCUAAGUCGAAAAUAAAAUCAAUCAAACGCAUUUAAUUGACAAUUUUCAUGCAAAUAAUCUCUAGAAUUUAUUUUCUUUCCAUACAAAUUACAUGUUUGCAAUCAAAUGCACCCAUAUGUUUUUCCCACCAUUCUACAAUAUAUUUUAUGCUUAUCACUUUCAUUCAUGGAUUGUACUCAAGGGUGAAAAUUCGAUAUCCAAGCUGAAAGUUAUGCCCUUUUUAACCCACGCUGCUCGUUUUUUCAUUUAUCUUCCAAAACAUUGAAUCCAAUGCACCAAACAUAAUUUCACCUUCAAGACCAAGAUAUAAGUUGUUAUUUGGCUUGUUAACUUCAAUAUUUUGUACUCCAUAGUUUGAUGAAGUAAUUGGACGACUUUAUUGGCUCUUCGAGGUCUCGAACUUAGCUUGAUUCUUGGUCUUGGCUCCUUAUCAACAUGCGCCGAGUCCUUAAGCUUCUUAAUAAUUUUUGACCUCCUCAUUGGAUCACAUCAUUCCCUCAAUCUGCAAAAUGAUUCGACCUCGAAUCCAAACCCAAGUUAUAGCCCUUGUUUCCAAUCAACGCAUAACAUGAAAUGGUCCUCUCCUCUAGGAUGUAAUUUUGACCUCUUUUGAAUUUGAAUCUGGCUCCUCUGUAUGUAAACUCAAUCACCUUCACAAUGAUCAAAGUGUAUAUGUUUCAAUGGCUUCCUCUUGCAAGUAUGUGAUGCUCUAAGAAUAAUUUCAAUUGAUGAAUAACCAUGCACUCUCCUUGCUUUGCUUGGCCUAGGCAAUUGUAGUAAUGUCGCUUCAAAUGGAUGCAUGUUUCCUUGCAUAUCACCUUGGUAUUUCAAUCCACUGCAUUUGAAUUCAUUCUAUGGUCUUUGAAACUCCAUCACCUCCUCGGGAAUUACAAAGUUAACCUCCGAUGAAUAAGAUAUUUCCAAGCUAAGAUGCAGUAGUUGAUUAGUUCCAACAGGAUUGAUUUCCAAAUCGAUGCUCAAUUCUUGGGUUAUGUGGUUUUCAAUAGGAUUGGUGAAUCGAGUCUUCAUUAACCUACAAAACAGAAAUAGCUAAACUAGGGAGGGAAUUGUUAGUUAUCGCCAAAGCCUUUUCAAUUUCAUGUUCCUUUUCACAUAGGCUCACCUCCAACUCCUCAUUUCUCUCCAAAGACUCUUCUUCAUUUUCCUCUUGUAGCACCAUUUCUAUUUUAACCACUUCUCCCUUUUCAAGUUCAUUCUCGACUACCCUUUCACUCUUUUUUGGCUCUUCUCCUUUUUUUCUCACAAUCAACCACCUCAUUAUUUUCUCUCAUUGUCCUCUCAUUCUCAUUUUUUACUCUGAGUUGAUCUUCAUACACUUGUUGCAGUGUCAAUGACAUAAGAACAAUAUGUUGACCUAAUGGUUGACUUCUCAUUUUGAUUAUCACAAACAAAUUGCGUUUAAUUCUAACAAACUGACUUAAGUAUUGAUAGUGUUAACAAUUUUGGACGUCCGAAUGGACCUCCAACGGUCACUUUAUUAAUCGUUUUUCAAAUGGCUAGUUACCUGUCCAGAUCUCGAGCGGACGUUUGGAUCGAGUGUCCGGAUUGUCAGAUUUUUAACUGUUUGAAAACUAUAGGGUCUCUUUCUACCUCAUUUAAAAACACAAAUUUUGAGCAUCAAAGUGAAGCAUUUAUUGAUCUUUUAUACCUUAGUUUUCAAUUCUAAAAGAUCAAAUCAUUUAAUUUUUGAAAAACUUUUUGAGUGAUCAACAACUUGCAAAAAUCAUUUAUCUCAAUUAAAGUAUUUCAACCAACACUUGAGCUAUACUCUUUGCAAUCUCUUAAAGUGUUGAACCUACUUCUUUCUUAAUACUUAAUUGAGUUCAUAUCAUUUAUUAAGAGAGAAGCUUCACUUAUAAAUUUUCAUUUUCUUGUUUUUGAUUGUGGGUCGUGUUGAAGUCUCAGAAAGCUCAAUAUUGUAAAACGAUCAGUACUUCUUGAUUGUAAGUCAUUGAAAGUGUUGUAAAGGUUCUACCAUAAGUCAAUCAACAAUAGUGAAAAUGCCAUUGCUCGUGGUUGAGAGCUUGGUAACGAGGGACGUAGAUCGUUGAUUGGAUUGAACCUUCAUAACAUAUCAUUUGGGCCUUCUUUUCCCUUUUUCUUUCUUGUUAUUUUCGUGUUAUCUUACUUGCUUAUUAUCUUAUUAGAUAAUUAAAUUAAAAUUUGCACUUAUUCUAGAAAUGUUUUAGAUAACCAACUCACCCACCUCUUGGUUAGCCAUUGACUGGCUUUCAAUUGGUAUCAAAGCAAGGUACUCACUUUCAAAAAAUUUUGUAAUCUUGAGUAAUGGCUAGCCAAGUAUUUCAAACUCUCGAGGGACACUCCACAAACUAACCUCCUUUAUUUGACAGCACAUUCUAUAAUUAUUGGAAGGUGAGAAUAAUGAUAUAUGUGCAAUCUAUUGAUUAUAACUUUUUGGAAGUUAUUGAAUACGGUCCAUAUGUUCCUACCAAGACUAUUAAAAUAGAUGGUAGACUGAACCAAAUUUUACCUAAAUCUAGGGAAGAGUAUGAUGGAGAAGAUAAGAGAAAAUUAUCUUUAAAUGCCAAGGUUAAAUAUUUACUUUAUUGUGCACUAGAUAGAAAUGAAUUUAAUCGAAUAAGCACAUGUGAAUCGGCAUAUGAUAUUUGGCAUGCACUUGAAGUUACUCAUGUUGGCACAAAUAAAGUUAAGGAAAGAAAAAUAAAUUUGUUAAUUAAAGAAUUUGAAAACUUCUUCAUGAAACAAAAUGAGCCUAUUGUUGACAUGAUUGUAGACAUAAAAAAAUAAAAAAUAAGUAAAAUAAAAUGGCUUGGGUCGAUUUAAAUCAUUAGCCCAAUUAAAUUUUAAGUCUACUAAAAUCCAUAAAAAUCCAAAGACCCAUAUCACAUUUUAAAAUAAUCAAACAAAUAAAUAAAAUCAUAGUUACUCAGUUAUUCAUUUUAAGUAAAUAUAAUUGAGUAAUUACCAAAAUUAGCACGAAUUCUUCCCUAUACAUAGGACCGAUGGUCCAUAAGACAUGGGUAGAAGAAGAAGAGGGUAAAAGCUGAAGCAAGAAAGAAAGCAGAGAACGCAAUGACAAAGUGUUGAAGACAUUCCAUGGCCGGAGGAAGGGAAGAAAUCCUCUCAAACCUAUACUCGGUGAACUUCAAGAAGAUCAAAAUCUUCUUUGAAUCAAACAUGUUCAGGCCAAGUUCAAGAAGAUCAAAGUCUUCUUCAAAUCAAAUUAAAUUCAAGUUUAAGUUCAAGCCCCGAAGUUCAAGUACCAAAUAAGUUAAGUCUUAACAAAUCAAAUUUUCAACAAAUUCUCGAAAAUCAGUAUUCAAGCCACGUGGCCCCUUGUCUUCAAAUAUUCAAAUUAUUAAUUUGAGGAUUUUUACAAUUUUGCAAUUACAAGAAGGUCAACAUCACUUGUAUUUUAUCAAAAUAAAAUUUGUAAUUAUUUCUGUAUUUUAUACACGAAAUUUCGUCUUACAAUGAUUAUACGUUUCACUGAUAUUGUAAAUGGUCUUAAAAGUUUUGAUCGAAAAUUUACUAACGAUGAACUUGUUAGCGAAAUGCUCAGGUCCUUGUCCGAGGAAUAGAGCCUGUUAAGGAUGUUGAUUGAGAAUACCAAGGAUAUAAAUACAUAUCCCUUAGAGGAGCUCUACGGCACAUUAAUGACCUAUGAGCUAAAUAAUGUCGAAGUUAAGGAAAAGACAAGAAAAAGCAAGGAGGAAUCAAAUGACAAAUUGCCUUAAAAUCGAAAAUUGAAGAAUGAGCCCCAAAGGAAAACAUGAGGGAUAAAGAGCUCGAUGACUUGGAUCUUCUUGUCAAGAAAUGGAGAGGUCUUCGCAAUAAUCGAAAAUUUCAAAUAAAGAGGAAAAUGGUGAAUAAAGAAGCAAAAAGAUUAUUUGCUAUGAUUGUAAUAAGUCCGGACACAAAAGAACCGAGUGCCCGAACAAAAAGAAAAAUUUCAAGAAAAGGGCACUCCAAACCACAUGGGAUGAUAGCAACAAUGAAGAACAAAAUGGGAAUAUGUUCGUUAAAGCUUCAAACACUAUAUGUCAUUUUUGUAACAAAAAUGGACAUAUGGCCUUUAAUUGUGUAGCUAAAAAGAAGCUAUUUUUUUAAAACAAGCAUAAGUGGAUUCGAAAGUCCACUAAAGCUAACUAUCAAGGACCCAAGUUUGUAUGGGUACCAAAAAUCAAAUCUUGAAUUUUUUUGUAGGAGCCGAAGAAAACUAAAAGCAAAUGGUUCUUUUAUAGUGGUUGUUCAAAGUACAUGACCAGAGAUUGAUCCUUGCUAUCAAACUUUACAGAGAAGAAUAGAGGACAUGUAACCUUCGGAGACAACACCAAUGAUAAAAUUAUUGGUAUUAGAAACAUUGGUAACACACAUCCCCCUCUAUUGAAAAUGUUUUACUAGUUGAUAACCUUAAACAUAAUUUACUAAGUAUUAGUCAAUUAUGUGACAAUAAAAUUCAAUUCUUCAAAAUACCUUAUGAAGAUGCUAAAUCAAAAGAUGAAAUUUUCAUAGGAAACUGAAGUAAAGAUGUUUAUAUCAUAAACAUAGAAUUUGAAUAUAUUGAAAAUUGUUCACUUAGUGUGAAAGAAGAAUCAUGGCUAUGGCAUAGAAGAUUAGGAUAUGUUAAUAUGGAUCUUCUUUAAAAAAUUUCCAAAAAAUUGUGUUGUAAAAGGAUUAUCGAAUUUGAAAUUUGAAAAAGAUAAAAUUUCUGAUGCAUGUCAAUUUGGAAAACAAGUGAAAAAUUCUUUCAAGCCAAAACUUUAUGCUUCAACUACAAAAUCAUUACAACUUAUCCACAUGGAUCUUUUUGUACCUUCUAGGAUGACUAGCUUAGAAGAUAAAAAUUAUGCCUUUGUUAUAGUCGAAGAUAUUUCAAGAUUUACUUGGGUUAUAUUUUUAAGUUUGAAAGAAGAAGCCUUAAAAGCUUUUAAACACCUUUGUAAGAAAGUUGAAAAUGAAAAAGAUUAUUAAAUUACAACCAUUAGAAGUGACCAUGGUAGAGAAUUUGAUAAUGUUAAUUUUGAUGAUUUUUGUAAUGAAUACAGAUAUGAACAUAAUAUUCAACUCCUAGAACUUCUCAACAAAAUUGUGUAGUAGAAAUGAAGAAUUGUACAUUACAAGAAAUGGCUCAGACCAUGCUAAAUGGAAAUAAUCUAUCAAAAUAUUUUUGGGCCGAGGCUGUUAACACUGAUUACUGCAUUGUCAAUAGAGUUUUAGUAAACAAAAAGAAAACUAAAACUCCUUAUGAACUUUGGAAAAAUAGAAUUCUAACAUUAACUAUUUCAAAGGUUUUGGAUGUAAAUGCUUUAUUUUGAAUACAAAAGACAUUUUGGGAAAUUUUAAUUCAAAAUCCGAUGUGGAAAUUUUCCUAGGAUAUUUAUUGACUAGCAAAGCAUAUAGAGUUUUUAACAAACGAACUCUAAUCGUUGAAGAGUCCAUGCAUGUUACUUGUGAUGACGAUGUAGAUUUAGAAGCUACAUUUGAACAAAUGAAGAUUCAAGAUCAAAGCAAGGAGGCGCCAAAUGAAGAAGAAAAAGAGGAAUCAAAUAAAGAAAAAGCAAACCGAAGCACAAAGAGAUCCUCCACUACCAAAAGAAUGGAGGUUUGCUCCAUCUUAUCCCAACGAACUUAUCAUAGGUGACCCAUCAAAAGGUAUCACUACUAGAGCCUCUUAUAAAAAUUAUCUCAGUAGUUGUACAUUUAUUUCUCAAAUCGAACCUAAAAAUUUCAAAGAAGUUUUUGAUGAGUUUUGGAUUCUAGCAAUGCAAGAAGAAUUAAAUCAAUUUGAAAGAAAUCAUGUUUGGGACUUAGUUGCCAAACCAAACCAUCAAACUAUUAUUGGUACUAAAUGGGUUUUUGGAAACAAAGGAGAUGAAAAUAGAAUAAUUGUGCGUAUCAAGGCUAGAUUAGUCUUCCAAGAUUAUAAUCAAGAAAAAGGUAUCGAAUUUGAAGAAACAAAUGGAGCUUAAUUGCUAGACAAAACCAUUCACAUGUUUCUUGCAUUUGCAUAUAUUUUGUGCUCGUUUUUCCAUAUAUCUUCCAAAACAUUGAAUCCAAUGCACCAAACAUGAUUCCACCUUCAAGACCAAGAUAAAAGUUGUUAUUUGGCUUGUUAACGUCAACAUUUUGUACUCCAUAGCUUGAUCAAGUAAUUAGACGACUUUAUUGGCUCUUCGAGGUCUCGAACUUAGCUCGAUUCUUUGUCUUGGCUCCUUAUCAACAUGCGCAGAAUCCUUAAGCUUCUUAAUAAUUUUUGACCCCCUCUCCGGAUCACAUCACAACAUGAAAAUAAGGACGGAGCAACAUAAUUCAGGAACUCAUUCCCUUUAAUGAAAAAAUGUAAACUAAAAAUAAAAAAAUAAAAUAAAAUGGAGCAUUGUAAUGAUUUUGUUAGCUUAAUAAAAUUAAGUAUACUUUUAUAUUCAUAUAAGGUGCUAUACAAUCUUGGAGUUAUUGCAUAGCUCUCUUUGGCCAUCUUCAUCUUGGUGAUUGCUUUCUUUUCAUUUGGAUAACUUGAUUUUUCAUUCUCAUAAUAAUGAAAACAGAUUAAUUUUUUAAGUUCAUUUGUAACUAUUUUAAGGUUAAUAAAUCAUUCGCGAUUAUAUACAUAUCCUCAUUCUAUUUUUCCACUGGAAGAUAAUAAUUCUUUUCAUUAUACUAAACAUUCAUUAGAAAUAUAAUUAUGAUUAUCCCAAGAAUGUGUUUCCACACACUCUGAAGUUAUGCCGAACUAAUGAUGCGUGCCAAGGGCAUAUAUGCUUCACUCACGAUGCACACAUGCUACACAAAUGUGAAAUUUUUUCAUUCUAAGAUUUUGCCUCCAAAAUUUAUUUUUUGCAGGAAAAUUUUUACUAUGGGUCUUCAACAUUUGGAACUUGUAACAAUUCCGGUGCUAUUCAAUUCUUAUCCCAUUCGGUCCCCAACCUUUCAUUAAGGGAAAUGUCACUUUCUAUCACCAACAUUUGCAUUAUGUUACUAGUAGAUCCUCAACCUUUUUUGGCACCAGAUCUUGCAUUAUUUUUUUUUGGCUAAAAGUUCACCUUUAUUUAGGGCCUGUUUGUGCCCCUUUAAUUUCAAAAAGUAUAUUAUAGAAUAAUGAUUGAUGUUGAAAUGUGUAGUCAAAAAAGAAGAAAAAGUCUUUUAUUUAUGCGUAAUAUUAUUUUAAUGAGCAAUGUGUAGUUGAAAAUGAGUACUGUAGAAAAAAUAAUGUAGUAGAAUGUAAUAGAAUGAUUGACAAACAAAUGCUUAAUUGUGGUUACUUAUUAUCUCUAUGCUCAUUUAUCUGCACCGUGUUUUGAUGCCUUUUUUAUCCAAUAAAUACAUGCUCGGAUCAAGAUCAGUUGUAUUAUUUUUGCCCUUUUCUUGAAAAGUAAUCUUUAAUCUCUUCUCCAUAUAAUCAAGAAUUCUUCUAUGUGCGGGAUUUCGAUUGCAGACUCGUGAAUCUAUUACAUGAAUUGGAAGGUAGAUAGAACAGUGAAGGAGAAUCCAAGGAACAUCACAGCAUACGAAGACAUUUGACGGAUCGUAUGACCAUGAAAGUGUCAUCAUGAGAAUUCUCUCCUUCAUCUCAAAUGAGUAAGGUACUUUCAGGGUCGGUCCUGUGAUUGUCGGGGCCCUAGGCAAAUUCCAUAAAUUAGGCCUCGGCGAAAUCAGCGUAAAUACAAAAUUCAACGGCGUAUUAUGCAACCUAUUGCUAAUUUAAAAUAUACGGCCACAUGUUAACCAAUGUCCAAUAACCAAUUAACCAUGUAUUGCAUAAGCUGAUAAGCCAAACUUAUGGUGGAAAUAAGUAAGAAACAAUCAGUAGCAGUUUGCAUGAGACCAACUUGGUAAAAUGACCCUAAAAUUUUCAAUGUAAGUACAUCUCGACUGCAUGAAUAAGUUAAACUGUUAAGGUUACAUGCCUAGAUUAUUUGUUUCUAACUAAAAUAUUAUAAGGCUAGUGAACAGAAGGCAGAAACUUCAAUGGAUUUUUCUAAUUUUAAUGUUUAAGAUAGAUGUUUAUCAAUAUAACUAACUGUUGCGAGUUCAAAUUAUUUUGUUUUGAUUUUUUGCCCAUUUGAGAAUCUCUAUUUCAUCUAAUUCCUCAAGCAACCAUAUUUCCAGUAAACUGCUUUCCACAACAUAUUAGAAUUGCAAACUUCUCUCUGUUCACUAAUAUUUUAUUCUUUUCGUUCUUAGCAACGCAUUCACAGAAAAUAAACUGGAAGGAGGAAUCUAAAAUUUAAAAUUAACACUGAUCUGGAUUCUCCUUUACCAUAUUCCAUUUUUCUUCCAGGAAUCAGAAAAAUAACUACAUGUUCGCAAAGCAAGAGGGCAAACUCGACUACUCACCUUCUUCUCGAGGAACCUUUGCCUGCGCCUAGGAUUGAAGAGUCACGUGCAGUCGAGCAAGCCCUGGGAAAAAUGGGGAUCCUGAUUUGGAAUUUUAGAUUUGGGAAUUUUGAUUCUGGGUAAAUGGGUAUUAUGGAUUGUGGGAUAUAUAUAAGUUGGGUUGGGAAGAUGUUGAUUGCUGCUCUUGGGUCAUUGGCAAUUGGGUCUGGGUGUGAGGCCUUUAACCAGAUACCUCGCCGAUGAAAUAAAUCAUCGCACCUAUGGUCCAACCAAUUAGGAGAGAAUCAAUAGAUUCCUUUUCGGGAUCUUAGAAGGUGUAAGAUGUGCUUUCGUUCCUUUACCUAUUUCUGUGCUUAUUUUCCAAUCUGUGCUUGUUUAGCGAGACUGUUGUCUUAAAUCCUGAUGCCAGCGUUCCUAGCCUUGAAUCGGCGGAAAAGGCCCAUAUCUAUAAUUAUGAUUUUACGUAUGGACAAUUCCUCAAUAUCUCGUUCAUUUAAUAAAAAAAAUGCUUUGGUAAAAAAUAGGCCCCCUUGGUUCUAGGGCUUGAGACGCAGGCCUCAUUGGCCUCGCCUCAGGACUAGGCCUGGGUAGUUUCAUGGAUGACUUCCACGUACUUAUGGCUAUAAGAUGCAAAGGGUUUUUAAUUUAUUUCAUGGUGCCAAAGACACUCAGGAUUGCUAUUUAAUUUAGCAGAAAUAUUGUAAUUGUAGGUAAAACCCGGACUUAGAGGAAUAUAUGUACUCGUGCAUUUCUUUGAGAAGGAUAGACCUUACAUAAUACAAGCUGAAGCAAUAUUGGCCAUAUAUUCUAUCUAUUUUUCUUUAAAAUCUCCUCAUAUCUUGAAAUUCAAAUUAUUUGCUUACAAGUUCUAUUGAAUCACGACACACUGUUGAAGCUUAUAUAUAGUGUCCUUAUGCUAGAGUCAAUCAAGAUCUGAAUAGGCACUUUAUGUAUUGAAUAUUCAUGUGGGUGCAUGUGAAACAUAAAGUAUUGUCUUCCAUGCACUUGGUGUGUGAGAAAAUUGCACAAAGUCCAUCAACAUGUUGGCAGAAGUCAAGCAUGGCCAGUUUCCAAUACACGGUGGUUCUGCUAAAAGUUCUAGAGUGAUUUGUAAUCUUUAUCUAGUCCAAAUCCAAACUGUAAAUUUCAACAACAAAAGAAGAUUCAAAGAGUUUAAAUGCAAAUUGACCACUUCAACCAACAAAGACUUUAUUCAUUGAAUGGACAAAGGAUAAGAUUUUCAAUUCAAGUUGUAUGCCCAACUUAUGCAAGCUGGAAAUUAACAUAGACAGCAGCAAUCAAUUCACAUUCUGAUGUUCUGCAAUCUGAAAAUUAUAUCAGGCAGCAGCCAUUUGACACUUAUAAUGUUCAAACACAUCUGCAAAUGCAUAUGUUCCAGCUAGGGGCGGAGCCAAGAUCGAACUACAAGCUUGGCUAACAUGUAAAAAAAAUAUAAAUUUACACUUAAAAAAAUUUUUUUUACCCUAAAAAACAUUAAAUGGGUUGGAGAGGGGACUGGGCUACAACCCAGCCCAGUUUCCCCUUAGAUCCGCUCCUAGUUCCAGCUAUAAAUGAUGAAGAAAAAACAGCUUUUACUUUUUGUAAUUGUAGAGAAUUAGUAAGAUUAGUUUACUCAAUGUUUUGUAUAAAUAGAGAGGUAUCCAUCUAGUGUUAUGUAUGUAGAAGAAGUGAGAAAGAUCUCUAAAAAAAUUAGAAAGAGUGUGUUGUAGCAACUUCUUUGUAAUUCCUCAAAUUUCAUAAGAAAAUUUUCAUAUUUCUCUUAUCUAUUUCCUUCUACACCUAACAAAUUUUGGUAUCAGAGCUUAGGCAAAAUACAUAAACCAAAUCCUACCAAAAUUUGAAACAAAAUCAGCCUACAAACCACCAUAGCAGCAACAAAUUUACAGAAACUAGCCAGUUAUGGCAACAAAUUUAGCAGCCUCUUUGUUCACUUAAUCACCAAGUCAAGUACCAAUCUUUGAAGGUGAGCACUGUGAAUAUUGGAGUAGUCAAAUACAAAUUUUCUUCAUCUCUUUAGAUUUAUGGGAUGUCAUUAAAGAUGAUGAAGUCAUAGAAGAUUCGACCGAAGGAGAUGAAGAAGAUCCAAAGUUACAAAAGGAAUAUAAAAGGAAAGAUGCAAUGGCAUUGUGAUAUAUUCAACAAGGAGUUGGAAAAUUAAUUUUUCCUCGUAUAUUUGGUGUUAAAAAAGUUAAAGAUGUAUGGAAAAUUUUAAAUCAAGAAUUUCANNNNNNNNNNNNNNNNNNNNNNNNNNNNNNNNNNNNNNNNNNNNNNNNNNNNNNNNNNNNNNNNNNNNNNNNNNNNNNNNNNNNNNNNNNNNNNNNNNNNNNNNNNNNNNNNNNNNNNNNNNNNNNNNNNNNNNNNNNNNNNNNNNNNNNNNNNNNNNNNNNNNNNNNNNNNNNNNNNNNNNNNNNNNNNNNNNNNNNNNNNNNNNNNNNNNNNNNNNNNNNNNNNNNNNNNNNNNNNNNNNNNNNNNNNNNNNNNNNNNNNNNNNNNNNNNNNNNNNNNNNNNNNNNNNNNNNNNNNNNNNNNNNNNNNNNNNNNNNNNNNNNNNNNNNNNNNNNNNNNNNNNNNNNNNNNNNNNNNNNNNNNNNNNNNNNNNNNNNNNNNNNNNNNNNNNNNNNNNNNNNNNNNNNNNNNNNNNNNNNNNNNNNNNNNNNNNNNNNNNNNNNNNNNNNNNNNNNNNNNNNNNNNNNNNNNNNNNNNNNNNNNNNNNNNNNNNNNNNNNNNNNNNNNNNNNNNNNNNNNNNNNNNNNNNNNNNNNNNNNNNNNNNNNNNNNNNNNNNNNNNNNNNNNNNNNNNNNNNNNNNNNNNNNNNNNNNNNNNNNNNNNNNNNNNNNNNNNNNNNNNNNNNNNNNNNNNNNNNNNNNNNNNNNNNNNNNNNNNNNNNNNNNNNNNNNNNNNNNNNNNNNNNNNNNNNNNNNNNNNNNNNNNNNNNNNNNNNNNNNNNNNNNNNNNNNNNNNNNNNNNNNNNNNNNNNNNNNNNNNNNNNNNNNNNNNNNNNNNNNNNNNNNNNNNNNNNNNNNNNNNNNNNNNNNNNNNNNNNNNNNNNNNNNNNNNNNNNNNNNNNNNNNNNNNNNNNNNNNNNNNNNNNNNNNNNNNNNNNNNNNNNNNNNNNNNNNNNNNNNNNNNNNNNNNNNNNNNNNNNNNNNNNNNNNNNNNNNNNNNNNNNNNNNNNNNNNNNNNNNNNNNNNNNNNNNNNNNNNNNNNNNNNNNNNNNNNNNNNNNNNNNNNNNNNNNNNNNNNNNNNNNNNNNNNNNNNNNNNNNNNNNNNNNNNNNNNNNNNNNNNNNNNNNNNNNNNNNNNNNNNNNNNNNNNNNNNNNNNNNNNNNNNNNNNNNNNNNNNNNNNNNNNNNNNNNNNNNNNNNNNNNNNNNNNNNNNNNNNNNNNNNNNNNNNNNNNNNNNNNNNNNNNNNNNNNNNNNNNNNNNNNNNNNNNNNNNNNNNNNNNNNNNNNNNNNNNNNNNNNNNNNNNNNNNNNNNNNNNNNNNNNNNNNNNNNNNNNNNNNNNNNNNNNNNNNNNNNNNNNNNNNNNNNNNNNNNNNNNNNNNNNNNNNNNNNNNNNNNNNNNNNNNNNNNNNNNNNNNNNNNNNNNNNNNNNNNNNNNNNNNNNNNNNNNNNNNNNNNNNNNNNNNNNNNNNNNNNNNNNNNNNNNNNNNNNNNNNNNNNNNNNNNNNNNNNNNNNNNNNNNNNNNNNNNNNNNNNNNNNNNNNNNNNNNNNNNNNNNNNNNNNNNNNNNNNNNNNNNNNNNNNNNNNNNNNNNNNNNNNNNNNNNNNNNNNNNNNNNNNNNNNNNNNNNNNNNNNNNNNNNNNNNNNNNNNNNNNNNNNNNNNNNNNNNNNNNNNNNNNNNNNNNNNNNNNNNNNNNNNNNNNNNNNNNNNNNNNNNNNNNNNNNNNNNNNNNNNNNNNNNNNNNNNNNNNNNNNNNNNNNNNNNNNNNNNNNNNNNNNNNNNNNNNNNNNNNNNNNNNNNNNNNNNNNNNNNNNNNNNNNNNNNNNNNNNNNNNNNNNNNNNNNNNNNNNNNNNNNNNNNNNNNNNNNNNNNNNNNNNNNNNNNNNNNNNNNNNNNNNNNNNNNNNNNNNNNNNNNNNNNNNNNNNNNNNNNNNNNNNNNNNNNNNNNNNNNNNNNNNNNNNNNNNNNNNNNNNNNNNNNNNNNNNNNNNNNNNNNNNNNNNNNNNNNNNNNNNNNNNNNNNNNNNNNNNNNNNNNNNNNNNNNNNNNNNNNNNNNNNNNNNNNNNNNNNNNNNNNNNNNNNNNNNNNNNNNNNNNNNNNNNNNNNNNNNNNNNNNNNNNNNNNNNNNNNNNNNNNNNNNNNNNNNNNNNNNNNNNNNNNNNNNNNNNNNNNNNNNNNNNNNNNNNNNNNNNNNNNNNNNNNNNNNNNNNNNNNNNNNNNNNNNNNNNNNNNNNNNNNNNNNNNNNNNNNNNNNNNNNNNNNNNNNNNNNNNNNNNNNNNNNNNNNNNNNNNNNNNNNNNNNNNNNNNNNNNNNNNNNNNNNNNNNNNNNNNNNNNNNNNNNNNNNNNNNNNNNNNNNNNNNNNNNNNNNNNNNNNNNNNNNNNNNNNNNNNNNNNNNNNNNNNNNNNNNNNNNNNNNNNNNNNNNNNNNNNNNNNNNNNNNNNNNNNNNNNNNNNNNNNNNNNNNNNNNNNNNNNNNNNNNNNNNNNNNNNNNNNNNNNNNNNNNNNNNNNNNNNNNNNNNNNNNNNNNNNNNNNNNNNNNNNNNNNNNNNNNNNNNNNNNNNNNNNNNNNNNNNNNNNNNNNNNNNNNNNNNNNNNNNNNNNNNNNNNNNNNNNNNNNNNNNNNNNNNNNNNNNNNNNNNNNNNNNNNNNNNNNNNNNNNNNNNNNNNNNNNNNNNNNNNNNNNNNNNNNNNNNNNNNNNNNNNNNNNNNNNNNNNNNNNNNNNNNNNNNNNNNNNNNNNNNNNNNNNNNNNNNNNNNNNNNNNNNNNNNNNNNNNNNNNNNNNNNNNNNNNNNNNNNNNNNNNNNNNNNNNNNNNNNNNNNNNNNNNNNNNNNNNNNNNNNNNNNNNNNNNNNNNNNNNNNNNNNNNNNNNNNNNNNNNNNNNNNNNNNNNNNNNNNNNNNNNNNNNNNNNNNNNNNNNNNNNNNNNNNNNNNNNNNNNNNNNNNNNNNNNNNNNNNNNNNNNNNNNNNNNNNNNNNNNNNNNNNNNNNNNNNNNNNNNNNNNNNNNNNNNNNNNNNNNNNNNNNNNNNNNNNNNNNNNNNNNNNNNNNNNNNNNNNNNNNNNNNNNNNNNNNNNNNNNNNNNNNNNNNNNNNNNNNNNNNNNNNNNNNNNNNNNNNNNNNNNNNNNNNNNNNNNNNNNNNNNNNNNNNNNNNNNNNNNNNNNNNNNNNNNNNNNNNNNNNNNNNNNNNNNNNNNNNNNNNNNNNNNNNNNNNNNNNNNNNNNNNNNNNNNNNNNNNNNNNNNNNNNNNNNNNNNNNNNNNNNNNNNNNNNNNNNNNNNNNNNNNNNNNNNNNNNNNNNNNNNNNNNNNNNNNNNNNNNNNNNNNNNNNNNNNNNNNNNNNNNNNNNNNNNNNNNNNNNNNNNNNNNNNNNNNNNNNNNNNNNNNNNNNNNNNNNNNNNNNNNNNNNNNNNNNNNNNNNNNNNNNNNNNNNNNNNNNNNNNNNNNNNNNNNNNNNNNNNNNNNNNNNNNNNNNNNNNNNNNNNNNNNNNNNNNNNNNNNNNNNNNNNNNNNNNNNNNNNNNNNNNNNNNNNNNNNNNNNNNNNNNNNNNNNNNNNNNNNNNNNNNNNNNNNNNNNNNNNNNNNNNNNNNNNNNNNNNNNNNNNNNNNNNNNNNNNNNNNNNNNNNNNNNNNNNNNNNNNNNNNNNNNNNNNNNNNNNNNNNNNNNNNNNNNNNNNNNNNNNNNNNNNNNNNNNNNNNNNNNNNNNNNNNNNNNNNNNNNNNNNNNNNNNNNNNNNNNNNNNNNNNNNNNNNNNNNNNNNNNNNNNNNNNNNNNNNNNNNNNNNNNNNNNNNNNNNNNNNNNNNNNNNNNNNNNNNNNNNNNNNNNNNNNNNNNNNNNNNNNNNNNNNNNNNNNNNNNNNNNNNNNNNNNNNNNNNNNNNNNNNNNNNNNNNNNNNNNNNNNNNNNNNNNNNNNNNNNNNNNNNNNNNNNNNNNNNNNNNNNNNNNNNNNNNNNNNNNNNNNNNNNNNNNNNNNNNNNNNNNNNNNNNNNNNNNNNNNNNNNNNNNNNNNNNNNNNNNNNNNNNNNNNNNNNNNNNNNNNNNNNNNNNNNNNNNNNNNNNNNNNNNNNNNNNNNNNNNNNNNNNNNNNNNNNNNNNNNNNNNNNNNNNNNNNNNNNNNNNNNNNNNNNNNNNNNNNNNNNNNNNNNNNNNNNNNNNNNNNNNNNNNNNNNNNNNNNNNNNNNNNNNNNNNNNNNNNNNNNNNNNNNNNNNNNNNNNNNNNNNNNNNNNNNNNNNNNNNNNNNNNNNNNNNNNNNNNNNNNNNNNNNNNNNNNNNNNNNNNNNNNNNNNNNNNNNNNNNNNNNNNNNNNNNNNNNNNNNNNNNNNNNNNNNNNNNNNNNNNNNNNNNNNNNNNNNNNNNNNNNNNNNNNNNNNNNNNNNNNNNNNNNNNNNNNNNNNNNNNNNNNNNNNNNNNNNNNNNNNNNNNNNNNNNNNNNNNNNNNNNNNNNNNNNNNNNNNNNNNNNNNNNNNNNNNNNNNNNNNNNNNNNNNNNNNNNNNNNNNNNNNNNNNNNNNNNNNNNNNNNNNNNNNNNNNNNNNNNNNNNNNNNNNNNNUGAAAUUCUUGAUUUAAAAUUUUCCAUACAUCUUUAACUUUUUUAACACCAAAUAUACGAGGAAAAAUUAAUUUUCCAACUCCUUGUUGAAUAUAUCACAAUGCCAUUGCAUCUUUCCUUUUAUAUUCCUUUUGUAACUUUGGAUCUUCUUCAUCUCCUUCGGUCGAAUCUUCUAUGACUUCAUCAUCUUUAAUGACAUCCCAUAAAUCUAAAGAGAUGAAGAAAAUUUGUAUUUGACUACUCCAAUAUUCACAGUGCUCACCUUCAAAGAUUGGUACUUGACUUGGUGAUUAAGUGAACAAAGAGGCUGCUAAAUUUGUUGCCAUAACUGGCUAGUUUCUGUAAAUUUGUUGCUGCUAUGGUGGUUUGUAGGCUGAUUUUGUUUCAAAUUUUGGUAGGAUUUGGUUUAUGUAUUUUGCCUAAGCUCUGAUACCAAAAUUUGUUAGGUGUAGAAGGAAAUAGAUAAGAGAAAUAUGAAAAUUUUCUUAUGAAAUUUGAGGAAUUACAAAGAAGUUGCUACAACACACUCUUUCUAAUUUUUUUAGAGAUCUUUCUCACUUCUUCUACAUACAUAACACUAGAUGGAUACCUCUCUAUUUAUACAAAACAUUGAGUAAACUAAUCUUACUAAUUCUCUACAAUUACAAAAAGUAAAAGCUGUUUUUUCUUCAUCAUUUAUAGCUGGAACUAGGAGCGGAUCUAAGGGGAAACUGGGCUGGGUUGUAGCCCAGUCCCCUCUCCAACCCAUUUAAUGUUUUUUAGGGUAAAAAAAAUUUUUUUAAGUGUAAAUUUAUAUUUUUUUUACAUGUUAGCCAAGCUUGUAGUUCGAUCUUGGCUCCGCCCCUAGCUGGAACAUAUGCAUUUGCAGAUGUGUUUGAACAUUAUAAGUGUCAAAUGGCUGCUGCCUGAUAUAAUUUUCAGAUUGCAGAACAUCAGAAUGUGAAUUGAUUGCUGCUGUCUAUGUUAAUUUCCAGCUUGCAUAAGUUGGGCAUACAACUUGAAUUGAAAAUCUUAUCCUUUGUCCAUUCAAUGAAUAAAGUCUUUGUUGGUUGAAGUGGUCAAUUUGCAUUUAAACUCUUUGAAUCUUCUUUUGUUGUUGAAAUUUACAGUUUGGAUUUGGACUAGAUAAAGAUUACAAAUCACUCUAGAACUUUUAGCAGAACCACCGUGUAUUGGAAACUGGCCAUGCUUGACUUCUGCCAACAUGUUGAUGGACUUUGUGCAAUUUUCUCACACACCAAGUGCAUGGAAGACAAUACUUUAUGUUUCACAUGCACCCACAUGAAUAUUCAAUACAUAAAGUGCCUAUUCAGAUCUUGAUUGACUCUAGCAUAAGGACACUAUAUAUAAGCUUCAACAGUGUGUCGUGAUUCAAUAGAACUUGUAAGCAAAUAAUUUGAAUUUCAAGAUAUGAGGAGAUUUUAAAGAAAAAUAGAUAGAAUAUAUGGCCAAUAUUGCUUCAGCUUGUAUUAUGUAAGGUCUAUCCUUCUCAAAGAAAUGCACGAGUACAUAUAUUCCUCUAAGUCCGGGUUUUACCUACAAUUACAAUAUUUCUGCUAAAUUAAAUAGCAAUCCUGAGUGUCUUUGGCACCAUGAAAUAAAUUAAAAACCCUUUGCAUCUUAUAGCCAUAAGUACGUGGAAGUCAUCCAUGAAACUACCCAGGCCUAGUCCUGAGGCGAGGCCAAUGAGGCCUGCGUCUCAAGCCCUAGAACCAAGGGGGCCUAUUUUUUACCAAAGCAUUUUUUUUAUUAAAUGAACGAGAUAUUGAGGAAUUGUCCAUACGUAAAAUCAUAAUUAUAGAUAUGGGCCUUUUCCGCCGAUUCAAGGCUAGGAACGCUGGCAUCAGGAUUUAAGACAACAGUCUCGCUAAACAAGCACAGAUUGGAAAAUAAGCACAGAAAUAGGUAAAGGAACGAAAGCACAUCUUACACCUUCUAAGAUCCCGAAAAGGAAUCUAUUGAUUCUCUCCUAAUUGGUUGGACCAUAGGUGCGAUGAUUUAUUUCAUCGGCGAGGUAUCUGGUUAAAGGCCUCACACCCAGACCCAAUUGCCAAUGACCCAAGAGCAGCAAUCAACAUCUUCCCAACCCUUUUUGCAGUAGCAAAAAGGAUUUUGUGAUUAUUUAAAGGAACCAAGAAUCAUGGCAUAGAGUUUAAAAAGGAAAAUAAUUGCAAACUUAUUGGUUAUACAGAUAGUGAUUGUGCUGGAUCAGUUGAUGAUAGGAAGAGCACUUCUGGAUACUUUUUUUUUUUUAAAUCUUAGAUCAAAGGUGAUUUCUUGGAGCUCAAAAAAGCAUAAAUUCGUUGCUUUAUCAUCAACAGAAGCACAGUGCAUCGCUGCUACAAAUUCAACUUGCGAAACUGUUUGACUCGGAAGAAUUUUGGAAUAUUUGAAUUUGAGCAGGAAGGACAAACAACAAUUUAUUACGACAAUAUGUCGACAAUUGAGAUGACAAUAAAUCCAGUCUUCCAUGCUAGGUCAAAGCAUAUUGAACUUUGACAUCACUUUAUAAGAGAUUUGGUAAAUCAAGAAGAAAUUUGCAUGGAGUUUAUAAAUACAAACGAUCAACCAGCCGAUAUGAUGACGAAUCCAAUGACGAUUGAUAAGUUUAAGAAAUUCAAGAAGCAUUUGAAGAUUACAAAUUAAGAGGGGGUGUUAAAAGUACUAGAGUAAUUAUUAAUCUUCAUCUAGGCCAAAUCCAAAUUGGAAACUUCAACAACAAAAGAAGAUUCAAAGAGUUCAAAUCCAAAUUGAACCCUUCAUGACAUGACCCGUCCGAAUCACCCUAGUGGACCCGAAAUGUGACGCGCGUUGAUGAUAAAUGCUGACUAGAUGUCAAAUCUAUCACUAAAGCUGACUACGAGUUACUUCAAAAAAUUUAUCAAAAUCAAAUGUUAUGUAAACUAUAAUGAGCUGGGCCUAAAUUAUUUACUGUGUUUCAUCAAUAUGAGUUAUAACACUCAACAUGUCGUGUGGCUCUCAUUCCGAAAUCAUUAGGCUCUUCCAACUAAAAGGAAUCAAUUGUUACAUGUAGAAAAAUUCGUAGAGAAAUAUAUGAGUUGAUAGCUCAGUGAGUGGAGAAGUUCGAAAAUAAUUAUACUUUUUCAAUUUUAUAUUUUUAUCGAAAAUCAAGUUCAUAUCAUUUAAUAAUUCACAAGAUAAUAUCAUAUAAUUGUAACCAAAAGUGAAAUAUUCACAUAAGGUCGUAAAAUAUCAUCUUAAAAUCAUUAUAUAAACAUCAACUGAUAAUCACGCUAUAAUCUCAUCACAUCAAAUAUACUGAAAAAUCCACCAAAAAUGUACCAUCUGACUGAAAUAUGUAUUCCGCCCCUUGGGCUAAGAACUUUCGCCACGGGCCUUUGGCUCCCUCUGUGAACGAAAGUCAGUCUCAAGACCUUUGGUAAUCAAUUCUGGAACACGAGCAAGGCUUAUCGCUGAACUAUAUGUACAUGGUCAAGACCCCUUCAUCCCUGGUCCAAGACCCCUCAUUGUCGUAUAGAACACGGUUAAGGCCCCUCAGUGAGCUAGAAGAAAUAUAUAAUCAUUGGUAUUUUUCUGGACGAUCUUAAUAUCACAUAUCUCACAUACCAAAUAAUUCUCAAUAUCACGUGUCUUACAUACAAAGUCACAAACAUAUCAUAAAUAAUCCUUGAAAUUCCCCAAGGAUCAUAAUAAAAGAAACUUUCAUCGUAAUCACGUAAUGGAGCAAAUAAUUCACAUAAUUGCACAUACUUUGAUAAUAUACUUAAUUUAUAAAUACUUUAAAAAUAUUUAUAUUUUUUCACUCACAGAGCUAUGUUCGUAAAAUCAAUUCGAUUGGUAAACUGUCUCAAUAUUCGUAUCGCUGCCUGAAAUAUGAUAUAAUUUUUAAAUCAACAAUUAAUUAUUUUAAGUAAUUUCAAUAAUUAAAUAGGCGAUGCCCAAUCUUAAUUAUUUCACGUUUAAGCAAUUUCUAAAGUCUCUUUAAUCACUAAAACUAGUUUUCCUUUCAUUUAACUCAAUUUCAUAGCUUAUUAUACUUAACCCUUUCAAUAAAAUUGAAUUUAAUCUAACAAUAUAACUAUAAAAUUAAAUAUAAUUUGACAAUAAGUAACUUUUUACUUACCUUUAAAAAUUGGAGAAUUCAAGCCUAAUAGUGGGAAGCACUUAAUUCCUAACAACUUGGCAAAUUUUUCUUCUUCUUUUUUUUUUCCCUCUUUUCUCUUUCUUUUUUUCUCUCUGCCUCGUUUCUUUCCAGUGUGUGUAGUGUGUGUUUCUGUUUAACAUCUUGGGUUUGAUAAGUUUUGGUGAAUAUAUAUCCAUUCCACCUCCUAGUGUAAAGUUUAUUUUAUUGUUUUCGUUUUUUUUUAUAUAGCGUGAUAUGUUUGACUUUUUUUUUUUUUUUAAAUUAAGGUAUUAUGCUUUAACCAAAAAAGGCUUUAUUAAUUGAAUGGUCAAAGGAUAAGAUUUUCAAUUCAAGUUGUAUACUCAACUUAUGCAAGCUGGAAAUUAACAUACACAGCAAUCAAUUCACAUUCUGAUAUUCUGCAAUCUGGAAAUUACAUCAGGCAACAGCCAUUUGACAAUUAUGAUGUUCAAACACAGUUGCAAAUACAUAUGUUCUAGCUGUAAAUGAUGAAGAAAAAUAGCUUUUUCCUUGUUGUAAUUGUAGAGAAUUAGUAAGACUAAUUUACUUAAUGUUUUCUAUUAAUAGGAAGGUAUUCAUCUAGAAUUAUGUAUGUAGAAGAAGUGAGAAAAAUCUCUCAAAAAAAUUAGAAAGAGUGUGCUGUAGCAACUCCUUUGUAAUUCCUCAAAUUUCAUAAUAAAAAUUUCAUAUUUCUCUUAUCUAUUUCCUUCUACACCUAACAGGUUCAACCUGUAUACGACUCUGAAAGGGGCUAAACUUGAUGGUGGUCAAGACUCCUCUCUACAGGACAUUAGUCAUUACAAAAAACUCAUAGAGUGGGUGUCUAUGUACUUGUCUUUAAUUUGUGUAAUAUUUUUAUAAAACCACGUCGUUUGUUAUUCCAAUAACUGUUGAUUGUUAUCAUUUUAAGAUCAUUGUGAACUUGCAAGCAGAAGAGUGGAUGUUCUUCCUAGUUUUGGGUUUUAUGAUAUAAAUCUGGUGUUCAGACGUGACUACUUUAAUUUACUUUAGUGCAUGCUUAUUCCACUAACUUGAACUAGCUGAUCAACGCAGUUGAAAGUGAUUCAAACACGUAUGAAUGUAGUCGUUGCAUUCAAUAUUUCAAUUUAUAUAUGAAUUUUGUGUGUGUGCUUUAGUUAAAUUCAUAAUCUACUUUGAAACAGCGAAUAUUAAUGUCCUGGCAUUCAUCUUGAUAUUAUAGAGAAAAAAAAAAAAGUCUAGAAAUUUAAAUUUACAUAUUCAACCCCUUAAUAAGUUAUAUUUUAUCAUAGGUAAAAACCAUGCAAAGGUUGCCAAUUUAAAAUUUGAAAUUGAAAAGUUCUCUUGUGCAUUUAGUAUUGGCUCUUUCAUCUUUGCACUAAAUUUAUUUAAGGAAUAUAAAUUGCAGAACAAACAAAAAAAAGUAAUUUCUCAAAAUAUAUAAGAAAAACACUAAAAUUAGAAAUUAAUAGAUAAGAAACAUAACGUAACAAAAAGUACCUUUUCAUUGGGUUUCAAAUGGUUUUCUAUGUUUCACCACAUUUGUGUAUUAGAAUUGCCAAUCUGUUCUACCUUUUAUGGUUCAAGAAGUUGGAAGUUGAGAAAAUUCUUGAGAUCAUUUGGUAGAAGGGGUAAAAAAUUCAUCCCCUUUCUUAUAAUUGCCCCCCUUUGAAGUUUAAGCUCUUCAGAUUCACAUUUCAGAUUAGAAGAAUUCAUCCUCAAUAAAGCAGCAUGAAACAGGCAAAUUUAGGUUACGAGUACAACUGUAUAGAAAUAAAAUUUUAUAUUCUUUACCAUAAUGAGGGUUCUUUGUACUAUCCUUCACCCCAAUAUAACAGGAUAAAAAAGCAAAUUAAAUCAUGCUAAACUAUUCUCAUCCUACCAGUAUCACUUGGCGAACUGUGAAAAUAUAAGAAGAGAACACAAAAACAACAGGAAUUCUAAUGCCUGUUAGAGAAAAUUCUUAUAUCUGGCUUACAUUCUUGUCAGCACCCGCUACAGGCGCACCAAUUGGGCCAACCAACUACAAAGCCCAACAAUGUGAGAAUCAUCCAUUGGAUGUUCUACAAUAUCUCUAUAUGUAUGCGACUACGGUAUGCGUGGAAAUAUGACAAUAAAGCAAUGGGAAUAUGGGGUAGGAGCAACAUACGGCAUGAACUCAUUCCCUUAAAUGAAAUAUGAAAACUAAUAAAACAAGAAAAUUAUAAUGAUUUUGUUUACUUAAUAAAAUCAAGUUUAGUUUUGUAUUUAUGCCACCAUCUUCAUUAUGGUGAUUGCUUUCUAAAAUUAAUUUUCCUUCAUUUGGAUACAUUGUUUUUUAUUCUUAUACUAAAAGAAGUCAAAUUUUUAAAAUUCGUUCGUAAAUAUGUUAAGGUAAGUAAAUCAUAGACGAAUGAGUAGAAUCCGAAUGCACAAAAAAUGGAAUUCUAAUCAAUUCAGGACCUCGAUAUAGUUUUAUUCUUUUCGAAAGAAGCUAAAGCCAAAGCCUCUAGGUAAGGCAAGCAAAGAGGCUUUAGCUCCCCUAUCAAUAAGGGAAAGAUUCUACUUUAAAAGACCGGAUCACACAACCAAAAAUCAGACAAUGACGUAAACACAUAAGGCUCCAACUUCUCUUGCCAAACGAAGGCAAGUGAUGUGGGCUCCAUCAUAAUGACUCCUCGUGAGGUAGUGAUGACUUUAACUAUUUGUGUUGGUAUUUUCUCAUUCUAUUUAUCCCCUAGAAGAUAAUAAUUAUUUUUAUUAUAUUAAACAUUGAUAAGAAAUAAAACUAUGACUAACAUUCAAGAAUGUGUUUCUUCACACUCUGCACUUAUGUCGCACUGACGAUGCGUGCAAAGUGCUCAUAUGCUUCACUCACGAUGCAAACAUGCUGCACAUAUGUGGAAUUUUUUUUAUUUUUAGAUUUUUCCCCCAAAAUUAACUUUUUGUAGGAAAAAAUUUACUAUGGUUCCCCAAAAUGGCACUUUUUAUCACCAACAUUUGCAAUAUGUUACUAAUCGACCCUCAACCUUUUUGGCACCAGAUCUUACAUUUUAUUUUGUUUCCUUUUUUGAUGGUUCAGCUUUAUUUAAUUGUGGUUACAUAUUGUCUCUUUGUUCAUUUAUCUCCACCAGGUUUUGCUGCUCUAUUUUAGCCAAUAACUACAUGCCCAGUUCAUGAUCUGCUAAAUUAUUUUCGCUGUUUUCUUUGAAAGUAAUCUUUAAUCUCUUCUCUAUAUAAUCAAGAAUUCUUCUGUUGGAUUUCAAUUGCAGACUCGUGAAUCUAUUACAUGAAUUGGAAGAUAGGUAGAAAAAUGAAGGAGGAUAACAGUGAAAGGGUCAUCAUCAGGAUUUUCUCCUUCAUCCUUAACUGAACAAGAUCAUUUUAUGGAUGAAUUCAAUGUACUUGUGGCUAUAGGGUACAAAGGCCGUUUAACGUACUUCACGGUGCCAAAGAUACUCAGGAUUGCUAUUUAAGUUAGUGCAAGUAUUGUAGGUAAAACUCAGACUUAGAGAAAUUAUCGUACUCGGCAAGUAUUUGUGCGCUUAGGUAAAUUCAUAAUCUAUUUUGGAACAGUGAAUAUAAUGUCCUGGCAUUCAUCUUGAAUAUUAUGGGAAAAAAGUCACUAAACUUAAAAUUUACAUUUACGACAUAUUCAACCCCUUAUCGGUUAUAUGUUAACACAUCUCAAAACCAUACAAUGAUUGCCAACUUAAAAUUUUUAAUAGAAAAGUUCUAUUGUGCAAUUAAGUAUUGGCUCUUUCAUCUUGGCACUGAAUUUAUUUAAGUAAUAUAAAUUAUAGUGCAAACAACUAGAGAUUUCUCCCAAAAAAAAAACACAAUCAAUAGGCAAGAAACAUAACUCAAUAAAAUCUACCUUUAUAUUGAGUUUUAAAUGGUUUUCAAUGUUUCGCCACAUUUAAGUGUUAGAAUUGCCAGUCUGUUUUACCUUUUGUGGUUCAAGAAGUUGGAACUUAAAAAACUUCUUGAAAUCAUUUGGUAGGGAGGGAAAUAAAUUUCAUUGCCAUUCUUCCAAUUGUCCUUUAGAAGUUUAAGCUCUUCAGUAUCACAUUUCAGAUUAGAAGAAUUCACCGUCAAUAACGCAGCAUGCGGAGAGUCAAAUUUUUGGGUUAUGUGUAUAGUUAUAUAGCAAGAAUUUUCAAAAGGUUACCAUAAUGAGGGUUCCUUGUGCUAUCAUCCGCCUCCGUAUAACUGCAUAAAACAGCAACUUGAAGAAUGCUCAACUAUUGUCAUCCUUCCAGUAUCACAUUGCUAAGUGGAAAAUACAACAAGAAACAAGAAAACAAUAAGAAUUCUUCUGCCUUUCUAGAGAAAAUUCUUAUAUGUAGCUCACAUUCUUGUCAGCGCCGACUACACGCACACCAAUUGAGCCAACCAACUCCGGAGUCCAACAACAUGAGAAUCAUCCAUUGGAUGUUCUAUAGUAUCUCCAUAUGUAUGGAACUACGGUAUGAGAGUAAAUUACUAUGAUAAUAAAGCACUGUGAAUGUCAGGAAGAAGCAACAUAUGGAAAGAACUCAUUCCCUCUAAUGGAAUAUGAAAUCUAAAAACUAGGAACAUUGUAAUGAUUUUCUUGACUUAAAAUCAUUCGUAAAUUAAUACUUUAAGGUAAAUGUAUACAUUUCCUUGUUCUGUUUAUCCACCAGAAGAUAAUAAUUGUUUUCAUUAUAUUAAACAUUCCAGAGAAGUAUAAUCAUGGUUACCAUUCAAGAAUGUGUUUCUUCACACUCUGCACUCUGUCACUCCGAUGAUGCAUGAAAAUUGCAUAUAUGCUUCACGCAUGGUGCGCACAUGAUGCACAUAGGUGAAAUUGUUUUGUUUUAGGAUUUUGCCUUCAAAAUUAAUUUUUUGUAUGAAAAAAUUUACUUUGGUUCCUAUUCUCCAUUCAAAUUCUAUCCCCACCCAUUGCCAACAUUUAUGGAAAUUUGCACUUUUAGUCCCCAACAUUUGCAAAAUGUUAUUAAUCUAGCCUCAACCCUUUUAGGCACCAGUCACCCUUGAGCUUUCAGAUGUAUAGUAAAAUUCGUCCUUCCAUCUACUUCUAUCAUUAAACUCAGGUAAAAUAACAAAUUUACCCCAUCUUGAAUAAAUACGAAAAGAAGAAGAAAACAUAAUGAAAAAAAUAAGAGAGAAAUUGUUGUGAAAGUUCUAAAUAUUUUCAAAACAAAAUAGAUAAUACUUUUCCCCAACCAUCCCCAUUCCUUAACCCAAUCCACCCCACCGCCACCAUUAUAGCCACACAACCUCCCACCACCACUCAAGGGCGGACGCAGAAAUUUUUAGCUCGGGGAUAAAAUCAAAUUCUGUACAAAUUGAAUAUAUUUUUAUUGAUUUUUAAAUGAUUUAUAUUUGAUCCAAGAAAAUGCAGAUUUACAUUUAAAAAACAAUUUUUCAUUAAUAUUUUGCUCAUAAUUUUCAUCUAUUUGAUUUCUAACAAUCAUUUUAUUAAUAUUUUGUUCAUCACAAGAAAAUUAAUAUUUAUGUUUAAAAAAUUUAUAGUGUAUUUAAUACUUUAAUCAAUUCAAGUGACUGAAAAGAAAAUCUUAUAACCAAUAUUCAAUCAAAUAAAUAAAAUUUGUUAAAUAUAAGUUAAAUUGGAUAUAAUCAGUUCCUAUACAUUCUAUGUAUGCAAAUAUAGUAGGAGAAAAUGUAAAUUUAUUUGAAAAUUCGAUUGAAAUGUAAAAAUUUGUGCUAGAUGUCAUAAUUUGUAGAAAAAUUUUAAACAAAUUUUAAAAAAUUAGAAGGAUUAAAGCUUGGUAAAAUGUGUGAAGGAGACAGUAAAAUAGAAUUAGAGAAAAGAAAAGAAAAAAAAAUUCAAAUUUAUUGUGAUUUUGCCCGGUGGGAAUUAAAAUGAAUUUUUUAGUAAAUUUUGAUAAAAGUUAAAAAGUUAAGGAUUUCAUGAAAAUAUGUUAUUAAAAUUAAUUAUUAACUUGGAUUAAGAUUAAAAUUUAGAUUUUAAUCGAUAUCAAAUAGGACUUAUCCCAAAAUAAUAAUAAUAAUAAUAAUAAUAAUAAUAAUAAUAAUAAUAAUAAUAAUAAUAUCUCAAAAUCUAGGGGGUCACUUGACCCUGCAAGACCCCCCUUGGGUCCGCCCCUGCCACCACUACUGUCCAACAUACAAUCCUCAACACCCAUGCAAUUUGCAAUUAAAAUAAAAAAUGAAAAAUGAAAAAACAGAAACAUUCACAUCUCCAAGCUAUCCCACAUCGAAUCGAACAUAGGCCAAAUCAAGAAAUGGAAAAUUUUCAAAACAAAUUCAUCCCCCUUUCUCUCCUACCUAGUUAUUUAUUUUAGUUGAUGGGUUAUAAUCGAGCAAUUCCAAACAUGGCUAAAAUCAAAUCAUCGAGAAAUCUUUUCAAAAUGUUUCUCAACCACCCGCAAAUCGUCAUCGGCAACAGUCGCAGCAGCAGUGGUGCGCUUAGUUGGGUCACAAAUUCCCAGAGAAUCAUCAUUUCUCCUACCCAUUAGCUUUGUAUUUAAAGAUUUAACCUUAAUUUCAGAUCUUGCCUCCUCAAAGAGAUGCAUGAGUACAUAAAUACUCCUAAGUCCAGGUUUUACCCACAAUUACAAUAUUUACACUAAUUAAGUGGCAAUCCUAAGUCAUCUCUGGCACCAUGUAGUACAUUAAAGAGCCUUUUCAUCCAAUCGUCUCAAGCACAUAGAAUUCAUCCCUCAAACAAUCUUGAUUAUGGCUCCACUAUUCAGCUGAAAGAGAAGGAGAAGAUUCUGCCCCCCCGGAGCAUAGUCUAGUGGUGCAAAGGAUAAGAGUAAGAUUAUCUCACGCCUUACUGGUAGCCGCAGUGUGGGGACUCGAUUCCUGAAACAUGGAAUUGGACUCCUUGUAGGCGCAGUGUACAGACAACUCUUGUUCCCUAGCCUGUUGAGGGCACAUCUCGCGAUUUACCUCCCUCUCAAAGCUCUAGGGGCGGGGCGGGGUGGUGGGGGCCCUCAAGGUUGGGGUUUAACCUUUUUUUUUUUUUUUUUUUUUUUUUUAUGAAAGAAGGAGAAGAUUCUGAUGAUGACACCAUUGUCUUCUGAGUAAAAACUCCACUUUAUGCUCAAUUUGUUCCUUGGAUAAUCUGUAACUUUUUUAUUGAUCAUCAGAUUUAUGUAAUAUGAUUCAUGAGUCUGCAAUCGAAAGAAAGUGACUAAAAGAAUAUAAUUGAUCCUGAUCCGUGCAUGUAUUUAUUAGCUAAAAAGAGCUUCAAAUCCUGGUGCAGAUAAAUGAACAAAGAGAUAAUAUACAAUAACCGUUAAUUAAAGCACAACUAGACCUUAUAUUACAUAUGCAAUGGCUAUAAUGUCCAUUUAUCCGAUCUGUUCAUCUACACAAUCUUCUCAAAAUAUUUAUUAAGAAGGUUCCGUUGAGUACCUCCAUGCUAGAAUCAAUCAGAUCCGAAAAGAUCAUUUAUCCAAUAUUCAUGUCGGUGCAUGUGAAACUUCAAAUAAUAUCUUUGAUGCACUUGGCGAGUGAGAAAAUUGCACAGUGUUGAUCAAGGUGUUGGCGGAAGACAAGCAUGGCCUUUCUUCCAAUACAUAGUGGUUCAACCCAAUUACAACUCUGGAGGGGUUAAACUUCGACGAUGGUCAAGACUCUACAAGGCAUUACACACAACUCAUAGAGUGGACACAUCAUUUGUGUCAAGUUGUUAGUAAUUUGAAAUAAUGUUGAUUGUAAUGAUUUUAUGAUACAUGGUGUAUUUGCAAGAAUAAGAUCGGAUGUUUCCCUAGUUUUGGGUUUUACGACGUAAAUGUGUUCAAACAUUACUUAUUUAACUAACUUGAACUUAUUGAUCAACGCAAUUGAAAGUGAUUCAAGCAAGUAUGAAUGUGGACAUUGCACUCAUUAAAGGUUAAACAUUUCAAUUUAUAUAAGAAUUGUUACGUGAGCUCAAGUUAAAUAAAUUCAUAAUAUUUUCUGAAACAGUGAAUAUUAAUUUCCAGGUAUUCAUGCAUAUUGACUAUUUUAGAAAAAAAUGUCACGAAAUUUACAGCAAAUUUAAACCCUUCUAGGUUAUUUUAUCAUAGGUCUAAACUUAAAAAGGUCGCCAAUUUAAAGUUUGAAACAAAAGAAAGGUUCUAUUGUGCUAUUAAGUAUUGGCUCUUAUAUCUUCGCACUAAUUUAGUUUAGCAAAAUAAAUUAGAGAACAAAAUAAAAAUAAAUAUAAUUUCUCUGAAUAAGAAAAACACUAAAUUAAUAAUUAAUAGGCAAGUAACAAAAAACAGUAUUGGGUAUUAAAUGGUUUUCCAUGUUUUCCUGCAUUUAGAGUACUUGCAUAGCCAAUCUGUUUUACCUUUUGUGGUUCUAAAAGUUGCAUGUUAAAAACUUAUUGAGAUCCUUUGGUGGGAAGGGGAAAAUAUAUUGCCAUUCUCGUAAUUGUCCUUUUUAAGUUUGAGCUCUUCUGAAUCACAUUUCAUAUUAGAAAAAUUCAUCCUCAAUAAAUCGGCAUGUGGAUACUCAAAUUUAGGUUAUGGCACUGUUUUGUAGGGAUUUUGAGAAUUUAUUUUUUGGUCGUUAGGAGAAAAGUGGGGGCCACUUGUGAGAGAAGAAGUCCAAAAUUACGGUUAGAACAGUGAAAUAAUGGUUAAAAAUCAAUUUUUUAAAGUGAAAAAUCACUCUCAAACACCCUCUAUGUCUAAAAUUAUAUGGCAAGAAUCUUCUACCUAUACCAUAAUGAGGGUUCCUUGUACUAUAUAUCCUUCACCCCCAUUUAACAGAAUAAAAAACAACUUAAAUAGUGCGAACCUAUUUUCGUCCUUCCAGUAUCACAGUGGUGCAGUGGAAAAUACGAGAGGAGAACACAAGAACAAUUGGAAAAGUCUAAUGUCUUUCAGAGACAAUUCUUAUAUGUUGAUUACAUUCUUGUCGGCCCACUACAAGUGCACCAAUUGGGCCAACCAACUCCAAAGUCCAACAACGCAAUAAUCUUUCAUUGGUUAUUCUACAAUUACAAAAAAAAAAAAAAGGGUUGAACCGCAACCUUAAGGGCCCCUACCGCUUCGCCCCUAGAGUUUUGUGAGGGAGGUGAAUCGCGAGACAUGCCCCAACAGACCAAGGAACAAGAGCUGCCUGUACACUGCGCCUACAAAGAGUCAAUUCUAUGUCUCAAAAAUCGAACCCCCACACAUAGCGUGAAAUAACCUCACUUUUGUCCUUUGCACCACUGGACUAUGCCUCGGGGAUGGUUGUUCUACAAUAUCUAUAUACACAUGUGGCAAUGUCUCAAUAGUAUGUGGGGGAAACAAAUAUGUUAAUAAAACAACGUGAAUAUUAGGAAGGAACAAAAUAUGCAAUAACUCAAUUCCUUUAAUAGAAUAUGAGAACUAAAAAAAAAAGAGCAUUGUAAUGAUUUUGUUGAAUUAAUAAACUAAAUUUAUUAAGUAUAUAUAUCAAGAUCAGGGUGGGGCAAGGGGGUGGCCUAGACCUGACCCUAGGGCCAGUUACUUUAAUAAGGUAAAAAAAUGUGAAAAUUAAAAGAACUACUUGUUUUCAAGAUCACAAUUAUAAUUAAGAGUUAUAAGUUGUCUUCUUCUUUUUUUCUUUUUUCAAAAAUCGGAUAUAAUUAAAAUUCUAAAUAUUGAUAAUGAUAUAAUAAAAUUAAAUUAAUUAACAUACUCCUUCCACCCCAUCUCCACUCACAAAUCCUAAAUUCAUUUUCAUUCCUCCCUCUCCUUUCUCCUCCUCUCUCUCAUAUCCCAUCCAACCCAUUCAAAUCUUUAUCUAUCGACUCUAUGCACUCUUUCUCCCACAUGGAACGUCAUCGUCGGAGAGCUCCAUCACUUGUGAUGAUGCUUUUUUGUUUUGUUGGAUGGAUGGUGGUUUCUUCCAUAUUUUGACGGUGUCUGGGUUUUCGGAUGGUUUUUGUUGGUGGCAGUGGAGUGCGGUGAAUAAUGUUUGAUCAAGUAUUUAAGUGUUGUGACUAAUCAAUUGGUUCAUUUGAGAUCAAUAAAUAAUUUGUGACCUAAAAUUGUUCGAUCAUAUCUAAAUUUGGAAUUGUAACUCAGUGUUGUGACCAACUAAUUCGACAAUUUGUGACUAAGAAAUAAUUUUAUAAUUUGUGACAGUGCAAAAAGUUGUGACUCUUAAAAUUAGUAAUUUGGCCAAUGAAUAAAUUGUGACCUAAGUAUUUUUUUAUUUUAUUUGUGAACUCUGAAUUUUUUUUUUAUUUUUGACGAGAAUUAAUACAAUAAUUUGUUACCAAAUUGUAUAAAAUUUUGAUCUUAAUAUAUUUAAUUAAUAAAAUACAUAUUUAAUUUUUAUUUUGUAAAUAAAUUUUAAAUAGUGUUUGAUUUUUGAAGUUUUAAACUUUGUUUCUUAAUUUUGAAUGUGCCAUAAUUAAUCUAUUAGAAAUGAAAUUUUCCCAAAAGCAUUUGUGGAAAACAUUUUUUCUAUGUACCAGUCCAAUAUAAAAUAUAACUUUUGUCCCCAUGACUAUGCCCCUGACCAAGUUGCUAAACAAUCUUAGAAUAACUAUACAGCUCUCUUUGAUCGUUGUCGUCUUGGUGAUUACUUUGUAGACUAUUGUUGUUCUUCAUAUGGAUCCCUUGAUUUUCGUUUUCAUAGUUAUGAAACCGAAUCAAAAUUUUGAAACUCAUUCAUAAAUAUUUUUAGGUGAGUCAUAAAAAAAGGUUUAUAUAUUUUCAUGUUCUAUUUGUCUUCCAGAAAAUUAUACUACUUUUCAUUAUAUUAAACAUUCAUUCAUUACAUAGUCACGAUUAUCAUUCAAUAACGUAUUGCUUCACACAAUGCAAUCAUGUUAAACAAUAGGUGCAUGCACGGUGCACAGAUGCUUCACUUUUUAUGCAUUAAGGGAAAUUGGCCCAACAUUUGCAAUAUGUUACCAAUCUACCCUUUUUUAGGCACCAAACAUCCUCGACGUUUGGUAAAUGUAGCAAUACUUGUCCUUCCAUCCAUUUUGAUUGUUAAAGUCAAGUAAAAAUGAUGAAUUUCCUCCGUCUUUGUAUAAAUAUAAAAAGAAGAAAGAAACAAAAUAGACAAACAAAAAUUGCAGCAAAAGUUCUAAAUCUUUCCAAAAUGAAAGCCUUCUUGUCCAACCACCACUGAUUAGUGUCUAAAAGUGCUUCAAAAAUAUAUCAUUUACAAGGCAUUUUACAUUCACUUUGUUUAAAUUCACUAAUGUUAGUCUCUAAUUUCAAUUCUCUUGACGUAAAUUCAAUUUCCAUAAAUAUAUGAUUAAAAGUGCAAUUAAUCGAAAUACGUAUUUAAAUACAUAUCGGCAUGAGUAUUAUACUUUUCAAAGAGUGUUUAUUUGAUGUAUUUCACAUGUAUUUCCAAGGUAGAACAAGCUGAGCAAGUGAAGAAAAAAUGUUAAAAAGUCAAGAAUAUCAGCUGUCUCCAGUAAAGAUGCAACUGUCUCGGUAAAAUUACCAUAACUCGAGUUGUAGUUAUCGAAACAAGGUUAUUCAAGUUGAGUGGAAAAGAUACGAUAUGUAUAUACAACUUUCAUGUUUACCAAGAAAUCAAAUUCGUAUCAUAAGGCAGCCAAAAUUACCGUGCAAAGUCCAACUUGUUACCUGCUGGAUACAGCUUUUCUACCUGUGAAGCAGCACUCAUUUAUUUGGUCAUAUCUAAAGUUAUAGAGAUCUAAUGGACUUGAUAUUUACACCAAUGGAAAGCUAACUAAAGUGAUAACAAUUUAUAUGCUGAUCAUAAGUCCAAAUUUACGGCACAAAGUAUCUGAAAAUUGGCAUCAACUUGUUUCUGUUCUGCUUCAAGACAGCUGGAACAUGCAAUUUGAUGCCAAUUUUCAUAUACUUUUUGCCGUGAAUUUGGACUUAUGAUCAACAGAUAAAUUGUUACCACUUGAGUUAGAUUUCCAUUGGUGUAAAUACCAAGUCCAUUAUGUCUCUAUAACUCCAUAUAUGGCCAAACAAAUUAGUGCUGCUUCACAGGUAGAAAAGCUGUAUCCGGUAGGUAACAAGCUGGACUUUGCACGAUAAUUUUGGCUGCCUUACGAUGUGAAUUUGAUUUCUUGUUAAACAUAAAAAUUGUAGAUCCAUAUCUUAUCUUUCCAAUCCAACUUAAAUCACCUUGUUUUGAUAACUACAGCUCGAGUUAUGAAAAUUUUACCUAGACAGUUGCAUCUUUACUAGAGACAGCUGAUAUUUUUUACUUUUCUACAUUUUUUCUCCACUUACUCCACUUGUUCUACCUUGGAAAUACAUGUGAAAUACAUCAUAUAAAUACUCUUUCAAAAGUAUAAUAGUCAUGCUGACAUGUAUUUAAAUAUGUAUUUCGAUUAAUUGCACUUUUAACCAUAUAUUUAUGGAAAUUAAAUUUACGUCAAGAGAAUUGAAAUUAAAAACUAAAAUUAGUGAAUUUAAACAAAGUGAAUGUAAAAUGCCUUGUAAAUGAUAUAUAUUUGAAGCACUUUUAGACACUAAUCACACUACCCAACCAAGAUAUUGCCAGUCUGUAGCUAUAAAAAAUUUAAAAAUAGUUCAAAUGAAAUAGCUUGUCGCACUUACCUUAGGAUUUGAAAUUGCUUAACAAAAUGCUUCUAGGGUUUGCUACCAAAAUAUAGUCUAACUUGUCCAAUGCUCGACCAACGUGUGUGUGCAUAAUCAAUUCAAUCACAUACCUUUUCAAAUUGGACUCAUCCCAACCCUCAAUGGUCAAUUAUUUCUCUCUUCUCUCGUGGGAUGCACACCCCCAAACUUGAUUUUGUAACUAUUUUCCUAAGGUGUGAUUUAUGGUUGUACUAUUACUCACCCUCUCUAGCAUUUUAAGGGGAAUUGUGUGGAAGUAUGAAAUGUAUAAAUAUUUUGAAUUGAAGUAUACAAAUUUUAUGUGGGCAGUAGAAUCCAUAUGGAAAUCAUGCUUAAAUAAAUUUAAAGAAAUUCUUAAACUCAUAACCUUCUUACAGCAUGUAUAGAUUGAUGGCUUCUUCUUAUGUUUUCUGUCUGUAUACUCCUUUACCUCACUUUGGUAAAUCUUGUUGGACUUUUUUUCCCUUGACAGCCACCUACCUGAUAGUACUUUAGUCCCAUUGAUUUUGUAAAGAUUCAUACAUGGUUUGUAUAUAGAACUUGAAAAGUAUGAAGAAUUGACUAAAACAUGAAAGUUUUAUUCUUUAGUUUGGUUAGAUUUUACUAAUUGUAGCUCAACACAUCAAUAAAUGAGGAUUCUCCUUAAUUUUGACUAAUUCAACUUUCAAGAAUCAACUAAGCUACUAAUCGCUUAUCAAAGGUCUAAUUCUUUUAAAUAAGUGUUCAGGACUUAAUCAAGGCAUGUAGUACAUCUUCUAUUUCAUGCACUUGCUUUUUUCAAGUUUGCCGUGGGUAUUUUGUUUCAUGCACUAGCCUGAUAUCUUUUUAUAUAUAUAAUUGUCCCCAUUGGGCUCUUUUAGGGUUACUUCAAAACGUGACAGCUUUUUCCCUUCUAUGCAAUGAUUAGUGCAAUGCUCCUCAUUAAACACUUAUUCUCGAAAAUCAAUCUUUAACUUAAGAUUUUCACCUAAUUAUCAUCUCAUUAGUUUUAUGCAAUCCACUCAAAAUUUAACACACAUGGAAUCCACAUCUAUCUCAAUGUUUCCUUACAAUAUCUCAACCACCCUAAACUAUCCUAGAAUUGGUUUAGUUAGAAUUUUUUUAUAUUUUAUUUUGGUCAUAGUUAAUUCUACAUAGUCUAUCCAUUAAUCCAAUCUAAAUAAUAUGUGAUUUUCAUGAUUAUUGUGCUCAAUGUAAAUCAAUCUAACAUGAAUAAACUUCAACUAAAUCAAAGCAGCAUCCUCUAGUCACAAUUCAUAGUAUAAAAACAAUUUCAAAUAAUAUCAUCAUCGGUCGGUAAGAACUAUUUUAUUUUUUUUAAACUUUUUUGAUUCUUUUUCCCUCAACCUAAAUGAAAUAUUGUACUCAAUGUGAAGAUUAAACAUGCAAAAUGUAUGAAGAACAUAAGGAGCAAAAUUUUGAACAGAGGGACGGGUUUUGAGCUUUACCUGGAGAGUCUACAUAAAUUUGGCAAAAAUGAACCUUCUAUUUCAUUAGUGAAAAAAAUGACAAUAAAAGAGACACAACUAAAAUAAACACACAACAUUAUAAAACUGAAAACAAACAUACAAAAUAAAACAAUGAGAAAAUGAUAUCAAUCUUUAGGAUCAUGUAAAGCAAUGGACUCUUCUAAUCUAGAGAAAUUUUCAAAAAAUGGUUUCAAACGAUGUCCAUUAACUUUAAAAAUAUUUCAGUUACUUGGAUUUUCAAUUUCUACAACUUCAUGUGGGUAAACAGUUUUGACAAUGAAAGGACUAGUCCACUUGGAGCAUAAUUUUCCAAGGAAAUAAAUGUAACCUGGAGUUGUACAAAAGAACUUUUUGAGAAGGCUCAAAAGUUUUUCUAACAAUGUUUUUAUAAUGGAAUACCUUCAUUCUUUUCUUGUAAAUUUGAGAGUUCUCAUUAGCUUUAUUCUUGAUUUCUUCCAACUCGUUCAGUUGAAGUUUCCUAUAGUCGAUACACAUGUGCCAACCAGUAACAGUUCUAGUUGGAGUUAACUCAUUUUCUUCAUUUUUGACUACAGUAACACCAGAUUUUUUUUUGUACAACUUUGGUUGGACUUACCCAUCUACUAUCAGAAAUAUUAUAAAUGACUUCAUUAUCUAAAAGUUUAAUGACUUCAUUUCUUACCACCUCUUUUAAAACAAGAUUAAGCCUUCUUUACAUUUCUCUUGUACGUUUAGCAUAUUCCUCCAAAUAAAUCUUAUGUAUACAAAUCAAAGGACUAAUCCCCUUUAUAUCAGCUAUGGUCCAUCCUAAAACAUUUUUAUGCAUUUUUAAAGUUUGUAACAACUUACUUUCUUGGUGCGCAUCAAGUUGGGAAGAAAUUAUUACCGGAAAAGUUUCAUCUUCACCUAAAAAUGAGUAUUUCAGAUUAGAUGGUAGUGGCUUCAAAUCGAGCUUUGGCAUUUGAACACUUGAAAUCAUGGACAUAUUGGACUGUUGUGAUAAUUUUUCAAACUUUGAUUUCCAAUCACUUGUCUUUUUCUCCUGAAAAGAAUACAACAAAGAAAUUAUAUGCAAAAUUUUAGAAUUAUCGUUAAAUUCAAAUUUUAGCGCAUCAGAUGAAGAUGUAGCGAUAAACUGAUCAUCAACAGUUGUUCAAUAAAAUCUACUUCAUGCAAAUCAUCUUUAUCUCCAUGUUGCUUGCAAAUGUUAAAAACAUUCAUUUCCAUGGUCAUAUUUCCAAAAGAGAUUUUCAAGAUACCAUUUCUACAAUUUAUCAAAGCAUUUGAAGUAGGAAGAAAGGGACGUCCUAAAAUGACAGGUAUUUGUGCAUUUGAAUUUAAAACAGGAUGCGUGUCCAAAACUAUAAAGUCAACAGGAUAAUAGAAUUUAUCAAUUUGAAAUAGAACUUCCUCUACAACCCCUCUUGGAACUUUUACUGAACGAUCAGCCAGUUUAAGUGUUGUUGUUGUUGGUUUAAGCUCUCUCAAACCAAGUUGCUCAUACAAAAAAAGGUAAUAGGUUAACACUAGCACCAAGAUCAAGCAAAGCACGCUCAAUCCUAUUAUUCCCAAUCACACAAGAAAUUGUUGGACAACUAAGAUCUUUGAAUUUAGGUGGAGUGUUUUGUUGAAUGAUUGAGCUCGCGUUCUCUGUCAAAAAUGCUUUUUGUUGAACAUUAAGUUUCCUCUUGACAGUGUACAAGUCUUUUAAAAAUUUUACAUAUGAAGGAACUUGUUUGAUUGCAUCCAAUAGUGGUAUAUUAAUUUUGACUUGUUUGAAAAGUUCAAAAAUUUCAAAAUUAUGGUUGAGUUUUAAAAUUAGAUGCAAUCGUUGAGGAAAUGGAGCUGGAAUGGGGCAUUUUUCAACACUAGGUUCAGAAAUGAUUUUUUCCUCGAUUUUGGAAACAUCAUUUUCUUGCUUUGAAGUCCCACCAGAUUUUAGUUCUUUUGAAGAAAUGGUUUUGUCAAUAAUUUUUCCACUACGAAGAGUCGUGAUGGAGUUGGCAUUUUCUUGUUGACUUUCAGAGGAACUAGAAACAUUUACAUUAAAUUGCCCAGAGGAUUUGGUUGAGGUUGAGUAGGAAAUUUACCUUUCUCUUGAGAACGCAAAGAAGAGGUCAAUGAAGAAAGUGUGUUCUUGAUUUCAUUAAUGGCUUGUGAAGUUUGAUUAUUAAUGUUUGCUUGUCCUUGCAUGAAUUACUGCAAUGUUUCCUCAAGAGUUUUUUUAUUGGGGUGGUGGAAAAGAAGGAAAUUUUGAAAGCCCUUGAGGUUGUGGUAUAUGAACACGAUUAUCAUCUCUCCAACUAAAUUUGGGAUGAUUUCUCCAUUGUUGAUUAUAUGUUUCUAAGUAUGGAGAGCGAAAAGGCUUUUUAAAAGUGUUCAUAGCAUUGGCUUGAUCAUGUAAAGCUUCUUUGAAAACUGGGAUGUUAGGACAAUCAUGCGUUGGAUGUCUAGAAGUUUCAUAAAUGCUACAAAUUUCAUCAUUUUGCACAGGUUUAACUUCCUUUACUUUGCUUAAUUCCAUAGCUUCAACCUUUCUAGACAAACUAGCAAUCCUAGUACUUAGAUUAUCAUCUUGACUCAAUUGAUAUUUUCCUCCACUAGAACUAGCAAGACUAGAUCUUAUUGAGUUUUCGAUUGAUUUUAUUGUUUGCCAAGAUUGAGAAUUUUCAGCUAGAUGAUCUAAAAAUUCUAAAACUUCAUCUGGAUCUUUAUCUAAAAAUUCACCAUUGCACAUCGUUUCUACAAAUUGUUUUAUUUCAGGAGUUAAGCCCUCAUAAAAGAAACUUAUUGUACGCCAUUUUUCAAAACCAUGAUGUGGGCAUGUAUUUAACAAAUUUUUAAAUCUUUCUAAACAUUGAAAGUACGCUUCAUUGGGUUUUUGAGAAAAAUUUUGGAUUUGUCUUUUCAAAGCAUUAGUUUUAUGUGCUGGAAAGAAUUUCUUCAAAAAAUCACUUUGCAUUUCUUGCCAUGUGCCAAUCAACCUAGGUUUUAAAAAGUUAAGCCAAGUUUUUGCUUUAUCUUUUAGAGAAAAAUGAAACAAUUUCAACUUAACAAAGUCAUUGGGGGCAAGUUUGAUCGUUAAAUGUGGUACAUACUUCCUCAAAUUCUUUAAGAUGCAAAUACGGACUUUCAAAUUCUAAGCCAUGAGAAUUAGGAAGUAAUGGAAUCAUACCUGGCUUGAAUCGAAAAUUAUUAGCACUACGGGGGAAAAUGAAACACGAAGGAGCAGAAUUUCGAGGAGGUUGCAAGUAACCACUCAUGGUUCGUUCUUGUUGGUUUUCAUUUUCAUCAUGUACGCUUUCAUUAUCAGGCAUGGUGGAAGAUGUGAGUGAGUAUUGAGGUGAGUCGAAUAAAUUACUAAAGAAAGUUUCACAAUUAUCUUUAACUAAACAAUGAGAAUUGAAUUCACGAUACCAAUAUAAUAUAAAAUAACAUAAACUAGAUGUAAAGAACGAAAAUUAUGUGGUACAGCCAACCAUAUAAUAAUGUAAAAAACGAAAAUUAGGUGGCACGGCCUUCUUUUUGAAGUAAAAUAACUAAAGUAGUAAGAUCGAAAAUGAACGAGUGUACCUGUUUUAUAAAGAUUAUGAAAGAUAAGAAAACCUCAUAGAAAGUAGCAGAAAAUAAUCCUCGACGCAAAUCCCCGACAACGAUGCAUCUUCCAGCUGUCUUGAAGUUGGACAGAAACAAGUUGUGUCCACUUGCAUUUUAGAUGUUCCUUUGCCUAUAAAAGAAGAACUUGGCCAAGAUUUUGAGAACAUCAAUUCCUCUCCAUCAUAUUCUAGUUUCUUUCAUUUUCUUUGUAACAUUUCAUUAUGUAUUUCUAAACCAUUAGCUAGAGUUAGGGGUGAAACUUUGGUGAAUGUAUAGUAUUGUCUUUGAUCUUUCACUUUUUCUUCAAUGUUCAUCUUCUUACUUUGAAGUAUAUGUUCUACAAAUGGUUUUGAUUUGUUCAAGACUUUGAUUUAUUGUAGACAAUUUUGGCACAAUAAAUGCUUAGAUAAUCUCUACAUACCAACAACUUAUUUUGACAUAUUCUGUCAAAUAAUUAUCAAGAUCUAUCUUUUAGUAUAUUUGCGAUCAAUGUUUUAUCUUCCAUAUAAGAUCACUCCUUAGUUGAUGUCCAUAUGAGUUAAAUAAAAGAUCAAGAGCAAUUUCUACCCAUUUAUCCGAAGUGAAUCCCCAACGCUCUAGUGCUCUGCUCCAUCGUAUUUCCACCUACCAUUUACCACUCAUAGAAUAGUUUAUUUCCUUCCAAUUCCCUAUGGUUCGACCUCAGACUUUCGAUUUUACUACUUGCGAUAACCUGUACUUGGGUUUGCAACCUUAAAGUUGUAGCAACCACCAAUCCCCACCCGAUCAGCCCUGUACACAAUCUCACAACACAACCAUUACUACCCCUACUACCUACUUACAACUUUCCUCAAACCUAUGCCAAUUGGAACAAAAAAAUAAACAUCCCCUUCGCCAACCCAUCUCUAUCAAAUCAAGCUUAGGCCAAAUUAAGAAAUGAAAAAUAUUAAAAAUAGAAAUUAAUCACCCUUCUCUCACACACAUCGAGAGUUCCUCACAUUUUUUGUUCCUUUUGUGGUUAUCUUUAUUUCAGUCAAUGGGUGAUAAUCAUGCAAUUCCAAAACAUGGCUACAGCAUCCAAUAUAUUCAGACCGAAAUAGGGGUUAAAUUGGUGGAAUCGAUGAGUAUUCAGUGAUGUAUUUCAACGCGUGAGGGAUGCUAAAGCGAGGGUUGACCAGACAGAGAUUGACUUUGAGAAUGAUCCCACAUCGGAAUACCAUAAUUUGCUAAAUUAUGCACAGGCUAAUUUGACCGAACCUUAGCUAUUGAUGAGGUUCCUAGAAGUGAAAAGUUGGGUCUCCUUGGUCGUGUGAAGGGGACCAUAACACCCGAUAUUUUCAUGGGAUGGUCCAAGGAGGUCAGAUCAAAUCUCAUAUCAGGACUAUCACGACUUAGGUAGGGGAAGAUCUCUCUACUCAUGUAGAUAUUAAGAGCUCGGUAAUCUCAUAUUUUCAGGAUUUAUUAUUUGCUCCAUCAUGGCCUUUGAAUCCCAUACAUCCUAGCAUUAUACCUAGGUGUAAGAGAUGAUUUUUAGUAUUGAUGCUGACAGUAUUGCUAGCUUAAUGAAUUCUCUUUCUGUUUCUACCAGCACUGUUGGGAUAUUGUAAAGGAUGAUGUGUAUGGUGCAGUUAUUGACUUCUUUGAGGGUGGUUGUCUACCAUGAGACUUUGCUACUACCUCCAUUAUCUUACUCCCGAAGAGGGAGAAUGGUUAUAGAUGGACGCAUUAUCAACCUAUUACCUUGUGUAUGCUAAUAAGCUUAUCAUUAAACCGUUAAACACCAAAUUGAGUUUACUGCUGCCUCGUAUCAUUUUCUCUCAGUAGAGUGAUUUUGUCUCCGAUUGCCUUAUUGGGGACAAUGUUUCAUUGACUCAGGAGCUCGUCCAUAUGUUGGAUGAUAGAAUGUGUGGAGGAAAUACUAUGCUAAAGCUAUAUAUGGCAAAAGCAUAUGAUCAUACGAACUAGGGAUUCAUUUACUUUAUACUGGAUGUGUUUAGUUUGGGCAAGUAUGGAUUGAUAGGAUCAAAUGGUGUAUCUCGGAGUGUCAAUUUUUCUUUGCUCUUGAAUGGUCGUACAUGUGGCUUCUUCUCAUCCGCACAUUGAUCCUAUCUCCCUGGCCAAUUGGUGAAAAGAAAUAAGAGUGGUCUUAUACUGCCUCGACAAGCAACGAAUAUACAGAUACUAAAGUCAAUGAUUUUAAUUGGAUUUUUAAAUCAGCGAUGGCCAUUCACAUACUUGGGAGUCCCCUUAUAUAAAGGGGCUAAAAAGAGACCUCAUUGUGAAGUUCAGAAGUAAGAUUUCAGCAUGGGCAUCAUGGUUUCUCUCUUAUGGUUGUAGGAUUACUCUGCUGAGAUCAGUUCUCUCCUUUUUACCAUUAUAUCUCUUUCAAAUUAUACGAUCUCCCAAGGCUCUACUGAAAAAGUUGAAGAGUAUAUUUACACGAUUCUAUAGGAAUUCGAAGGAUCAUACACGGUGCUCACAUUAGUAAAGUUGGAAGAAAAUUUGCCUCUCUACUGAUUAGGGUGAAUUGGACUUUAGGAGAUUAUAGGAUAUGGUGGACACGUUCUCCUUAAAACAAUGGUGGCUAUUUAGAUCUCAGAGUUCUCUUUGGGCUCAAUUUUUGUUGGGCAAAUACUGUAGAUGGACACAUUCGUCACUUGUAGCAAUUCCUUAUUAAUGUAGGAGGGUCCGAAUCAAGCGACGCCAAGUUGUCAGAUAGCACAUUGAUGGUGCUAAGAUACCAUGAGAUGGAAGAUUGGCACAAAUAUGGCAAGUGAUCGCAAUCUUUUCCUAAUUGGGACAGUUUUGAACAUGUUUUGGUAAUUCGAUCAUAACUUUGGCUACAAUUAUCAUAAUCGCAAUUAUGAUCCCCAAUUCAGAAAAAGCAAGGCGUCAGUGAGGGGAUUGUUUUUGAGGCCAAAGUCCAUUGUUUUCCCUUCCGAAUUCCCAUUUCAGUUAUUUUUUUCUAUUUUUGGUAAUAUUUUGUUUGCCAUUUUUGAGAUGAGUAUGAACUUGAUUUGAGUCAAAUUUUUGGAAAGUUACUUCUUUUAAUAUGUAGUUUAUUUUGGUAUAAUUAUUGAGAUUUUGCUAUUUUUGAUAAAAAAAUUCCAAUAACAUCGUUAUUCUUCAGCUAUAUAGCCCGAUUUGUGGGCUGUUUUUCGUCAUUCUGCAUUUUUGAAUAAUAUUGAGUUGAAUUUCAGAGAAAUCUCUCUGUUGUUGGGCAUUUCAUUUGUAUUUUUUCCUUGAAUCACCUGUUGUAACUAGCUUGUGGGAUAAUCACUAUCCUGCCCCACGUCACUUAUUCAGCGUUUCCUAUAUCGAAGAGACUAAAGAGAUUCAUUCCACGUGCCAAGCGAUUACGUGGCAUCUUGGGAUAGAUAAGAUCUUUUCUGGCAUGAUUGUUGGAUGGGUGAUACUACAUUGGCAUCCAUCUUUCCACACAGAUAGCACACAUCUUCGAGGAUGCGGAAUUUUUUUUAGGAGACUAGAUGGGCUUUGGACGGUUCCUAUAUACUCUUCCACAAGUUAUGGCAGAACAGAUUGCGGCCAUUCCACUAUUUAUCGAUGCCCCAGAUCGUAUUUUUUGGUAAGUUACAUGAGAUAAUAUAUUCACAACCAAGUCAGCUUGGCAGUUGAUUCACUCUAAUAGGGUAGUGAAGGACUUAUUUCGUUUACUUUAGAGCCCUAUCAUACCUAUCAAAGUCUCAUUCUUCUAUUAGAGAUUAUGGCUGGAUUUGAUUCAAGUAUAUGCUAUUAUUGAAGGGAGAAUAGGCAGUCAACUGGCUUCUUCGUGCUACUGUUGUUCUGAGAUUGAGACCAUCGAUUAUACUUUCACUGAUAGCAGUAUUUCAAAUUAGGUUUAGUAGCAUUUUGUCCAUCUUCCCUACAUUCUUAUGAUUGAUAGUGAGAGCGUUAGACAAAGAUUUCUUAUAUGGUAAUUUUCUAUACAGUUUGCACGGAGUGGGCAUAUUGUAUCAUUAUCCCUCUACUGAUCUUCUGGUUCAUAUGGACAGAUAAGAAUUAUGCGAAACAUAGGAAUAUAACCAUGAGACCCAGAUGAAUCGUUUGGAGGGUAUAUCGUAGGAUGUCCUUCCUAUGCACUAGUAGUUUGUUUCGACCACUACAUUAGCAUGCUAAAUGCAGUUUUCCUUCUACUUCUUCCUUACUAUGGUUCGGUGGUGCAAUCAUCGGAUGGAUCUAUCAAGAUCAAAUACUGAGGGAUGUGACAUCAGGGAUCAUGCAGGUAAAUGUACCAAGUCCUUCUUAACUUCAUAUAGACAAUGUAUGAUAUUAGAGAUGGAGCUUAAAGCUAUUCUUUACGGAAUACUAUUGGCUAAGGAUCUUGGGUUUUUAGGUAUUUGGUUUGAGUCAGAUUCUAUUAUGGCUAUUCCAUGAUUAUGCAGUGUUACUAAAGGACUUACAAAUCACAAGCGUUGUGUGGCAAACUCCAAUAAACACACAAAAAGAUGCUUGUAAAAGAAUGACUUCCUAAAAGUGGAAAUGCUAGGGUUUUAUGCUUGGUUGUUCUUUUUUUCUUCUUCAGACUGUUCCACUUCCCCACUCACGUUAGAUGCUGCAUUGCCUUCAUCAGUUUCCAAGGCUUCUGAAAACACUAAAAUUAAGCAUACUUCAUUCUUUUUUAAUUCUAUUUACGUUUAAAAGAGUUUUCCUCAAAAAUUCAAUUUAAAAUAUACGUUAGGCAUUACUAACAAAAGAAUUUGUUUAUUAAUUUUUACUUGGUGAAAUCUAUAUUCAAUAAAAGCCUAAAUAAAACUGAUGUAAUCGUAAUGGUAACAUGAAUAAUAAUAAAUUUUGACGCUAUAUCUGAACCUAACUAGAGAACAAGGGAAUACUUAUACCUACUGUAGCACUUGCACAAAGUUCUUGUAUGUUCAAAUGUACCCACCACUUGACGCGGUAAUAUUAUUCUCACUGCUAGAUGUUGAGUCCGAAAUACCAUGAUUAGUGGGUUUGAGUAAGGUAUGCCAUUCGUCAAUAUAUAUUGAUCGGUCAGGUGAUAGAUUAGGAAUUUCAUGCUUCUGAAGAGCUUUCAGAAUGUCUUGAGUUUCUUCCAAAGGGCAAGUUGCUUCCUGUAUACUUUUCUCCCGUUCUACUAUGGUGUUAUUGUUGCAUUUCUUGAGUAUAGCAUGAGGUAAAUUGGUCAGGCAUGCAACAAAUAUAUCUGCAACAAUAACUGAAAAUCUCUCAAACACUUGAGUAUUUGAUGCCGAAUGAUAGCUUUCCUUAUAGACCAAUAGCAAAUUGUUACUUAUUUUGUACAUUUAAUUGGAAAUUAUGAUAUUUUCAGGCAAGUUAACUGAGCUUUCCAUAGCAUUUUCAUUCAUUUUACUCAUGAAUUUCUUCAAAAUUUCUUCACUUCUAUUUGCAAGAGCCUGAAGAGUUUUUUUUUGGAAGAUUUUGAUACCCUGGCAAUUUUUUGGAGAUCCACGUCUAACCACUUGCGCCUCAAUUCAACUAAAACCCAUGCAAAAUAUGCGGCACUCGUGCUGCUCAAAAUUUUUUAUGAACAUCCAGACUUUUCUCCAUUAGGCUCACAUACUUAAAACCUUCAAUGACACUUCUUAAGAUCUGAUUCAUAAUAUUGUAACAAAACUGAUUUGUCGGAUUAAUAAGAGCAAAUGCCCCAACCUUAAAUGUUUAGUUAUUAUGCUACUUAGUAAGUUAUCAUUCACACGUUAAUGCUCAUAAUAUUAUAUCAAUUGUUGACUGAUUUAAAUUUUCAUCAACUAUUUAAGCUACGCUUAAAAGGGACGAAGUUAGCAUCUGAAAAGUAUAACUUGUCACACAAAUAUCCUUCUAGACUGUGCCUUUGAUACAUAAUACCUCUAAUAAAGUAAACUCUUUUAUUUAUUGAACAUAGAAAUUCUCGGAUAUGAAAAAUCAUUAACUACAUUGUUUAAAUUGAAAUUUUAACGAGAGUUGCUAAUUUUCAUCAAAAAUAGCAUUUCAUUAAUGACCGUUAAAAGUUGAUUCCCAAAUAAACCACUUAAAUUGAGAGGCAUUUUUCCUUGAUUUUCGAUGAUUUGCUUGGACUAAUUAAACCCUCCAUUUAUUAAGCAUAUUGUAAACUUUUCAAUACCCGAAGUAAUUUGGGUUUGACGUUGCGAUAUAUUAAUAUGACAUUGUGGUCUAAAUAUGAAAAAUUAAUUAAGUUACAAAAAGAAUAAUGUUAUUUGCAGUUGCUCACUACCGCAAUCGUCCUACGUGGCAUACAUAUGGCGGUUAGUGAUUUGAUACGUUAAAACUACCACAUUAAUAUAUCAAAUCAUUAACAGACACAUGUAUGCCACAAAGGUGACUAUGAUAAUGAGCGACUGGAAAUAACAUUAUUCUAUGAAAAACACAACAUCGUUGAAAUCUCCUCCCAAGUUAUGACUUUGAUGAAGGUAUCACAUUAAAUUAUACUCUUUUAUCUAUUGAAAUUUUUGAGUUCUCCUAUCUGAAGAUCAUUGUCUAACAUAUUUACCUAGCUAAUAUUUUAAUGAUAGUACUAAUCUUCGUUAAAAAUAACACUUCAUGAUUGUUCAAAAAAUGAUGUGGUAGUAAAUUAUCGAUAGCAACAUUAUUUGCGUGGAUUAGUUAAUCCCAACAAUUCGUAUGAGUAAUACUAGUGGAUAGCUGUCAUAUUAUUCGAUGAAUUUAAAAUAUUUUUAAUUUGUUGAACAAUGUAACAUUGACCGUAGAUGUAAUAUGAACUCAUUAGAAAUGAAUAGUUCUCCAUGUGUCCUAUAAAGAUGAACUUGCUUUCAUUUCCACACAAAUUAAGAAAAAUAUAAUUAAUAUAAUUAAAAUUAUAAAUUUUUAAAUUAAAAGUUAAAUUAUAAUAUUUCUUAAUUAUAAUUGAAUAAAGUAAGAAAUAAAUAAAAAUAAAUAAAAUAGUAUUUUCUUUGUCAAUUUUUAUAAUAAUAAAAUCAAAAUAAAGGACUUUUGACAAGAAGAAAAAAAGCCUUUUUCACAUGGGUUCAACUAAAUUUUCAAUGAAUUUGAAAAAGAGAAAAUUCCAAACACACACACACAUUGUGUGAUUUUUAACUUUCCAAUUCAAAAAUUGGAUUUAAAAGUUUUUGGUUAAAAAAUCAGAAGAUAAUUCAACUUUUGAAUAUUAAUAAUAAUUUUAUAAAAUAAAAUUAAUAUACAUCCCCAUAACCCAAUCCGAUUUCACUCCCAAAUUGUAAAUCAUUUCUCAUUUGUGACUCUUUUGAAGGCAAGGAAGAUCAAGAGAAUGUGGCCCCGCUGUGCGCCCAUCGAAAAAAACAACACUCAAACCCGAGCCAUGAUUGAAACCAACAACUCGAACCAACCCUAUACCAAUCUCAUAAUGCUUUUAAACUCAUCAAUUAGCUGAGGGAUUAAAUCUAGCUGAGAAUUGGAAAGCUUAGAAGAUUCAUGUGUAAAUAGCUUGUGAGUAAUGAAUCACUGAAAUUGUUGAUUUGGAUCUCCAAAUGUAUCUCCAUUUUCCAAAGAAAUGUUGUGAAUAAUAUAUUUUGUUCUUCAUUUUUUUUAAUCACAUUGUCGAAGUACUUAGUGUUUUGAUCCCCCAAUUGAAUCCAUUUUAUUCCUACUUUUUGUCUCAGGAAUACCUCUUAGCACGCUAGUAAAUAGUUGUAGUCUAAAUUAUAUUUGUAAAGCUUUAUUCUCGUUGUUUCUGAUUGCGCAUAGUAAAGCGUUAGUUCCUUUUCUUUCAAACUUUGUGAAGAAUUACCAAACACUUGUUUAUUCCAACACUUAAGGCCAAUUUUUAGUCUAGAUAAUUUAUACUAGAAAACCAAGAGCCUUGUCUCUACUUUUGAUUGUUUCUAAUUCCUUACAAAAAUGUCCUGAAAUUGUUCACCUCGAAUCCAAAUGUUCCAGAUCCAGAAAGUAGAUGGACGAUUGACGAUUCCAUUUAUCAAUAAUCUACAGUAGGGGCAAUGGCCUAAAAUGUUCCAAUUCAAUUGUUGAAAAAGAAUGAUAGAGCAAAGAUCCAUGGCAAAGGAGUUACCAUUCAUUUACCACAUAUGCCAGUUUGUACAAGUAUAUUGCAAGUCUUCAUAAUCUGCAUUUUCUAGGUUACCAUACCUUAAAACUGUUGAAAAAUCAUCAAUAACACCUAGAUUUGGCAGUUUGACACUGAAUCUUUCUUGGCUGAUAAAAGAGCACAUUAAAAUCACCCCUGCAAAAACCACGGUGGAUCAUAUUGCUUGAGAGAACUUUUAGACUAUCCCAAAGUUCCACCCUUUCGUGCGUGGUUGAUUUUGCAUAUACUACAGUAUAAUGGAAAGAGUCGGGCUAAUAGAAUUUUUAUUCAGGGUAACUAAGUCAUUGUUCGAAUCCAUAUUUUGAGCAUUGAUUUUGUAAGAAUGAUUUUUUGGAGAAUGUGUAAUUAAAAAGUAAGAAAUUUUUUUGAUUACUAGCAAAAUUAUUUUAUUGAGAGAAUAUGAAUGUUGAAAACUGAAUUUAAAGAAAGUCAAUUUUCAAAAAUGAGGCUCAAACGGGGGUUAAUUGUCUCGAGUCAUUAGCAAUGUUACAAUUAAUAUCAAGGGUCCAUAGCACCCAAAUUUGUUUCAAGGGAAAUUUUCAUAGCUAAGAGAUUAAGUAUAAUCAAUUUCAAAACAAAGAAACAAGUUAUAUUAAUUUGAAAUUCAGAUAUUGAUUAAAUUUUAUUUAUGAAAUAAUUAAUUAAAAAUAUAUUUUAUUAAUUGAAUAGUAUUAAGGUCACAAUAUUGUAUAAAUUAUUGUCACAAUUAUGUAUUUGUCACAAUUAUAGACGUCAAUGUCACAAAUCACAAAUUUCAUAUGUCACAACUUAUUUCUCGAUCACAAAUUUAACAAACUAAUAGGUCACAUAUUAUUCAUUGGUCACAAAUCAAAAAUUUUAUUAGUCAAAACCCAUGGUCACAAAAUAUCAAAUUAAUUGUUACACAUUAUUUCUAGGUCUCAAAUUAUCAAAUUAUUAGUCACAACUUCACAAUUUUUUAGGUCAUACAUUAUUUAUUGCUCACAAAUUAUCUAUUUCAUUGGUCAUAUAUUAUUUAUUGGUCACACAUUAACUAAUUUAUUAGUCAUAAUUAAUCAAAUAAUUUAUGACCACUACAUCAUUUGUGACCAGCACAUCACCACUACCUCCUGCAGCACUUCCGUCGUUAGGAUUUAUGUUGUAUUGACAAAUCUUUAGACAAAAGGACUAAUAUAAUAAGUUGUAAAAGUCAAUGAGUCAAUUAGAAUAUUGUAUAGAUGAAAUAGGUAACUUAGGGUUUCAAUUUUGAACAAGAAAGAAAGAGUAGUCGAAUUUAUGCUAGCCUAUCUCUCAUCUGAUGCUCAAGCUAGAAAAACAGAAACACUAUUACCUGCCUAUCAUUGAUCUCUCGCUCGAGUGACACAUAGAUCACUCAACCAUCGCUAUCCUGGAGCUAAAGCGACAAUGUUACGCGCAAAACUCUAAUUCGCAUUUUUAAAGGGUUUUAAUUGGUCUAUGCUAGCUAGUUGACUUCUACUAUAUAUACUAUUGCCCUAUCACUUUUUUUGGGUAAUUGUUCAUUACAUUGUUUCUUCAUAUCAUCAUUCAAAGAUUUAAGAGCAUAUUCAAGCAUUAGAUGUAUUCUUUAAUUCUUGAGUCCAUACAACCACAUUUUUGGGAAAAACAUCAACAACACAUAAUCAAAAUACCCGCUUCCUAUACACAUAUAGGAAAAUACUCUCUCAGUAGCUUUUAGCAAAGGUGCUAAAGAUUGAGGGUAGUUGGACUCGAAGCACACAAAGAGCACAAGGAAAAUGAGCUCUUGUUUAUCCAUAAGAGAUAGCAAUUUCAGAAGAUUGGGAACAGUUGUGAGUGAAGCACGUUUUAGUAGGUCUUGGAAAUUGUAAGAAUUAGAUCAGCGAGUCUAAUGGAUUUUCUAAGCUGAAUCAUACUAUAAGUUCGUAUUGUCUAUAGUGGAGUUUACUCACUUAAUCCCAAGUUUUUACCCAGUUGGUUGUUCUCUGUCAAAAAUGUUGGUGUUGUUUAUUGCUUUAAUUAUUGAUUGUGGCAUUCAAACCAUUGGAUAAUUUGGCAUGUUUAAUUAACCACCUAGAAACAAUAAAAAAGUAACUUGUUGCUUUUAAUUGUAUAAUUCCUAAUGUUGGUUUAAAAUAAAUUGGCUAAAUCAAACCUUUUCAAGUGGUAUCAGAUCUUUUCAAAUGGUAUCAAAGAUUUUCAAGUGGUAUCAGAGGCUAAAAUUGAUCCUUGAACUUUUUAGUUUAGAUGAGUCAGUUAUUAUCCGUUCGCCCUUAUUGUCAUGGCAACAAUCAUGCCUAUUGGAAGGUUAGAAUGAGAGUUUUACUUAAGUCGAUGGAUGAGCAUAUCUAGUUCAGUGUAGUAAAUGAUUGGACUACACCUACUAGCACCGUUAAUAAUGUUGUCAUCCCACGCCUAUAGCGAAUUAGUCAAAUACAAUUUUUUAUGAAUGCAAUUGAAAUAUAAAGCCCUACAUGCCUUACUUAUGGUAGUGUCUCCUGAAAAAUUUAGGCAAGCAUCUAUAUGUGAGGUUGCAAAAGAGGUUUGGGAUAUUUUACACAACACACAUGAGGGAGCUCAUGCUAUUAAGAACUUCAAGUUACAGAUGUUGGCCAUUACAUUUGAAAAGAUUAGAAUGAAAGAGGAUGAGACAUUCGAUAAAUUCUACGCGAGCUUGAAUGACAUCGUUAAUUCAAGCUUCAACUUAGGUGAGAGAAUCCAUAAGCCUAAGAUUGUUAGAAAAAUCAUUGGAUCCUUACCUGAAAGAUUUAGGCCUAAAAUCACGGCUAUAGAGAAAAGUGAGGACUUAGAUACUAUUUAGAUUGAAGAGUUGGUUGGAUCUUCCAGACUUACAAACUAACAUUAGCUAAACAUACAAAAAAAUAAGUCUUGGCCUUGAACACCAUUAGGGAUAACUGCAAUGAGUCUUCUGAUUUGUAAUCAUCCAAUGAUGAUGAGAUAGCUUAUUUUGCUAACAAAUUACAAUAAAUAUUUAGAAAUAAGAAGAAGCCUCAAAAGAGACAUGUAGGUACUCCAAGAGAUCUCAAUUUGUAAUAUGUCAUAUAUGUUAAUAUUUUGGCCAUUCUCGGAGUAAGUGCCCUAAUAGUAGGAAAAAUAAGGAUAAAGCUAUGAAUGUCACUCUCACUGAUGACGAGUCCAACUUCGAUAAUCAAAAUGGGAAAUCCACUUAGGAUGAGAAUGCGAAAUAUAUAGCCUUAAUUGCUAGGAGUAGGAGUGAAUCUGAUACGGAGAGUAAGAAUAUUAAGGAUGUAGAUAUGGUGAGGAUUUUGAAAAUGAGGAAGACAUGUAUGAGGCUUAUGAUAAAUUAUAUGAGGAGAGCCUUAGGAUAUAGAUUAUCAAUAAAUCCUUGUGUACGAAGGUCAAAGAUAUUAAGUUAGAAAAAGAAAAACUAAUAGCUAACAUUCAAGAAUCCAUCUUGCACUUGAGUAAGUUGAACACUGUUAAAAUCCCUAGAUAGUCGCGUUAAGAAUCCUAGAGAGAUCUUGAGAAGUCCUCUGGGAAACUUAAUAAGUUGAGUACUGUCAAUGAAUCUUUAAAAAAUAAGGUUAAGAACUUUAUGAGCAAUCUCGAGGAUUCCAACACCCAAUUCAUUACGUUCUCUAGUGGCUCAAUAAUGCUUAAUAACAUUUUAGAAAUGGGAAAGCUUGCUGGUAAUAAGGGAGGUCUAGGAUAUAAGGAGAAUGAUCACAAUGCUGCUAGUACUUCCAAGACCAUUUUUUCCGGUCAUUGACUAGCUGAAGUAUGUUUCUAACUCAGCAUCCAAGAAUAAGAUAAUCAUAGGACAGAGGCAUACUAGAUAGUAUAGGACCUACCAAUUUAGGAAUAGAAAUCAGAGACUACAUAACAUUGGUCCUAGGUAUACCCCUAUUUGUUUCAAUUGUGGUGAGGUACGGUAUAUAAGGCCUAUGGGUCAAAAAUUCCUGAAAAGAAAUAGACAUCAGAACUUUAAUAGAAAUAAAAAUUAGAAUUUUGAUAACCGAAUUAACUUUUUUACUAAUCAGGUAAGUCAAUUAACCGAUUUAAUGACAUAGCUGACUACAAUAAAUUCUUCCGCUAGGCAAGUUACGUGAAGAUAAAAUAGAUCACGAUGCUCUUGAAUGUAAAAGCGUUUGUAUACCUGACUGAUUAUGUGUUUCUGGUACAUAAUUGUGCUCAUUCAGUGUGACUCAUUCAUUAUUACAUGCAUCUCAUUGUGUUUGUGUUGGUACAUGCAUAUUUUUUUGUUUUGCAUGCUGAAAUUUUUAUUUUGUGUGAUUGGUGCUUUCAUAUUUAAAAACAAAGGGGGAGGUUUUUUUAAACAACAAUAUGAUAUAUGAUAUACUUAAACUUGUGUGUUGUGACCAACUAUGAGUUUAAUUGAUGUGUUGUAGCAUAUUUUCUAUUUUUUGUUUAGGUUUUUAUAAAGUACUUAGAAUAGGUUUCUUCGUGUACCAUCUGCACUGCACACACUAUGAUAUUGUGAGUGGAACUUGACAGUGUGUGUGAAAUUUUGGAUGGCAGUCACAUGUUAGUAACGUGACUUUGAGCGUGAAUUGACAUUAUUUUAGUAAACCUAAGCUCAAGUAUAUUUUCUUGAAAGAAAAAAGCUCAAUAUUUUAUACUCUUCUUCGGAACCUAUUUGACAUGAGCAAUUAAGUUUGAGGGGUUUCUCAUCACUUGGUGCAUAUGGCCAACUGACUUGGUUUAAUCGGCCUAAAGCUCGUACAAGGGUCAUCUCAGUCACUUAAUGGAGAAGAGCCUGUAUAUAAGAUUUAAAAAAUUGAUGAGAAAAAAGAUGAGCUUAAAAUUUUAGAAAAUGUAUAAAAAUAUAUAUGUUCAAAGUUAGGGGGAGAAAAGAAUAAUAUACACAUGCAAAACGAGCUUCUUUUAUAGGUUCUAAUGUGCUAUUACUUGUUUGACUUUCACAAGUAGAAGGACAAAUUAUUGACAAUGAUGUUUAGCAUGUCCUUUCUCGCAAAAUUAAUGUUUGGAGUCCUGCUUAGAAAGGAUUAGUGACACUUUACGUACAUAGGUCACGUAUACAAUUUACUCCAUUUUAACUUGAACUGAGUAUGUGGGAAUGUUUACUGAUCAUUGAUUAUGCUUUUACAUGCUAUCAACUACCUCUUCGAUUAUAUAUUGGUGUUCAAUUGUAUUUGACAAAGUUCCCUUAGUCAUUUGUGACAAAAAGGGCGAGAGAGUUAGAGUUUUGAUUAUACGGUUUUUGCAGUAAGGGGGAGAUAAAGAUAAAGCAUUCCAUAUCCUCUACAUUCUAUAUCAUCUGCAUUUUUGGGAGAGAUGAGUGUGAAAGGGAGAGAUAAUUGUAUGCCCACUUCUUUGUGUUUUGAUGUUUGGUGAUAUUAAUGUUUUAGUUGUGUUUUGGUUAACAAUAGUUUUACUUUUCAAUCUAGCUAGCAUAUUUAUGAUUAUGUGUUUUAAUUGUUAUAUUUUCUGUAUCACGUAUUGCACUUGGUAUUUGAGGUGUUGAUUUCAGGAAACAUGUUUAACAAGGAAUGCAAGAGAGGACAUUCAAUUCGGGUUUAAGUAGAUUAGUAUGAUUUUAAUUCAUUGUAUUUAUUGUAUAAUUUUGUCAUAGAAUUCUAAAAGGAGAGAUUGCUAGGAUUUGUAUUGUAUUGACAAUUCUUUGGACAAAAUGACUAAUAUGAAAAGUUGUAAAAGUCAAUGAAUCAAUUGAAAUAUUGUAUAGAUGAAAUAAUAGGUCACUUAGGGUUUGAGUUUGGAACAAGAAGGAAAGAGUUUCUGGAUUUACGCUAGUCUAUCGCCCAUUUGAUGCUUGAGUGAAAAAAAUAGAGACACUAUUGCCCUCUUGUCACUGAUCUCUCACUCGAGUGACAGUGUUAGGCCCAAAACUCUAGUUCGCAUUUUCCAAGGGUUUCAACUGGCCAAUACUACCUAAAUGUCUUCUACUAUAUAUACCCUUGCCCUAUCACUUUUUUAGAGUGGUUGUUCAUUACAAUGCUUCUUCAUAUCAUCAUUCAAAUAUUCAAGAACAUAUUCAAGCAUUAGAUUGAUCUUUUGAUUCUUGAGUUCAUACAACUACAUCUUUGAGAGUGGAGUUGCUGAAGAUUGAGGAAAGUUGGACCAGAAGCACAGGAAAAGUACAAGAACAAGAAGUUCUUGGUAAUCCAUAGGAAAUAGAUAUUUCAAAAAAUCGGGAGAAAAUGUGAGUAAAGCACGUUCCAGCGGGUAUUGGAGAUUGCAGGAAUUAGAUCAACGAGUCUAGUGGGUUUUCUCAACUGAUUGAUACUGUAAGUUCAUAUUGUCUAUAAUGGAAGUUACUGGCUUGGUCUCGGAGUUUUUACUCAGCUGGAUUUUCUCCGUCAACCAAUUUGGUGUUGUUUAUAGCUUUCAUUAUUGAUUAUGGUAUUCAAACCAUAGGAUAAUUUGAUGUGUUUGAAUAACCAUCUAGAAACAAUUAAAAAGUGACUUGUUCUUUUUAAUUGUAUAAUUACGAACUUGAGGUCAAAAUAAAUUGGCUAAAUCAGGACUUUUCAAGUGGUAUCUAAACUUACAAGUUGUAUCAGAUCUUUUCAAGUGGUACCAGAGCUUUUCAACCGUCAAAACCAUCGUCGCAAGAACAAAGUGUACAUAUAUAUAUGAAUCUAGGAAAAAUAAUUCCAAGGUCAAUGUUUGUCUUGAUUGCGAAUGAUUUAACAUACCAAAGGAAUGAUAAUAACCAUUUCAUAUAAUCGAUCAGAAAUUUAUUAAAAAUUAAAGAUUUUAAUUUAUUGUCGUUGUCCUUCUAGACCAAAGAUACUUGUUAACCGUGAACAAGUCCACCUUGUGAGAAGAAAGAGUAUCUACAUAUUGUGUAUGGAACAAUAUACAUUCUUAUGUUCAAGCUUUUGUGCCAAACAAAUCGAAUAAUGUUUGAUUUCAAGAUUUCCAAACAGUUAAAAUUUACAAACUAAAAAUGUGAUUAAACUCGCCACAUUCGACCAUAUACUUUUCAAAUACAUUUAUUGUUAAAUCUCUAUUUAGUUUUUGUUUUUAAUUUGGGGUUGAGCUUUGAAUCAUGGUGCAAGGUAUCUUCCAUUUAACUUCAAGACAUGUAUCAUGUUUCAAUUCCACAAAAUUCAAUGUAUAUAGAGAACUUGAAUUUUCGUUUUCAAAAGUCUUCAUGUUUGAUCUUUCAAUCUUGGUGCAAAUGGAUCAUAUUUCAAUUUCACAAAAGUCGAAGUAUCUGGAGAACUUGAAUUUUCGGCUCCUUGUUACUGCACUGCUUUAGAUUCAAGAGUAGUGAAAAUUUCCAGGGCAACUUCAACUUUUAUUUUCAACGCUUUGAUGCAUCCAUUAAAGAAAAUUAUAUCCAAUAAUAAAACCUUGCAAUGAAUCAUCUCAAGGAUUAUUUUGAAUCAUUCAAUUUAUUAAAGGGUAUAGAAAAUAAUAUAUGUUGCGAAUUUCGACUACAUCAUCAUUCAUAUCUUAUUAAAAUUAUCCUUAAUAUUGUUACAAUUUGGAAUCUCUAACUGAUUUGUGCCUACUUCAGAUUAAUAAAUCAAUGGCUGAGAUUUAGCCUUGAAUGUUUAAGUUGAGGAAAUAAAGUCAACCUUCAAAUUUCAUCAAACACAGUUUCUACACUAACAAUGAAUUUGAAGCUUUUCAUACUAAUUCUGUUCAUUAAACUAAACUCGCCAGAAGCUGUCAAAACCAAUAUAAUAAUAUAGAGAGAGAUUAGAGCCUUUUAACUCUGAACAUUUGUAAGCAUAUUGCACACUUUUUUAAAACCCGUAUUUAUAAAACCCAAGAUUUGGAAGCAAUAAGCAUAUUAUAAAGUUUUCAAAAUCCAACAUUAAUUGCUAAAAUUCUUGAUUUGGAUCUUCAAAUGUAUCUCCAUUUCCAACGAAAUGUUGUGAAUAACAGAUUUAGUUCUUCAUUUUAUUUAUCAUGUUGUCGAAGUACUUUUAUUUCGAUCCCCUAGUUGAAUCCAUUAUAUUCCAGUUUUUCCUCUUAGGAAUACCUCUUAGCAAGUUAGUAAAUAGUUUGUUGUAGUUUAACCCAAAUUCUAGUGAGUGUUGGAGUUGUAUUUAAGGUUGUCUUGGAUAAAUAAAAAUUAUGGACUGGGAAAAUCGUUGUUGCAUUUUCGCUAGCUGCAUGCUCAAGCGAAACUGUCAAAUUUGGAACAAAGAAUUUUCAACUACUUCUUGCCCCCUAUCGCUCGACACUGCUCGAGCAAAGAUGCUUCCUGACUUUUCGCUUUGGAACGCGUUUUGGACUUCAGAUCAUCUACAACUUGAUUUCUAGGGUUUUUUUUUAUAUAUAUAAUAGUGUGUGUUGUUCAUACAACAGAACAUACAACAUUUCGAGAGAUUUAGAUCUUAGUUGAGAGUAUUGAGAUCUUGUAAAUAUAAUUGUUAUUGAUUAUAAUGGAUAACUUCUCCUCUGCCCGUGGUUUUUUCCAGUCUUAGAUUUCCAUGUAAAUCUUCGUAUUCUUUAUUUUGUUCUUGUUUACUUCAUUAUUAUCAUAACCUUUCGGUCAAUUAACAACAUAGUUGCAAUCUAAAUUAGAUUUGUAAAGCUUUAUUCUCGUUGUUUCUGAUUGCACAUGGUAAAAAGUCAGCUCCUUUUCUAUUCCAGUUUAACCUUUGCGACUGCACUUUGGAUUUUAAGAUGGGGAUGCUCGAGGUCAUAGGAAAUUUCUUUGUUAUUUCAUUGCAACUUCAGCUUGUAUUUUCUACCCCUUGAUGUAUCCAUUGAAGAAAAAUAUAUCCCAUAACGCGUUGAUGUAUCCAUAAAGAAAAACAUAUCCAAUAAAUUAUUGGGUGAGGUUUGGAGUGGGAAUUCUUUUGGACUAAUAAGAGGAAAUACCCAGGCCCUCAGCCUUGAAUUUUUAGUUAUAUCCUGCUUAAUAAGAAUAAGUUAUCAUUCACAUGUUAAUGCUCAUAAUAUUAUAUUAAUUGUUGAUUGAUUUAAAUUUUUAUAAACUAUUUAAGCUAAGCCUAAAAGGGACAAAGUUAGUAUAUGAAAUGAAUUAUGUUUUGAAAAACAUAACUUGUCACACAACUACCCUCUUAGACUGUGCCUUUGAUACAUAGAGGAUGUUUGGUGAGGAUGAAAAUUAGAUUUUUAGUAGAUUGUAAUAGAAGUUUUUAAAAUAUGUGAUUUAAAAGUUGCGAUACCCAUGAAAGAUGUAUUUAAUAUUUAUUGUUUGACUUUAACUUAGAUUCAAAACCAAACAUGGGCAUAAUACCUCUAAUAAAGUAAACUCUUUUAUUUAUUGAACAUAGAAAUUCUAGGAUAUGAAAAACCAUUAUCUACAUUGUUUAAAUUGAAAUUUCAACGAGAGUUACACAUUUUCAUCUAAAAUAACAUUUCAUUAAUGACCAUUAAAAAUUGAAUCCCAAAUAAACCACUUAAAUUGAGAGAUACAUUUUCAACUGAUUUUCAAUGAUUUGCUUGGACUAAUUAAAACCUAAAUUUAUUAAGCAUAUUGUAAACUUUUUAAUAUCCGAAGGAAUUUGGGUUUGACGUUGUGGUCUAAAUAUGAAAAUUUAAUUAAUUUACGAAAAACAUAACGUCGCUAAAAUAUCAUCCCAAGUUAUGACAUUGAUUAAGGUAUCAUAUGAAAUUAUACUCAUUCAUCUAUUGAAAUUUUCGAGUUCUUGUAUCUGAAGAUCAUUGUCUAACAUAUUUACAUAGUUAAUAUCUUAAUGAUAGUACUAAUCUUUUUAAAAUAACAUUUCAUGAUUGUUCAAAAAAUGAUGUGGCAGUAAAUUAUCAAUGGCAACAUCAAAAUAUAUUUUAAGUUGUUGAACAAUGUAACAUUGACCCUACUGACACGUAGACAUAAUAUGAAGUCCAGAAUAGUUCUCCAUGCAUUCUAUAAAGCUAGACUUGCUUCCAUUUUCAUACAAAUUAAGAAAAUAUAAUUGAAAUUAUAAAUUUUAUUAACAUUUUCCCUCUCUUUUUAUACUUCUCGUUCUCAGGUUGGUUGAAUUAAAAAUUAAAUUAUAAUAUUUCCUAAUUAUAAUUGAAUAAAAAAGAAAUUAAAAAAUAGAAUUAUAAUUUUUUUUGUCAAUUUUUAUAAUAAUAAAAUCAAAAUAAAGGACUUUUGACAAUAAGAAAAGUGGGGAAAAAAGCCCUUUCACAUGGGCUCAACUAAAUUUUCAAUGAAUUCAAAAAAGAGGAAAAUACACACGUGUGAUUUUUAAAUUUCCAAUUCAAAAAUCAGAUUUUAAAGUUUUUUGCUCAAAAAUCAAAAGAUAAUUUAACUUUUGAAUGUUGAUAAUAAUAUUAUAAAAUAAAAUUAAUAUACAUCCCCAUAACCCAACACCCACCCUACCCGAUUUCACUCCCAACUUGUAAAUCAUUUCUCAUUUGUGAUUCUUUUGAAACGAAGGAAGAUCAAGAGAAUGUGGCACCGCUGUUCGCCCAUCGAACCGAACAACACUAAACCCAACCCAUGAUUGAAACCAACAACCCGAACCAACUCUUUAUUUAUCUCAUAGUACUUUUAAUCUCAUCAAUUAGCCGAGGGAUAAAAUCUAGUUGAGAAUUGGGAAGCUUAGAAGAUUCAUGUGUAAAUUGGUCAUGAAAGUGAUUAAUCACUAAAAUUGUUGAUUUGGAUCUUCAAAUAAUGUAUCUUUAUUUCCAAAGAAAUGUUGUGAAUAAUAUACUUAGUUCCGCAUUUUUUUUUAUCAAAUUGUCGAAGUACUUAGUUUUUCGAUCCCCUAAUUGAAUCCAUUUUAUUCCAACUUUUUGUCUCAGGAAUACCUCUUAGCACGCUAGUAAAUAGUUGUAGUCUAAAUUAGAUUUGUAAAGCUUUAUUUUGAUUGCACAUAGUAAAAAGUUAGCUCCUUUUCUUUAAACCUUUGUGAAGAAUUACAAAACACUUGUUUAUUCCACCACUUAAGGCCAAUUUUUUGUCUAGAAAAAUUAUUCUAGAAAACCAAGAGCCUUUGUCUCUGCUAUUGAUUGUUUCUAGCUCCUUACAAAAAUGUACUGAAAUUGGUCACCUCAAAUCCACAUGUUCCAGAUCUGGAAAGUAGAUGGGCAGUUGGCGAUUCCAUUUAUCAGUAGUCUACAGUAGGAGGCAAUGGUCUAAAGUGUUCCGAUUAAAGUGUUAAACAAGAAUGAUCGAGCAAAGAUCCAAAGCAAAGGAAUUACUACAUACCACAUAUGCCAGUUUGUACAAGUAUAUUGUGAAUCUUCAUAAUCUGCAUUUUCUAGGUUACAAUACCUUAAAAACUUCUAAAAAAUCAUCGAUAACACCUGGAUUUGGCAGUUUGACACCGAAUCUUUGCUGGCUGAUAAAAGAGCACAUUAAAAUCACCUCUGAAAAAACCAAGGUGGAUCAUAUUACUUGAAAGAACUUUUAGACUAUCCCAAAGUUCCACCCUUUCAUGCGUGGUUGAUUUUGCAUUUACUACAAUAGAAUGGAAAGAGUCCGGCUAAUAGAGUUUGUACCUCAAAGAUAACUAAAUCCUUGUUUGAAUCCUAUUUUUUGAGUAUAGAUUUUGUAAGAAUGAUUUUUUUGGAGAAUGUCGGAUUAAAAUAUAAGAGAAAUUUUUUAUUGCUUGCAAAAUUAUUUUAUAGAGAGAAUGUGAGUAAGCCACAUGCAGAAAGUAUUAAUAACUAGUCAUAAAUAACCUUAUCCCAUGCUGAACAAGUUACAUUGUUUUUCCUCCAUCAUAAACCACUAUACUUUGAACUUCAAUUUCUUAUAUAACAAAGCAUUAUUUUAUCAAGUUAUAUAUGAUUUUGAUAUUCUCAUGUAGGAGAACAUCGGUCUAUUUUGAUAUUCCAAAACAAAGAAUCAAGGCCCCGCUCAAAACAAUGCUACAACAGCACUAUUUUCAAAACAAAGAACGAAUUCCUAACUACAUUAAUCAUGCAUAUAAAACCUUAAAAUAAUUUGAAUUACACAUCAACUACCAUAAAAAAAUACCUUGGAUAAUUUAUGAACGUUACAAAUUUUGUCAAACUAGAGUAGGUUCCUAGGAGAAGUGUUAGACUUGGUCUAGAUUUAACAUACGUAUUCACUGAACAUCCAAUACCAAAUCUUUAAAAUCCUUCGAAGCCCCCUAAGACAUCUGCACAAUCUUUUGCAAUACCCUAAACCAAUGGUUCAUCUUCCCAAAUUGAUUUACCUAAAGUUCUGAUACCACUAAUAUAAAAUUUUCAUGUGAAUUAAAGAUAAACUACAUAACAAUUCUACAUCUCAUUAUAGCACUUAAAAGUAGUAAUCAGUACCAAGAUGUACACAAUUUUAGGGCUCAGAUUUUGUACACGUGUCACACACAGUCAACCCUAGUGUUGGACACAACCCAAAUUUUUAGCACAUAAAGUUUUGUAACUUACAAAAAUAGAGAAACAUGUUUUCAUCUCAAACGCUAGGACAACAGAUUAGCUUUAAAAUAAUUGACCAUGCUUCAAAUCUAAUGAUCUAGAUUGCUCUAAACACACUGAAGUUGUUACAGAGUGGCAAUCCAAGUAAAACAUGUUCUUAAAGUAGCACUUUAAAUGGGACCAAUUUUGGACUGAUCUUGUGAGGGUUGGACUUGGACUUGGACUUGGACCACUCGGUUCAUCUCCAAUUUAGGCCUAAGCCUGAAGAUCAAUCGUGGAUCAUUACAGCCCAAGGACCUGUUUGUCAUCACAUCUGAAAUUAUCUAUUUUAUUCAUCCACAAAUUAUAACAACCUAACAAUAUUACAUAGCACUUUUAAUGUUCACAAUAUGCAUAAUAACGUCUAAUAAUAUGACAACAUUAGGUGCUACUAGAUUUCCAUGAUUACGCAAUGUUACUGAAUGACUCACAAAUCACAAGAGUUGCAUGGCAAGCUCCAAUAAACACACAAAAAAGAUGCUUAUAAAAGAACGACUUCCUAAAAGUGGAAAUGCUAGGGUUUAUGUUUGGUGGUUCUCUUUUUCUUCUCCAGACUCUUCCACUUCCCCGCUAACGUGAGACCCUGCAUUGCCUUCAUCGGUUCCCAAGGCUUCUGAAAACACCAAAAGUAAGUAUACUUCAUUUUUUUAAUACUAUUUAUUUUUAAAAGAGUUAUCCUCCAAAAUUCAAUUUAGAAUAUAUGUUAGGCAUUACUAACAAAAGAACUUGUUUAUUAAUUUUUACUUGGUGAAAUGUAAAUUCAAUAAAAACUAAUAUAAUUGUAAUGGUAACAUGAAUAAUAAAAAAUUUUGACACUAAAUCUGAAUGUAACUAGAGAACAAGGGUAUAUUUAUACCCGCUGUAGCACUUGCACGAAGUUCUUGUAUGUCCAAAUGUACCUCACCACUUAAAGCAGUAAUAAUAUUCUCACUACUAGGAGUUGAGUCCAAAGUACCAUGAUUAGGGUGUUUGAGUAAAGUACGCCAUUCAUCAAUAUAUAUUGAUUGGUCAAGCGAUAGAUUAGGAAUUUCACGCUUUUGAAGAGCUUUCAGAAUUUCUUGAGUCUCUCCGAGAAGGUGAGUUGUUUCCUUUAUAAUUUUUUCCCGUUCUUCUAUGGCGCUAUUGUUGCAUUUCUUGAGUAUAGCAUGAGGUAAAUUGGUCAGGCAUGCAGCAAAUAUAUCUGCAACAAUAACUGAAAAUCUCUCAAAUACUUGAGUAUCUGAUGCUGAAUGAUAGCUUUCCUCAUGGACCAAUAGCAAACUGUUGCUUAUUUUGUACAUUGAAUUGGCAAUUAUGAUAUUUUCAGGCAAGUCAACUGAGCUUUCCAUAGCAUUUCCAUUCAUACUACUAGUAAAUUUCUUCAAAAUUUCUUCACUUCUAUUUGCAAGAUUUUGAAGAGUUUCUUUAGAGGAUUUGGAUACCCUGGCAAUUUUUUGGAGAUCCAUGUCUAACCACUUGCGCCUCAAUUCAACUAAAACCCAUGCAAAAUCUGCAGCUCUCGUGCUGCUCACCAAUUUUUUAUGAACAUCCAGACUUUUCUCCGUUAGGCGCACAUACUUAAAACCUUCAAUGACACCUCUCAACAACUGAUUCCUCUUCUCAUUUUGAACAUUGGGAAGAGCAAUCAUGAUGCUAGUUAGCGUUGUCACAGCUAGACUCCAGCAAUUAAGAGGUUCUGCGCAAAUAAUUGGAGAGACUUGAACACUUUCAAAUUUUGAUACACCCUCGAAGCUGGUGGAAUUGUCCAUAAGCUUCAUUAGAUAUCUAGGCUGAUUAUUUGAGUCCAUAUUUAUGGAUGAAUUAAUAGAACUGAUAAUGGACAUCAGGUAUCCAUCAUGUAUUGGCUCACUUUCUAGAUGUAAAACAAAAUUUCUAAGAUCUUGCUCAUAACCAACCGUGUGUUCUGCUUCAUUGAAAUUGGCCGAGGCCUCAGAUUGCCUUAAGAAAAAAAAUUUUAUCAUCAACAAGCAUCUAAUGAUUUUCAUCCUUACGGUAUUAAAACAGAGUAUGAUGGUAAAUGGGAUCAUAAUUUCCAUGGUACUGAUAACUGGAUUCGUGGCCAUUAAGUAGAGAAUUCCACCAAUUGAGAUGGGAACAAGCAAUUUAUUCACGAUCACAGUCACUAUCUGACUUCCAAUACAAAUGUUGAUGAGUAGAUUUCUGAUGUGAUAAAUAAUUUUUCUAUGUGCAUGGUAUCGAACAUGUAAUGGUAGGAGUCUCCUUUUCCACUCUGCCAAUCUUUUGAUCCCGUAAUUCUUUAUUUCAAAGGAAAUGCUAGAAAUGGUAUAUUUUCCAAUAUUCCGUGCAGUGUGAAAUAAAGCUACUAAAAGUCUUCCCAAAGACAUGAUAGUGCAAAGAAUCGAUCCUACAUAUUGAGUCCAAUAAACAAAAUAUACUGACCAUUUAUAAUCAGAAGCAGCAUUUGGCAUAUAGGGACUGUAAGACACACCUCCGUUAAAAGUAUAACUUAUGGUGCAGAUCAUGAAUAAAACAACGCUGGCCUCAGAUCGUGCCAACACAAACUGAGGGUUAGCUGUUUCUGUCAUCACCCAGUACUUCUUCACGCACAACUUUAACUUGUCAAAGUCCAUUAUUUGGUCUCCUUGUGGUUCCGCUGCCAAAAUUCUUGUUUGCAAUUCUUUGUACUUACUUUCCAAAUACCUUUUACUUGUAAAUACCGUUAAAGCAGAAGAACUCAAUACAAUGAACGCGUAAACAUUCAUGCAGACAAUCACCACUUGGAAAACAUCUUCAAUCACGCCUGUGAAUGCUUGGAUGAUAACAUUUACUGUAAGCGUCACUAUAAGGAUACCCAAUGCUGUCAAGUUCACUAUUAUAUCUCUAUCACUCAUGGAUCCUAGAGAAGGCAUGAAAUGAGUGGUUGAAACACACAAGAAAACAGUGCUACUAAUUUUAGCGCCUUGAUCAUACACACCUUCCAUCGGGGUAGUUAGAUCCAUUGACAACUUCACUGCGACGGCUAACACAGUCAAGGAAGCGGCGUUGAGAGAAGAAAAUCUGCAAGGGAACCAUAACUUUCUAUGGCGGACAGAGAUCACUGCAUCAAUGAAUAGUGAAACAUCCAUAUUAGAGACGCUACAGCAGCGUAUAGGCCUAUCCAUGGCAUUGGUGCUUUAGAGUCCAUCAUUUUGUUCAAUUAUUCAGCUCUCUUCCCACGGCUGCUUUACUUUUGAUUUAAGAUGAGGAUAUGCUCGAGUGGUGGAAAUUUCUUUGUUNGGAUUCAAGAGUAGUGAAAAUUUCCAGGGCAACUUCAACUUUUAUUUUCAACGCUUUGAUGCAUCCAUUAAAGAAAAGUAUAUCCAAUAAUAAAACCUUGCAAUGUGUCAUCUCAAGGAUUAUUUUGAAUCAUUCAAUUUAUUAAAGGGUAUAGAAAAUAAUAUAUGUUGCGAAUUUCGACUACAUCAUCAUUCAUAUCUUAUUAAAAUUAUUCUUAAUAUUGUUACAAUUUGGAAUCUCUAACUGAUUUGUGCCUACUUCAGAUUAAUAAAUCAAUGGCUGAGAUUUAGCCUUGAAUGUUUAAGUUGAGGAAAUAAAGUCAACCUUCAAAUUUCAUCAAACACAGUUUCUACACGAACAAUGAAUUUGAUGCUUUUCAUACUAAUUCUGUUCAUUAAACUAAACUGGCCAGAAGCUGUCAAAACCAAUAUAAUAAUAUAGAGACAGAUUAGAGCCUUUUAACUCUGAACAUUUGUAAGCAUAUUGCACACUUUUUAAAACCGGUAUUUAUAAAACCCAAGAUUUGGAAGCAAUAAGCAUAUUAUAAAGUUUUCAAAAUCCAACAUUAAUUGCUAAAAUUCUUGAUUUGGAUCUUCAAAUGUAUCUCCAUUUACAACGAAAUGUUGUGAAUAACAGAUUUAGUUCUUCAUUUUAUUUAUCAUGUUGUCGAAGUACUUUUAUUUCGAUCCCCCAGUUGAAUCCAUUAUAUUCCAGUUUUUCUUCUUAGGAAUACCUCUUAGCAAGUUAGUAAAUAGUUUGUUGUAGUUUGACCCAAAUUCUAGUGAGUGUUGGAGUUGUAUUUAAAGUGGUCUUGGAUAAAUAAAAAUUAUGGACUGGGAAAAUCGUUGUUGCAUUUUCGCUAGCUGCAUGCUCGAGCGAAAUUGUCAAAUUUGGAACAAAGAAUUUUCGACUACUUCUUGCCCCCUAUCGCUCGACACUGCUCGAGCGAAGAUGCUUCCUGACUUUUCGCUUUGGAAUGCGUUUUGGACUUCAGAUCAUCUACAACUUGAUUUCUAGGGUUUUUUUAUAUAUAUAAUAGUGUGUGUUGUUCAUACAACAGAAUAUAAAACAUUUCGAGAGAUUUAGAUCUUAGUUGAGAGUAUUGAGAUCUUGUAAACAUAAUUGUUAUUGAUUAUAAUGGAUCUCUUCUCCUCUGUCCGUGGUUUUUUCCAGUCUUAGAUUUCCAUCUAAAUCUUCGUAUUCUUUAUUUUGUUCUUGUUUACUUCAUUAUUAUCAUAACCUUUCGGUCAAUUAACAACAUAGUUGCAAUCUAAAUUAGAUUUGUAAAGCUUUAUUCUCGUUGUUUUUGAUUGCACAUAGUAAAAAGUCAGCUCCUUUUCUAUUCCAGUUUAACCUUUGCGACUGCACUUUGGAUUUUAAGAUGGGGAUGCUCGAGGUCAUAGGAAAUUUCUUUGUUAUUUCAUUGCAACUUCAGCUUGUAUUUUCUACCCCUUGAUGUAUCCAUUGAAGAAAAAUAUAUCCCAUAACGCGUUGAUGUAUCCAUAAAGAAAAACAUAUCCAAUAAAUUAUUGGGUGAGGUUUGGAGUGGGAAUUCUUUUGGAGUAAUAAGAGGAAAUACCCCAGGCCCUCAGCCUUGAAUUUUUAGUUAUAUCCUGCUUAAUAAGAAUAAGUUAUCAUUCACAUGUUAAUGCUCAUAAUAUUAUAUUAAUUGUUGAUUGAUUUAAAUUUUAUAAACUAUUUAAGCUAAGCCUAAAAGGGACAAAGUUAGUAUAUGAAAUGAAUUAUGUUUUGAAAAACAUAACUUGUCACACAAAUACCCUCUUAGACUGUGCCUUUGAUACAUAGAGGAUGUUUGGUGGGGAUGAAAAUUAGAUUUUUAGUAGAUUGUGAUAGAAGUUUUUAAAAUAUGUGGUUUAAAAGUUGCGAUACCCAUAAAAGAUGUAUUUAAUAUUUAUUGUUUGACUUUAACUUAGAUUCGAAACCAAACAUGGGCAUAAUACCUCUAAUAAAGUAAACUCUUUUAUUUAUUGAACAUAGAAAUUCUAGGAUAUGAAAAACCAUUAUCUACAUUGUUUAAAUUGAAAUUUCAACGAGAGUUACACAUUUUCAUCUAAAAUAACAUUUCAUUAAUGACCGUUAAAAAUUGAAUCCCAAAUAAACCACUUCAAUUGAGAGAUACAUUUUCAACUGAUUUUCAAUGAUUUGCUUGGACUAAUUAAAACCUAAAUUUAUUAAGCAUAUUAUAAACUUUUCAAUAUCCGAAGGAAUUUGGGUUUGACGUUGUGGUCUAAAUAUGAAAAUUUAAUUAAUUUACGAAAAACAUAACGCCGCUAAAAUCUCAUCCCAAGUUAUGACAUUGAUUAAGGUAUCAUAUGAAAUUAUACUCAUUCAUCUAUUGAAAUUUUCGAGUUUUCGUAUCUGAAGAUCAUUGUCUAACAUAUUUACAUAGUUAAUAUCUUAAUGAUAGUACUAAUCUUCGUUAAAAUAACAUUUCAUGAUUGUUCAAAAAAUGAUGUGACAGUAAAUUAUCGAUGGCAACAUCAAAAUAUAUUUUAAGUUGUUGAACAAUGUAACAUUGACCCUACUGACAUGUAGACAUAAUAUGAAGUCCAGAAUAGUUCUCCAUGCAUUCUAUAAAUCUAGACUUGCUUCCAUUUUCAUACAAAUUAAGAAAAUAUAAUUGAAAUUAUAAAUUUUAUUAACAUUUUCCCUCUCUUUUUAUACUUCUCGUUCUCAGGUUGGUUGAAUUAAAAUUUAAAUUAUAAUAUUUCCUAAUUAUAAUUGAAUAAAAAAGAAAUUAAAAAAUAGAAUUAUAUUUUUUUUUGUCAAUUUUUAUAAUAAUAAAAUCAAAAUAAAGGACUUUUGACAAUAAGAAAAGUGGGGAAAAAAGCCCUUUCACAUGGGCUCAACUAAAUUUUCAAUGAAUUCAAAAAGAGGAAAAUACACACACGUGAUUUUUAAAUUUCCAAUUCAAAAAUCAGAUUUUAAAGUUUUUUGCUCAAAAAUCAAAAGAUAAUUUAACUUUUGAAUGUUGAUAAUAAUAUUAUAAAAUAAAAUUAAUAUACAUCCCCAUAACCCAACCCCCACCCUACCCGAUUUCACUCCCAACUUGUAAAUCAUUUCUCAUUUGUGAUUCUUUUGAAACGAAGGAAGAUCAAGAGAAUGUGGCACUGCUGUGCGCCCAUCGAACCGAACAACACUAAACCCAACCCAUGAUUGAAACCAACAACCCGAACCAACUCUUUAUUUAUCUCAUAGUGCUUUUAAUCUCAUCAAUUAGCCGAGGGAUAAAAUCUAGUUGAGAAUUGGGAAGCUUAGAAGAUUCAUGUGUAAAUCGGUCAUGAAAGUGAUUAAUCACUAAAAUUGUUGAUUUGGAUCUUCAAAUAAUGUAUCUUUAUUUUCCAAAGAAAUGUUGUGAAUAAUAUACUUAGUUCCGCAUUUUUUUUUUUUAUCAAAUUGUCGAAGUACUUAGUUUUUCGAUCCCCUAAUUGAAUCCAUUUUAUUCCAACUUUUUGUCUCAGGAAUACCUCUUAGCACGCUAGUAAAUAGUUGUAGUCUAAAUUAGAUUUGUAAAGCUUUAUUUUGAUUGCACAUAGUAAAAAGUUAGCUCCUUUUCUUUCAACCUUUGUGAAGAAUUACAAAACACUUGUUUAUUCCACCACUUAAGGCCAAUUUUUAGUCUAGAAAAAUUAUUCUAGAAAACCAAGAGCUUUUGUCUCUGCUAUUGAUUGUUUCUAGUUCCUUACAAAAAUGUACUAAAAUUGGUCACCUCGAAUCCACAUCUUCCAGACCUGGAAAGUAGAUGGGCAGUUGGCGAUUCCAUUUAUCAGUAGUCAACAGUAGGAGGCAAUGGUCUAAAGUGUUCCGAUUCAAGUGUUAAACAAGAAUGAUCGAGCAAAGAUCCAAUGCAAAGGAAUUACUACAUACCACAUAUGCCAGUUUGUACAAGUAUAUUGUGAAUCUUCAUAAUCUGCAUUUUCUAGGUUACAAUACCUUAAAAACUUCUAAAAAAUCAUCAAUGACAACUACAUUUGACAAUUUGACACCGAAUCUUUCUUGGCUGACAAAAGAGCACAUUAAAAUCACCCCUGAAAAAACCAAGGUGGAUCAUAUUACUUGAAAGAACUUUUAGACUAACCCAAAGUUCCACCCUUUCAUGCGUGGUUGAUUUUGCAUGUACUACAAUAGAAUGGAAAGAGUCAGGCUAAUAGAGUUUGUACCUCAAAGAUAACUAAGUCCUUGUUUGAAUCCUAUUUUUUGAGUAUAGAUUUGUAGGCAUGAUUUUUUUGGAGAAUGUCUGAUUAAAAUAUAAGAAAAAUUUUUGAUUGCUUGCAAAAUUAUUUUAUAGAGAGAAUGUGAGUAAACCACAUACAGAAAAUAUUAAUAACUAGUCAUAAAUAACCUUAUCCCAUGCAGAACAAGUUACAUUGCUUUUCCUCUAUCACAUAAGCCACUAUACUUUGAACUUCAAUUUCUUAUAUAACAAAGCAUUAUUUUAUCAAGUAAAUAUAUGAUUUUGAUAUUCUCAUGUCAGAGAACAUCGGUCUAUUUUGAUAUUCCAAAACAAAGAACCAAGGCCCCACUCAAAACAAUGCUACGCAGCACUAUUUUCAAAACAAAGAAUCAAGUCCUAACUACAUUAAUCAUGCAUAUAAAACCUUAAAAUAAUUUGAAUUACACGUCAACUGAACGUUACAAAUUUUGUUAAACUAGAGUAGGUUCCCAGGAAAAGUGUUAGACUUGGUCUAGAUUUAGCAUGUGUAUUCACCAAACAUCCAAUACCAAAUCUUUAAAAUCUUUCAAAGCCCCCUAAGACCUCUGCACAAUCUUUUGCAAUACCCUAAACCAAUGGUUCAUCUUCCCAAAUUGAUUUACCUAAAGUUCUGAUACCACUAAUAUAAAAAUUUCAUGUGAAUUAAAGAUAAACUACAUAACGAUUCUACAUCCCAUUAUAGCACUUAAAAGUAGUAAUCAGUACCAAGAUGCACACAAUUUUAGGGCUCAGAUUUUGUACAUGUGUCAAACAUAGUCAACCCUAGUGUUGGAUCCAACCCAAAUAUUUAGCACAUAAAGUUUUGUAACUUACAAAAACAGAGAAACACGUUUUCAUCUCAAACGCUAGGACAACAGAUUAGCCUUAAAAUCAUUGACCAUGCUUCAAAUCUAAUGAUCUAGAUUGCUCUAAACACACUGAAGUUGUUACUGAGUGGCAAUCCAAGUAAAACGUGUUCUUAAAGUAUCACUUUAAAUGGGACCAAUUUUGGACUGAUCUUGUGAGGGUUGGACUUGGACCACUCGGUUCAUCUCCAAUUUAAGCCUAAGCCUGAAGAUCAAUUGUGGAUCAUUACAGCCCAAGGACCUGUUUGUCAUUACAUCUGAAAUUAUCUAUUUUAUUCAUCCACAAAUUAUAACAACCUAACAAUAUUACACAGCACUUUUAAUGUUCACAAUAUGCAUAAUAAUGUCUAAUAAUAUGACAACAUUAGGUGCUACUAGAUUUCCAUGAUUACGCAAUGCUACUGAAUGACUCACAAAUCACAAGAGUUGCAUGGCAAGCUCCAAUAAACACACAAAGAAGAUGCUUAUAAAAGAACGACUUCCUAAAAGUGGAAAUGCCAGGGUUUACGUUUGGUGGUUCUCUUUUUCUUCUCCAGACUCUUCCACUUCCCCGCUUAUGUGAGACCCUGCAUUGCCUUCAUCGGUUUCCAAGGCUUCUGAAAACGCCAAAAGUAAGUAUACUUCAUUUUUUUAAUGCUAUUUAUGUUUAAAAGAGUUAUCCUCCAAAGUUAAAUUUAAAAUAUACGUUAGGCAUUACUAACAAAAGAACUUGUUUAUUAAUUUUUACUGGGUGAAAUGUAAAUUCAAUAAAAACUAAUGUAAUUGUAAUGGUAACAUGAAUAAUAAAAAAUUUCGACACUAAAUCUGAAUGUAACUAGAGAACAAGGGUAUAUUUAUACCUGGUGUAGCACUUGCACGAAGUUCUUGUAUGUCCAAAUGUACCUCACCACUUAAAGCAGUAAUAAUAUUCUCACUGCUAGGAGUUGAGUCCAAAGUACCAUGAUUAGGGUGUUUGAGUAAAGUACGCCAUUCAUCAAUAUAUAUUGAUUGGUUAAGCGAUAGAUUAGGAAUUUCACGCUUAUGAAGAGCUUUCAUAAUUUCUUGAGUCUCUCUGAGAAGAUGAGUUGCUUCCUUUAUAAUUUUUUCCCGUUCUUCUAUGGCGCUGUUGUUGCAUUUCUUGAGUAUAGCUUGAGGUAAAUUGGUCAGGCAUGCAGCAAAUAUAUCUGCAACAAUAACUGAAAAUCUCUCAAAUACUUGAGUAUCUGAUGCUGAAUGAUAGCUUUCCUCAUGGACCAACAACAAACUGUUGCUUAUUUUGUACAUUGAAUUGGCAAUUAUGAUA